RNAcentral lists this long non-coding RNA (125056 nucleotides) under Citrus maxima (pomelo). Its description in RNAcentral is "long non-coding RNA (CMAX_LNC001465)". Lineage: Eukaryota; Viridiplantae; Streptophyta; Magnoliopsida; Sapindales; Rutaceae. The record is from RNAcentral.
ACAAGACCAAUUGCUUAAUCAAGACACCGAACAAGAAGAGGAUGAGAAGUUGAAACAAGAAUUUGAGAAUUGGAAAUAAAAAACGUACGCAUUGACCGUGCCUUUGAGAGUCGUUUCUCUUCAGAACUCAGUGCCUCAAUCUUGGGUUAAGGAUUUUAUGCGAAGUCAGGGAAAGAGAUUGAAGUUUCAGAUGAAUUUGUGUGCUAGCAUUGAUGGGAUCUUUAACAAUUUAUCUGUGCCCUUUAACAAAGUUAAGGCUAAGUCAGCUUCUUAUAUGGCUGCUGAUUUGGUUAGUGUUGGUGAUUCAUGGCUUAGUUUUGCCAUUAAAAAGAGAUUGAUUGAGCCAAUAGCUGGAGCUGAAGACCAAGAUUGGUUCAAAUGCUUAAGUCACAAAUGGAAGGUAACAUCUUUGUCUUUGAUCCUCGAGGUAAAAUAUGGGCGGCACCAUACAGGUGGGGCACAACGGUGAUAGCCUACAAGAAAAGUAAAUUUCGAAAGCAUAAUUUGGCUCCGAUUGAGGUAAUAAUUUUCUUUAAACUCAUUUAGUUUUAUAUCAAACAAAAUCAAGACUGCCUUUCUCUUCAAUAUUUUUUAUGAUAAUAUCUUUAGAAGCAUCUCAUUGACGGGUAACAAUGGCAUCCCUGAAAGAGUCUAUAAACUCAAUGAUAUUAUCUUCUACAAAUGGUUCAUUAAACUUUGUCGUUGUGCUCAAAUGUACACUCAGAGCAAUGAGAAGUUAUGCCACUUUAGCAUGUAGUGAUGGCACUUAAUAAGUGAGUUGCUAGGAUGUGAACUAGAAAAAUUAAAUAUUGUCUCCUUGGGUAUGCUAGCUCGUAAGUCAGGGUUAAUAUCAGAGCUUAAGAUAGUAUAACCGUGAGAACCUAUUGACUGCCAAUUAAAAUAUCCAUUAAAAUGUCUAGGGAGUUAUGAAGGUGGAGGUAACUUCCAAUUUCUAAGGCCACAGAGUAGACAUCAUCCAGGAUCCUAGGAAAGUCCAGUUAACCUCCUGCUCGAUGCAAUUAAUAAAUUUGGUCAAUGCCACUGAAACUUGCUAACUGACGUCACAAUGCGACAUGAGCACUUCAAAAUGGGACAGACGGUCAGUGGCACUAAAUUUUUCUUGCCUAAGAUUGAGCAAUUGGUCUAACUACUAAUCCCCCAGAUUUAAGAAUCUUUUGAUGAUAAUUUAUCACCUGCAGCUGUGCCGGAAGAUUCAAGUAGCACUGAAAAAUAUGAUAAUUUAAUUGAUAUGGACAGUUUCCAUAUCACUUUUAAAUCAUCUUAUGUAAUUGUAAUGUUAGGAAGCAUUAGUGAUCUAAAAGUGAACUAUUAUUGGUGUCAUUGGUGGUUUUAUCUUGUUAAAAUAUGGAUGACUUCCUGUUACUAUUUUAUUGUAGACAAUCUUAUUCAAUUAACAUAAGGUUUAAAACCAUUAUGUUUUAUGUAAAUCAAUCUAUUAAUUUUCAUGAUAUUUAACUGAGUUAAAACCAAGUGCACUCAAUAAAUGUCUUUUCCUUUAAAAAAACUACUACGCUUUGAUUUUAGUGCUUAAUAUUUCGUAACUACAGAUUAUCUAAUUGCGAGUUGCUGUCCAUAGCUGCUAAUUUGUAGUGAUUAUCUAAUUGACUGAGGUGACAAUAAUUCUUUUAUUUUCAAUAGCACAAUGUGGAAUUCAAUAAUUAAAUUCUCCUAUUUAAUUUGUUUCAAGUUAAAUUAUUAAUUACUUAAACUCUGUUUUAAGUCUUUAAUUUUAUGUGUUUAUGCAGAAUUGGAUUCUUGAGCGUGUUGGACACGACCAACAAUGAAAUUGAUAGUAAACAAACAUUACAACGUGUGGACUCCGGUAAGCACCAAUGAAUGUCUAGCCCCGUUGACUCCGCCAACUAAAGUUUUGUAAAAUUAAAAAAAAAAAUACAUAGAAUUCCACCAAAUGCAAAACGCGUGAAAUUUAAUUUUCGACCGUGUGGACCAAAACAUAAUUUAACAAAAAAGGAAAAAAUGAUAAGAUUUUUAAAAUGUGUGGAAGGUGAUCCAUAUUUUACUGAAACGACUUGUUAAAUUUUUCAAGGAUUUAGAAUAUUUGGUCAUAAAUUACGUGCAUGUUAAUUUUUCCGCCAUUGACUAUCAUAUUCUAGACUUAAUGGUACCUUUCUUGAUGAAGGGUACUUAGUCUCUCUUCUCCUCUUAUAAAAAUUAUAUUAAUUGAUUUCUUGUUAUAGUUAAUAGUCUUUAAGAACGGAUAGAUUUAUUGUUUUCAUGACCAAAUUAUGCAUGCCUAAGGUUGUAACUACUAAUAAAAUUAAUAUUUAAUGUUUAUGUUAAAAGAUAUAAGUUUUUAUGCAUUCAUUAAUUGUUAUUAGCUAAAGGAUGAAAUAUUUUUUCCCAAUCAGUUGAUGCAUCUGCAAGAGUUUUUUUUUUUCUUUUAUUGACCAUAAUUAUAUUCCGGGUACAAUAAAUUGUCUUUGGUGCUUGGAAAAUAUGACACCUCUCUGUCAACUUACUGGAAAUAUCUCCUCAUCUACUCUCAUUUAUCUAAUAUGAAUUGAAGAUCUCAUAUUUCCAAACUAUGACUUCCAAAUCUCAUUAUCAUUUGAGCAUUCAAAACUAAUCAAGUGUGGAAAUAAUCAAAUAUAUGCAAAAAUCGAGUCACAAUCUUUGGCCCCUCAAAAUUCUAAUUAUAUAACUUCUAUAUAUCUCAUACAUUUUCCAAAUUCCUCUUCCAUGAACAUCACUAGGAGUAUGUUCAUCUCUCACACAUUAACUUGAGUGAAGAGUUUCCAAAUUGAUUAUUAGAAAACAAUACAAAAGCUAGACACGUUUGAUCUGUCUAAUAAUUCUCUUUCGGUAAAAUUAAUUAAUUUUAGGGGAAUUCAGCCAACCUCUGUAAUUUCAGAGUGAUCAUUAAUUAAUUAAACAAUACAAAUAUCUAAAGUGAUUAGAUGUUUGCCGACAAUACAAGUUCAUGGCUUGAAAUUUGAUCUCUAUCAAUUGGUUUACAAAUGGACUCACUUGUGCCUUUGUGGUGAUAAUUGAACCAGAGAUGUGAAGCUGUAAGGAUUUGGCUGUAGUCAAUUGUUAUAAAGACAUAAAGACAACUUCCCAUGAUUAUUAUUUUUUUCCAAGAACUAUUUUACAACAAAUUCAUCUCGCCAAAAAUUCUAUUUUGCUAACUAACAAUAAUUGAGCACUUGACCGCAUUGACUCCACGUCUCCAGCUACUUUCUAAGUAAAAACAUGGAAAUGUAAUCUCCACAAAAUGCCAAACGUGUGGAAUUUAAUUUUUGGCCUUGUGGACCAAAAUGCAAAUGAAAGAAAAAGAGGGAAAAAAACAAGGCUCAAAGACUUCUAAAAGAUGUAAAAGUCUUUGGGCUUUUUUAUAAUGGUGGAUUUUUUAAAAGGAAAAAAUAACAACACUUCUAUGGUUUGUUUUAAUAAUCACAUUUACAUAUAUUCUCUAAUUUUCAAAAUGGACACAUAAAUCUUUUUUUUUCUACAAAUGUAUAUUAUUCGUAUUUUUUAUUAUUUUUAAUAUCAUAUUGUUAUUUAUUAUAAAUGUUUAAAGUAAAUUUUUAGGUUGAAAUAUAAUAAAAAGGUAUAAUCGUUCUCAUAUUAAACACCCAUACUUUUAGUUUCUAUCCAUUUGUCAUUUCAAUCUCCCUCAAUUAUUCUUUAUUGCUAGCUCAAAACGCAUCGCUGUUGAAAAUUAUAGCAAAAUGACAAAUAUGGAAAAAAAGGGAAGAAAAUUAAUGCAUGAAAGACUUGGAGAAAACAACCAAAUAAGUCAACUAUAAGCAAGCUGGGUGUAUAAAUUGUUAGAUGUGUUAUAAACAAAUACGUAUAAUGUUAAAGAUAUAGUUAGAAUGGGUGGUUCAAAAUCAAAAAUGGUGAUAAUGUUUGUUCUGCUCUUAAUAAUAUUUGAAGGUGGGUGGAGUGAGGGAUGUUUGAAUCAUGAGAGAUUUGCUCUUUUGCAACUUAAACUUUUCUUCACUGAUCCUCAUAAUUAUCUUCUCGAUUGGGUAGAUGAUGAGGGAGCUACUGAUUGUUGUCAGUGGGAAAGGGUUGAGUGCAGCAACACCACAGGUCGAGUGAUAAAACUUGACCUUGCUUUUACAAGGAAUAAUUAUUUGGAAGAGUACAGAGACUUUGUACACAAUCCGGGAGAGUAUCUGAAUGCUUCUUUGUUUACUCCCUUUCAACAACUUGAGUCACUUGAUUUAACUAACAACAACAUAGCCGGUUGUGUUGAGAAUGAAGGUGCUUCGUUUAAUUUAAUUAAUUUACUUUCUCCCCCCUAAUUUAAGUUGACUAUCAAGACCGAGCAAUUAGACGCAUAUUCAUUUAGUCGACAAUUUUCACUUUUUUUAAAUGAUUAAUUUUGAAAUUACACCAGUAUCUAUAAUCAUUUUUUUAUUUUACUUGCAGGUAUAGAGAGGCUAUCAAGAUUGAACAACUUGAAGAUGCUUAAUUUAAGUGAUAACUCGUUCAACAAUAGCAUUUUAUCAUCUCUAACCCGUCUUUCAUCAUUAAGAUCAUUAAAAUUAUCUGACAAUAGAUUGAAAGGAAGUAUUGACUUUAAAGGUACAUAAUUAAAACUUCAUCCCUUCUCCAAGCUCUUUCAUUAACUUGCUAAAAUAAGAUUCAAGGCUUUGAAUUCAAUUUUUUUAUGAUUAGUAUUAAAAAAAACAGUUUUAAGCAAUUUAUAAAUACAAGUUUUAAUGGUUAUCGUAAUUUCAUCUUGUAAUUUCAUGUCUUGAAUUUAAGAUUAAAAAAAUAACACUAACAGCGAACCAAACACCUCCACAACUUAUUAUUAUUAUUAUUAUUAUUAUUAUUAUUAUUAUUAUUAUUAUUAUUAUUAUUUUAAUUUGUUGUGAGGUUUGAAACAUUCAACUCAAUUUGUACUUACUACAGAAUUUGAUUCUUUGAGAGAUUUAGAGGAGCUAGACAUUGGCUGGAACAAGAUUGACAAAUUUGUGGUCUCAAAAGGUACUACAAAUACCAUAUAAAAAUGCUAACUUAUACAAAUUAGUUGGAUUCUUUGCCAUUUGGUUUAUUAUUUUACAGGUUUGAGUAAGUUGAAGUCUCUCGGUUUAAGUGGUAUCAAACUCAACCGUAGCAUCUUAUCUUCUCUUUCUUCAUUAAGAGAAUUAGAUAUAAGUGAUACGGGAUUCAAAGGAACAUUCGAUGUUCGAGGUAAGCCUAAGCCUUGCUUUCUCAUUUUAUAUAUGCCAACUAGAUUUGUGUAUCAUCGACAUAAUUUAAUAGUUAAUUUGAUAAGUCUGAAGGAAUUACAUGCUAAUUUAAACAUACUUUUAUUUACUUUGUCAAUUAAUUAAUUUAUUAAUUACUAUUUGGCUUGGUUUGGACGAAAUUCUCAUGAUGUUUUAAUUUCUUUAAAUUAAUUAAUUAAUUAACUCUGUUUUUAAGUCUUAAGUCUGGGCAUGUUUGCAGAAUUUGAUUCCUUCAAUAACUUAGAAGAAAAAUAGAAAAAGUCGAGCAAGAGACUCUCGCCCUAUUUUAAGAUGAGAGUAGCGAUCACUUACCUGAUCUACGACCUACUAUCUACGCGUACCAGCCUUCCUUUGUUUUGCAUCACGAGAUGGACUCUUCGCCCAUCCCCUAAGGUCUUUCAAAUUAUACCUAAUUGGGGAGAGGACCCACCAGGAGUCCAACUCCAGAUUGGUGGCUAAUGGGCCUCGCGUAUCCUGCCUUUUCGUAGAAUGCAACGCUUAUACGUUCACUGAGGAAUGAAAUCCUAUCUUUUAUCCGAGCUAGGGAUCAGAAAGCAAGAAGGUGGGGGUCAGAAAUGAGUAGCGUAGGUGAUACCGAUAGGGUGGUUGGAUACGCGACAGCAACGGCAAGGCACUCUUGACCCCGUCCGUAGAGGGUCGGUACGAAUGAGACUGUGCUAGAGAUCGCAGUGAGCAAGUAUGCCUUGUUGACUGGGUGUUGGUUUUGAAACAAGGAUGAGUCCCUCAGGGAGUCCGUCCAAGCUUCAGCUACUAAUGCCUGGGCUAACUUCUUGGGGGUGAACAAAGUGCUCUGAGUCUGAGAUCGAUACUGGUUAACGCCACAAGUGCUCUGCCAUUGGUCUACACACAGAGUCAUCAGGUAAAGUCAGAGCUUGGACUGGGAAUGAGAUCAGAAGAGGCUAGGCUACUAGGGAAGAUAGAAGCGAUCCACAAAUCAAACCACUAUCCCAUUGGCCGCUUCAUGCGCCGAACACUCUUAAUAAGAAGCUUUAUUUUAUAAGGUAUGUGUCUAUGCUCUCGAUACACGGCUUGAGAAGGCGGCUCCUUUUUAUUCUUCCUAUAGGAGCUACUCCUGAUUCAGUCAAUCAGAACAAGCCUUCGGACCUACCAACCAAUCAAACUAGCUUGAUGCGGAGGCAAAUACCCAGGGAUACUAUAGCUCAACACACGCCUGGCCGGGGGGAAGGAAGCCCUCGAAGCGAGCUCCGUACCAAAUAGCUGUGGAGAGAGAGAAGCCAAACUCUACCGCACUGAAGAGCGAGAUAAAUAACUGACAUCCUUGGUUGAUGAUCCUCGUCGGUGGAAGGGAAAGCGCGAUGAAAGGCAAGUCGGUAGUAGGUCCAAUGGAGAGAGGAAUUGAGAAGAGAUAGGGUCCGCUUUCUAGGCUGACGUUGGACAGCUGUUGGAUAGCCCCGACCUACACAAGUGGUUUUAGAAUGAACUCACAUUUUGAAAUGUUCUGUUAGGUUCUUAGUAGCAGUCGGCGAUCUUUUCUUCUUUUACUUCACAUAGCUUUUCGUCUCCUUGAUAGCUGGAAGUUCUCCAAAAGUAUGAAAAGCUGGAGGACUUUGUACCAUCCAUUCCGGUGUGGUUGGAUUCUGUUCAACAGCCCAAGGACUUGGAGCACAUCUUUUGUUAUUUCCACUGCUUGAAGUGAUUGUUACGACCACGAAGAAACGACGAAUCCCAACUACGGAUAUAUAAGAGCCAAAACUGCUAAGGGCAUUCCAUCCAGCGUAAGCAUCUGGAUAAUCUGGAAUGCGACGUGGCAUACCCGAAAGCCCUAAGAAAUGCAUGGGAAAGAAGGUCAGAUUAACCCCGAAAAAAGUGAUCCAAAAAUGGAUUUGCCCUAAAGUUUCAGGGUAUGUCCGACCAAAGAUUUUACCACCCAAUAGUGAAAUCCUGCAAAUAAAGCAAAAACGGCUCCCAUAGAAAGUACAUAAUGGAAAUGUGCAACCACAUAAUAAGUAUCAUGUAGAGCAAUGUCUAGCCCAGAAUUUGCCGGGACUAUUCCAGUGAGUCCUCCUAUAGUGAACAAAAAGAUGAACCCUACAGCAAAUAACAUGGGUGUUUUGUAUUGUAUCGAACCCCCCCACAUGGUAGCGAUCCAACUAAAGAUUUUGAUUCCAGUGGGGACAGCUAUGAUCAUGGUAGCUGCGGUGAAGUAGGCACGGGUAUCAACGUCUAAGCCCACAGUAAACAUAUGAUGAGCCCAAACAAGAAAUCCAAGAACACCUAUACUGAUCAUGGCAUAAACCAUGCCUAGAUACCCGAAGACCGGUUUUCCCGAAAAAGUCGAAACGAUAUGACUUAUGAUACCGGAUCCAGGCAGAAUGGGAAUAUACACCUCUGGAUGACCGAAAAACCAAAAGAGAUGCUGGUAUAAUAUGGGGUCUCCCCCUCCAGCGGGAUCAGAAAAGGUUGUAUUAAAGUUUCGAUCGGUUAAUAACAUGGUAAUUGCCCCCGCCAGUACCAGAAGUGAUAAUAAAAGUGGGAAUGCUGUCACUAGAACGGACCACACAAAUAGGGGUGAUCUAUGCAUAGUCAUUCCAGGUCCACGCAUGUUGGAGAUUGUUGUUAUAAAAUUGAUAGAACCUAAAAUGGAUGAAACACCAGAUAGAUGAAGACUAGAAAUUGCUGAAUCAACUGCUCCUCCAGAAUGGCUGGUAAUACCACUUAAGGGCGGAUAGACCGUCCACCCAGUGCCGCUACCCACUUCUACUAAGGCUGAGCUUAAUAGGAGCAAGAGACUUGGUGGCAACAACCAGAAUGAAAUAUUAUUUAAUCGUGGAAAUGCCAUGUCAGGUGCACCUAUCAGAAUCGGAACAGACCAAUUACCAGAUCCACCUAUCAUCGCCGGCAUAACCAUAAAAAAGAUCAUUAAAAAAGCGUGAGCCGUUAUUAAAACAUUAUAAAGUUGAUGAUUCCCACCAAGAAUUUGAUCGCCGGGAUGUGCUAAUUCCAUACGAAUCAAUACUGAGAAGCAUGUGCCCAUCACUCCAGCAAUGGCACCGAAGAUGAAAUAGAGAGUCCCUAUAUCCUUGUGGUUAGUGGAGAACAGCCAUCGAACCGGAUUUGUCAUAAAAUUGAGAUUCUUUCGUUUCCUUCCUUAUCAGAGAGGGGCCCCUUAGGGAGCGGGGCUUCUUUAUUGAAAAAGGGGGAGUGAGGGGGGAAGGAGCGAAGCGAAAGCGGGGGGGUCCGGAAAGCCCUUACUUUAUUGAUGGGACAUUUUGAUCCCCUUUUCCUCUCACCCCCCGUUCUGGUUCAGGAUUCAGGAAAGGGUCAACGCAAGGAUCUUACUUCGAAGCAAUCUCUGGAGUUUUCCCUUAUCCGAACGGGUCUUGCAAGAAAAUAGGAUUUCAUAUUGAGCUCCAAAUAUACGCUAUUGGGAUAGGAUGGCUCCUACUAUAUCUCCCCCCCCCCUAAGAACCGCACGUGCGAGUUCCCCUGCAUACGGCUCAAGUGGCGAAGGCACUUUCCUUCGCGCUUGAUAAGCGCUUCGCUGUAGCCAAGCUUACUGCUAGCCUAUCGGCUAGAGCCAAGCUUCGACCCCGACUGCUCGUCGCUUCUGGCCGCCUUAUUCCGUCACCCGAGAUCCAAGUCAGCACCGGAAAAAAGAUCUUGAUUCCUCGCGGCCGGGCCGGCUUGGAAGCAAGCUACUUGUCGCCUAUCUCACCCCCUUUCUUAUUAUUAGUAAGAUAGGGUGCCCCUUUCUCUAAUAAUAAGGUAAGCUUCUCUGAAUUCCGCUGGGUGAGCCUUCGCUUUUUGGAUCGUCUUCUGCCCAAUGCGGUACCCUCCCGUUUGUUUUUAGGUUCCCAUUGGGUUUACCUUGUUUACAGGUCGAUCCCAUGGCAGCAAGAAAAGGUGAUCUUGUGCUAUACUCCGGUGAUCUCUUUCCUACCGAGGCACGCAAACUCCCAUCGUGUCCCAGAUCAUAUUUCGUGAAUCGAAAGGGGAAGCCUCCUCAUCCAUCAGCUCCUCUCGUAGAUCAGUGCGGUUUUACGAAGCGUCUAAGCACAGUUCACUCGCGUUGAUCAAUCAAGAGCUUUGCCGCCACUCCUUAAGGUUACCUGUUGUAUCAUACACUUCUUGCAUUCUUUCCCACGCUUCAUACCCCCCUCUAGCUUCCGCACGGAGCGGUAAGGUAAAGGGCCAGGCAUGGUGGGGUCGGAGCAUCCUGUCAGCAAUCUUUUUGGCUUGACCAAGAAGUCUUAUGUCCUCCGAGUCGCGCGGCGUUUUAACCGAAAGAACUUCUUGCGCAAUUCAUGCCUUUCUGUUUUUAUGACCAGAAAUUUUUUCUUGAUUUCCAUUUCAAAUUGUUCUCUGGACUUUUUAUCAAUAUGAGGUGAUCGUAACACAGUAUAUAAGACUCGUGAUUCAGGCAAUCCAAUCUUUCGUGUGUAAGGCGGAAGAGCCUGGUUUUCCAAAAAUGGGUGAUCAAAAGAUCGAAUCACUAUGCGUAUCUUGGUGGUCGUUACUUUUGGUGGUCUUUCUUUUCUUUUUGGCUGACUCCUCCUACUCCUCCUUCUCUUAUCCUCUAUAUAGCUCGUCGUUGGUCCUUUUUUUUUACAUAACAUUCUCAGCCGCUCAAGAGUCAAGAGACUGACUAUCUCUCUCUUUACGCAAUUUCAAAAAUGAAGUAGCAGAGUGACUACUGAUUUUGGACGCGCUGAGUUAUUUAAGCAAAGCCUUUUUUGAUCUUGUUAUUCUAAAUUAUUUUAUUGUCUUUGCUCAACUUCGUCGAGCCUUGUACCCAGGUACACGGAACACUAACAGAAUCUCUGUUCAAACAAAAACGACAAGCAAACCCGAAAACUAAAGGGUCACCUUCUCUAGCAAGCAAGUAGACUUUUCUCUGAGCCCCAGGGUAGCAAAGCUAGCUCUUCGUAUCAUUGGCAUUGGGCAGGUGAACGGGAACCUGGCUACACAACUACUCUUACUCUAGCAGAGGAUCUAGUUCCACACCAAUCUGCUUAUCUUAUAUAAGAUAAAAUAGAUAAACUUAGCGUACCUACAACCGCUUGUGCCCUCUUGCUUUAGCUACUUACUCGGGAACUAGCUUCGCACCUCACCCCGGGAACUCAAGGGUGCGUAGCUUGCUUGUUGAAGGGGUGUUUCCGUUCCUCCGUUGUGGGAUAGUUUUUCCCUAGUUCGGUCCUAUAAGAAGAGUUCUCUAGAUAUCAACUCAUGGUACUCCCCGGGCCCCUAACAACAAAACUCAUAGGUUAGCUACAGCAGUUCUAGCAUCAGCUUCUCGAGGGCCUAAAAGAACCUCUUUCGUCAUUCGAAAGUGGCAUUUUAGCUCCUUUUCGUGAAACAGAUCGGAGAUCAGGUCUUAUCGAUUCAUACGAUUUUCAUACGUCUUUUUCCCACAUUAAUAAACCCCUUUUUUCUUUAACACGCUAGUGCCCAGAUCUUCUUCUUUUGUCUUUGAGCCUGCCUUUAGGUAGCGGCAUGGAAGUCCCCCUUCUUCUCAAGCAGGAAGCCCGCGUAUUCUUAUUCUAAUGUCCAUUGGAGCUUCUCUUUUCUUCCCGCUAUCUGGCUGUUCUAUUUAGACGUCUGUUCCCCAGUCUUACUUUCUCAUGCCCGCUUUCGCUUCACUCCUUUCUACUUCUGUUACAGUAGCUAUAGUUGUAAUGGCGGUUAUGCAGGUCCCCUUCUCAUUGAGUAGCCUAUACUCUGGAAUUGAAGUAGCGAAAUCGGCCUUAGCAUAGAACGUUUACCGCUUGCCUUACUAUUACUAAUAAUCGGGAAUCAGAACAGGCAACUAUGAGACUAAUUUAUCAUUGCCCCGAGCAAGUUACUGCGUACCUGAAGUGAGUGUGCCCAUCUUGGUCUCCUUUCUUUUUUCUUUGCAGCUGCCAUAAAAGUAAAGCCUUAGAUUCUAACAGGAAUCUCACCGCCUGCUCCCCUUAUAAUUAUAAGAUACUCGCUACUAAGGUUCUGAAAGAAGGCAGCUAAAUCAGCAAUAGAAGAGAACUCCAGAUCUAUGAAUAGCCAACAAAGAGCCUAGCUUUAUUACUGGAACUAAACAGCAAGCUGCUCCUACCUUACUUAUCGAGAAGGAGUACUUGGACUGAGUAGACUUCUUGUAGUUCUCUUUCCCCUAGCAACCUUUCCUGCUUUCCCGGUUGCAAGGUUUCGAGCUAACUACAGGAUUUGCUUCCUAGCUAAUAAUACUAAUUAGUAGUAUUGAACUUCGAACUAAAGAUUUUUUUUAGUUAACGGGCAGGUAAGGGCAAUGAAGGAAGCCGUUAGGCUUGAGACGAAACGGAUUCUAUGGAUUGAGUCUGGCAGUGAUGUUAGUUAAGUCCACUACCUGGGGCUUGUCUUGCUUGAGAACCCGUUUGGAACAAUCUGGAUUUUCCCCUUGUGAGUCACUCGAAUUCUUCUAUUUAUCAUUCUUUCAUGAAUAGAAAGAGAAAGAUCUCCGCUUCGUCUUUCUUCCAAGAAAAGAUCCCAAGCCAUUGAUAUUGGUCAUGCGUGGGCUUUCACUCAAUCUUUCACUAUGAUAUGAAAGGCAAGCAGGAAUUUCACCACUAAUGGGCCAGCGCUUGGCGCUUACUCUAGCCCGUGUUUCUAGGAUACACCUAUUAAUUAUAUAUAAUAGUUUCCCCGAUAUUCGUGGCUUUCCCCUUACUUAUUACUUAUAAGUAGAUCGGUUGAGAUAAGUAGAUUGGUUGAGGCCCGACCCUUUCCUUUGGGGUUGCCGACCUUGAUGCCAUAGUGUUUAGGGGGCUGAGCGGGAAACCAACACGUUGUGGAAACGGAAUAGAGCUUUUCCCUUGAUGGAUGUUAUCCAAUAAAAGCACACAAUCAGUGAGAUGAGCCUGCCAGCUCAGCCUUGGCCCUAUGCCUUUUGGCCAGCUUGACUUCUGACCGGUCGAUCCCGCCCCCUCUUGCAACGAUUCGGCGCCUCCACUUGAUGCUUGACGCCCACGCUUCGUUCAGGCAGCGCUCCUCGGAUAUGUCUUGCCAAUCGCCAGAGCGGUGCCACUUCCAGGAUUUGGUGCGGCCAGCUCGGGAACCUUCCCUGGAGUGAAAGGGUACAUGGAUCGGUUCCUCCACCAGAGGUCAGCUGAAGCGGAUUGGUCAAAAAGAAAUUUUCUGGCUUUGCCUCAUACCCGGUAUAACUACCAUUUUUACUUUGAUAUGCUUCUUACUUCCUUACAAAGUUGCAAGGAUCCCUUCUUGCAUUCCCUCCUUAUUCAAAAGGAAUUUAUUCGAAUAUCUAGUUGAUAAAUGUUCAUGAGCACGGGGUUGCCUUGCCUGAGACCUCUACUACUGCCGUGGAGGGUAAUUGAUAACAAUGGAAUAUUUUAGGUUAGUAAUGCAGACCCUUAUCCAUUCGAUCCACUUCUGAGGGAAUCACAUAGCCAGCAUGGCAGCUUCCCGGAAUCCCCAGUCAACACUGUCGAACGCUUUCCUCAGGUAAAUUUGCACACACAUCCUGGCUUUCCCUUGCGGAAGGUGGAAUUUUUUUAGCAUAUCGUGACAAAGCAAGAUGUUAUCCUGGAUGCAUCGCCUUUGUUGUUUAUACCUAGCAGGAGCAGCAAAGACGAAGGCUGAAGCAUCACUAGAGGUAUCUAUUGAGCUUUCUCCUCUUUUUGCAUUAGCCCAGUCACUUCCUUUAUGGAAUGGGUUCACCAGCACGCGGAGGUAAGUAGUUUACUGACUCAGUUCUUUUACUAAAAAAGGAGAAGGGAAGGGGGUGCUAUGAAUAGAAAUUUUGAAUUGCAUAUGCUCUCGAUCGACCUAGGCCUAAAAGGAAUCCGGCUACUCAAUCGCCAGAGAUAGAAAUAAAAGAUCUAAGCUUGCUUUAAUCAUUCGAAAGCGAUGCUCAUUCCAGGGUUUCAAGGCUUGGAAAUAGAUCUUAUUUAAGACAAAAAGAAGUGAGCAUAACCAUCUUCAAGCUCCACCCCGGGAUUUUAGGUGUGAACUCACUUUAGGGAAAUGAGGCUUAUAACCAAUCGAUUCUUCACCCACGUAAGCUCGCCCUGUCACCCUCGCUCUGGUUCGAGAAUCAUGUCACCCUCGCUUUCCGCUUCUGGAAGAUCAAUGACUAAUAGAUAAAGGGCUGUGGAACUAUAGACAAUAGGCGGUAACCUCUCUUGAUCCGCGAGUAGAGCACUUGAACUACUCAGAAAGAGCUGGUUGGCUCAAUUCAAAUAGAAAGAAAAAUAGACACCCAUCUUCUUGGCGAGCUAAUCAGGAGACAUACAAAACCAGCAAUCCAAGUUUUGAAGGGAGGCGGCUGCCUGCAGUCACUAAAGGAAGGGGCUUGGUGGUCUUAUUUUAUUAUCUAUAAAAGAUAGCAUCUCUUCCUGCUGUUCGAAUCAAAACGAUUAGGGACAACCGCUCGCUUCGAGGCAGGUUAAAAAGCAUAGGCCAUAGCUUCUACCUCUCCUGGAUCAUUAUGCUCAUCUGGAAGCGGUUUUUGCUAGGAUGAAUGCUACUUCUAUGUAUUUCCCAUCGCAUUUUCAUAAGGUUUCAUAUCCUUCUUUUUCAAUCUUUUAAUGAUGCUUGCCAAUUCUAAUCCAGGGGAGCACUUAGAUCGCAGAUUUUCGCAAAACGACCUCGCGUAGCCAGUUCAGGUAUAAAUUUGAAUAGGUUUACCAAAAGUUUUCCCUAUUUUGAGAAGAACUUCACUGUCGAAGUACUCAAUAGGGAGCUCAGGUAAACGGAUCCAAAGCGCAGUUUUAGUGACCGUUGCCAAGGAAGGCCUAAAAUCAGGGUGCUUCGAAAAGUGAGAUAAUGGUUUGCUAUCAUCCAAGGUCCCCCAGUAAGAGCUCUUUUGUAAUCCUCCCCAUCAGUUAAGGAUGGUCGUGGCCCAGGUCAAUGAAGUCAACUCCCCACUUGGUCUCCACAUUUUAAAAAUUUUCUCAUGGAUAAAUUUGUACUAAACUUUCUUACCCAGAACCUUAACUAUAAGAAAGAGACUUCCUCCAUGGUUGAAAAAUUCUCCUUUUCUUUUAGUUUCCCCAUUACCAUUAAUGUUGAUCACAAGGGGACAAUUCGAAGGGCCCUGGUUAUGGAUUUGCUGCUGCUGCUCAUCUUCUUCCUACUCGUCUGAUUUAAAGCCUUCAGACUCCGGUUCCGAGAUCUCAAGAUAGUAUGAGCCCUUGUGCUGUACCUGCAUGAGAACGAACAUCACGAAAGGACAGUGGUUGAUUACCGUCUUCCUUUGAUCGCUUCCAUGGUCCGGGACUCUUCCCAAGGUCCGGAGGUAGCUCACAAAGGUCGCCAUUAACUGUUUCAGUCGUCACAGAGGUCGCCAUUCCUUAGCCCCUCAUUGGUUGUUAGGCAUUUGUCACUUCUUCUAUUUCAUUUCCAUAGCGAUUCACUCAACAUAGAAAAGCAACUAGAGCAGAGCUCGUAUCCGGCCUAAAGCUCUUGAACUAUAGGAGGGGUCUAGCAUACUGAAACAUAAAUGUAGCUAUAAAGCCUUUUUGAGCAUCUUCCUUGCGAUCUCCUUAUCCUAUAUCAGAACACUUUUUCACUUUUUUUUGCUAUCACAAUAAAUUGCCAUAGAUCGAAAGUGAGUCCAGGCUUAGUGCUUCCGCCUAUCCGGCAGCCGUUACCAGCUGUUCACCACUCCUCCCUUCUAUGCUCCGUGGGUCUUUUGUUACCUAAUUCCCUUAAACACGGAAUUGCUCCUAGUCUUUACCCAAGAGAUGUCCCUGAGACUCAAUAAGAAAAUUGUCUCUUUGCUUAGCUUAAGCACAAGAUUCGACAGUUGUGAUUCCGUCUUGGAUUGAGCUUUCUCACUCUUUCUAUGCCUCUUCCUGAAGUGAACGAAUACAUCUCUUUCUGACGUGAAUGAACGCGAUUCUCUAAUAAGACCCAAUCUUAUUGAGUCAAGUAGAAGAUUCUUGUAGAAAUUUUUUUUGAUUGACUUACUCCAACAUCAAGGUGGAUUUAGCUUGGAUUAAUAGAGAUUAAUAGAACAGACGGGAACUAAACAGAUAGGAAUGCCCGACACAAUGCGGCUACUAGAAAAACGUAUAUUAGAUACACCAUUUCUUUGUCACGUGCAUAGCCCUGCUCCUUGUCUUUGAAAGUCCGUAGCAAUGGACACUAUAUAAUUCCUUGUCGCUCUCGUACGCACCAACCCUUGCCUUGUCUCUCGAACCCUUGCUUCUCUCUUGUGCUCCCUAGAGCUAAGUAAGCAAUUCUCUCUCCUCUCUAGCCGUGGCCGCUAGGAAUUGCUUUCGCUCUUCUCUCUCUGGGGUGCUGGUGGUCGAUAGUUGUAUGUAAUGUUGAGGAAAGAGAUUCGGAUGAAAGAGGUACGACGGGAUAUUCCUCCCCGGUUCGGAACUAAACGUUGAGCGGCGGAUCAAGUAAAAGCUGGCAAUCCUCCACCUAACAACUCCUCCUUUACAGUAUCAGCUGUUAAUAAGCUCUAAUAGACAACCAACCCCAUCUAUUCUUGAUAAACCGGGGCACCUUUCCUAUGUGUCAGUGCCAUUUUUCUCUAAGGCUUAAAGUGAAUCUGUCAUAGCUUGUUGCCAGCAGAGCUGGCCCACGGCUUCCGAAAAGGUUUGAGGUUCCCGCAUGAACACUGGCAAGAAAGGCACGAUCUUUGGGAGAAAACGAGUUAUAGGAUCCAUAGGAUUUUUCAUGCGAGAAGACCUACGUACCUCAGUAGAGGGUAGAUAGGAUCUGGAGACAAGGAAGAUGAUGUAGAGGUAGUAGGUUGGCCAGCCUGAUCCAUCUCAGAUGCCUUGCACUUUUUUAGCGCCUAGUGUAAACCGGAGUGGCAGGUCGGCUAGAAGGAGACGGCUCCUCAGUGGGACCAGAUGAAGAAAGCUCCCCUUACUAGUAAAGGGGGUCCGAGGUUCAGGAUAUGAAAUAAAGCAACUUGACGUAACAGAAAAAAGCGUAAACCGAGUUGAAUCAUAAAAUCAAGUUUCAUCCCCAACUGAGGAAAUGUAAUUGUUAAGGUCGGUAACCUGUGGCUACCUCAGGACUAUCUGACUACACUACUUGCGUUAAGGCGCUGAAGCCGGAGUUUUCUUGGUAGGGGUUAGCUUAUUCCCAGACGAACCAGCCCAGUAAGAGAGAUUCCCCCAGACACCAAUACCUGCGGGAACUAGUAGCCACACUACGGCGUAUGAGAAAUUCCCUGACGGCUUCCCUUAACCGUAGGCCACAGUUGCUUCCUUCGCUCUUGAAUCUAAAACCAUAUCUGGUUUCGCCUCCCCUUGGAGCGACCCUUCCGAAACAGCAUUCUAGCAACUUCGUUUUCAUCCAGCGUUCUCACCAACCAGUGAGCCGUCACAGAGUCUCCCGCUAACUCAUGCCAAACCCUUAUGAAGGUAUCCGACUUUUUCCAAUUCUUUGUGACUUCAUCAGUCUAGCAAUAGCAGCAUGCCAGUAUUUUGCCCUAACUACGAAGCUUGAGUCAUGUCUUCGCCCGUGAACGCAACAGGACGCGGUCGUCUAACUCGACUUCCGCAGCGAGUCUCAUUGCAGCUCUCUCCUGCAGUAGUGAAUUUUUUUUUAUUUUACUUCAAAGAUUUUUUUUCUCACAAGAUGCUUGUUUUGCAGAGGGGUGAAAGUUUUGAAGAAAUAGAAGAAGAAAGAAAGAGUAGUAGCCAUGAUCGAUUUCCUCUGCGCAGGAGCUUGGGAUUUGAGAGUAAGCAUGACUCUGAGAAGAUCUCUGAUUGUGAUCAAUUGGGUCUCACUCAAAUCUUGGUAAUAACGAAUGACUUGCUUGAUUUCUCUGCAUCGGCUCGUGAAAUCUUGGAUGAUCUUAUCAAGUUCAAUUGAACUAAGAAUGUCGAUUGCUCUGUCGUAAUAGUUUGUGGUCACUCCAAAGCUUCCAUGGCGGAAUCAGUACCCCCCUCCACUGAACUACGGAUGCCUGUACGCAACCCCAUGAAGCAACCGAAGAUCCAUUGAUCGCUUUUUCGACACCCGUAAUUUUCCUGUAAAAGAAAGAAAAUCCCGGAAACUCAGAUUCUUCAUUGUUGAAAAAUCUUAUAAAAAUAAGUAAUUUAGGAAUUUUCAUUACUGGGAACACGUCGCUAGCCUAAGGCGGGCUUCGCUAUCCUCCCGAAGCUGGUAUUUUCCAAUGUAAUGGUUUUUGACCACUCACUUAUAUGAGUACAAGGGGCUUGACUAUAUUUUUUUUACUUUAUGUAAUUAAGUUUAGCUGGAGGGUCCAUCUAGCCACCCUAAUUAACCCGGUUGAGGAUAACACAUUAUUAAAUCCGAAUGAUGAUUUCAUAAUCAAUCAUAGAGGUGUGAAAUGGCGUCUUUUCAGAAGUCAGAUAGCCCUUGAAGGUGUUAGCGCACACCCUUUUUCUAUCAUAUAAAUUUAGCUCCGAAGGCAACCCGUCGCGUCCUCGUCACGGCGUUAGCAGCCAUUGACGAUUAUUGAAGACUAAGCUAGUUGGCCUAGAAUGGAGCGCAUACUACUUCUUUGAAAUCGCGAACAUCUUACUCUUACCUUUCUUCUUAGUCUGAUCCGGGAGUGUUGGACAUGAGGUACAAUGAAAUCGACAAUCUUGUGGUUCCUCAAGGUAAACAAUUAAAAUAUUAUUCAAUUACAUUAUUUUAAUUCAUUUGAUUAGGGAAGGCCAAAAAGGUCCAAAAUAAUAAUAAUAAUAAUAAAGAAACAAAUAAUUUGUAUUAUUUAAAAAACAGAAUGUAAUAAAGAUUUGAUUCCAGUUCUUUAAUCUUUAAAGCGAUUGAAAAACAAUGUUGGACUUUUCCCAAAGCAUAAAAUACGAAUUGAAUGCCAAUUAACUUAAUCAUUCAUUUCGUUUAGCUCUAAAUUUAGACAAUGAAUUUUUAUAUUAUUUCAAAAACAGGACGUAAUAGAAUUUUUUUUAAAAACAGAUUGUAAUAAAGAUUUUAUUCCAAUUCUUUAAUCUUUACUGCGAUUGAAAAACGAUACUACUUCCCAAAGCAUAAAAUACGAAUUGACUCCCAAUUAAAUUAAUCAUUUAUUUUGUUUAGGUCUAAAUUUUAGAGGAAUGAAUUUUGAUUCUCUUCAAUCUUUUCUUAAUUAUUAUUAAUAAACAGGUUACAGAGGUUUGAGGAAGCUGAAAAGCCUUGAUCUAUCGGGAGUUGAAAUUAGAGAUGGAAGCAAGUUGUUACAGUCAAUGGGAUCAUUCCCAUCCCUCAACACUCUUUACCUGAAGGAUAAUAAUUUUACCGAUAUAGCGACAACUACUACUCAAGGUAAGUAAAAGGUACAGAUGUGGCCAAAUUUAUAAAUAAAUUGUUAAUUAAUUAAUUUUUCCAUAUUAUUAAUUAAGCUAAAUUUGCUAAAUAUAAACAAACAGAGUUGGACAAUUUCACCAACAUGGAAUAUUUGAGAUUGGACUUUUCCUCUCUCCAUAUAAGCCUUCUGCAAAGCAUUGCAUCAUUAUUCCCUUCGUUAAAAAAUCUGUCGAUGUCUUUCUGUGAAGUCAAUGGUGUCGUACGCGGUCAAGGUAAAAGAAAAGUGUUGAUUGUGAACUCACUCACUGGUGUCCUAUGUGUUCAACAUUUUUAUUUAUUUAUUUUAUUGUUUAAUGUUUCUGCUAGGUUUUCCUUAUUUCAAGAGUUUGGAACAUUUUGACAUGGAUGACACGCCCAUUGCACUCAACACCAGUUUUCUUCAAAUCAUUGGUGUAUCGAUGCCUUCUCUUAAGUACUUAUCACUGUCAGAUUCUACUCUUGGCACUAACAGCAGCAGGAUUCUUGAUCAAGGUUAAUCAGAUGCUCCCACCCUCCCUUCUUAAUCUAUAAUAUUAAUUUUCAAUUAAAUAUUUAAUUACACAAACGAAUCACUUAUUAUAAAAGAAUAAUACUCAUUCAUUAAUUUUUAUAUUGUAUUAAUAAUUGAUGAAUUUAAUAAAUUUUUAGGCCUCUGUUCGUUGAUGCAUCUGCAAGAGUUGUACAUUUAUAAUAAUGAUUUGAGAGGCAGCUUGCCUUGGUGCUUGGCAAAUAUGACAUCCCUCCGAAUAUUAGAUGUUUCUUCCAAUCAACUUACUGGAAGCAUCUCCUCAUCUCCCCUCGUUCAUUUGACAUCCAUUGAAGAGUUGUAUCUUUCAAACAAUCACUUCCAGAUCCCAAUUUCACUUGAACCACUUUUCAAUCAUUCAAGACUCAAGAUUUUUUAUGCUGACAACAACGAACUAAAUGCAGAAAUAACUCAGUCACAUUCUUUGACCGCCCCAAACUUCCAAUUAUCACAUCUCUCAUUGUCUUCCGGUUAUGAAGAUGGCGUCACAUUCCCCAAAUUCCUUGACCAUCAACAUGACCUGGAGUAUGUUGAUCUCUCACACAUAAAGAUGAAUGGAGAAUUUCCAACUUGGUUGUUGGAAAACAACACAAAGUUGAGACAACUUUCUCUCGUCAAUGAUUCUCUUGCAGGACCUUUUCGGUUGCCAAUUCAUUCACACAAAUGGUUAAGAAUGUUGGAUAUAUCCAACAACAACUUCCGAGGCCACAUUCCAGUAGAAAUUGGAGAUGUUUUACCAAGUUUAUACGUUUUCAACAAUUCCAUGAAUGCUUUAGAUGGUAGCAUUCCCUCUUCAUUUGGUAAUAUGAAAUUCCUCCAAAUUCUGGACUUAUCCAACAAUCACUUGACUGGUGAAAUCCCCGAGCACUUGGCCGUCGGUUGCGUCAACUUGAAGUCUAUUGCAUUGUCAAAUAACAACCUACAAGGUCACAUGUUCUCUAGAAAUUUUAACUUGACAAACUUGAAAUGGUUACAAUUGGAGGGCAAUCGCUUCGUAGGUGAGAUCCCACAAAGUUUGUCUAAAUGCUCCUCACUAGAAGGAUUGUAUCUUAAUAAUAAUAGUCUUUCGGGUAAGAUUCCACGAUGGUUGGGUAAUCUCACAUGGUUACAACAUAUUAUAAUGCCCAAUAAUCAUCUUGAAGGCCCUAUUCCAGUGGAGUUUUGUCAGCUUGAUUGGCUUCAGAUUUUGGACAUUUCAGACAACAACAUAUCUGGAAGUUUACCAUCUUGUUUCCAUCCUCUCUAUAUCAAACAAGUUCAUCUUUCAAAAAAUAUGUUACAUGGACAGCUAAAAAGAGGUACAUUCUUUAAUUGCUCUUCCCUUGUGACAUUAGAUCUUAGCUAUAACCGCUUGAAUGGCAGCAUUCCAGAUUGGGUUGAUGGGCUUUCUCAGUUAAGCCACCUUAUCUUAGGUCACAAUAAUCUUAAAGGUGAAGUGCCAGUUCAAUUGUGCGAAUUGAACCAACUACAAUUGUUAGAUCUUUCUAAUAAUAAUCUUCACGGUCCUAUUCCUCCUUGCUUUGAUAACACCACACUUCAUGAAAGUUACAGCAAUAGUUCUAGUCUUGAUGAGCAAUUUGAAAUAUCUUUUUCCAUCAACGGCCCUCAGGGAGGUGUAGAAAAGCAAAUCCGUGAAAAUUUUGAGUUCACAACAAAGAACAUUGCGUACAUUUACCAAGGAAAAGUGCUUAGUCUCCUAUCAGGACUUGAUCUUUCUUGCAACAAGCUAAUUGGUCAUAUUCCCCCUCAAAUUGGAAAUUUGACAAGGAUUCAAACAUUGAAUCUAUCACACAACAACUUGACAGGAUUGAUCCCAUCAACAUUUUCAAACUUGAAGCAAAUCGAAAGUUUGGAUCUUUCCUACAACAAAUUGAAUGGGAAAAUCCCUCAUCAACUUGUGGAGUUAAAGGAAUUAGCUGUUUUCAGUGUGGCAUACAAUAACUUAUCAGGCGAAAUUCCAGAAUGGAAAGCACAAUUUGCAACCUUCAACGAGAAUAGUUAUGAGGGAAAUACUUUUCUUUGUGGACUGCCAUUGCCCAUUUGCAGAUCACGAGCAACUAUGUCGGAGGCGUCAAUCGGCAAUGAACGAGAUGAUAAUUUAAUUGACACGGACAGUUUCUUUAUCACAUUUACAACAUCGUACGUAAUAGUGAUAUUUGGAAUUGUUAUUGUUUUAUAUGUAAAUUCUUAUUGGCGACGUAGAUGGUUUUACUUUGUUGAAAUGUGGAUAACUUCAUGUUAUUAUUUUGUUGUAGACAAUCUUAUUCCAACAAGAUUUUGUCAUUGAAAUUAAUUAGUAGCUUAAUUACGAUUCUUUAAGUACUAAUCAAGUUUGGUUAGGAAAUAAAUUUAUUUUUAUUUUUUAUUAAAAUUGUAGUAGUAUUUAGCGUUAUAUAGCUUCCAACUUCCAAGCACUUCACAUUUGUCUCCACACUUCCAAACCCAUAUCUAUCCACCAUAACUUAUACUUCCCUAUACUGUGCAGCAUACUUAAAUAAGAGAACCAUCUCCAAUUUUAAAAGCAGCCACUCUAUAACAUUCAUUUAGAAACUAUAUUCAGAAUAGUUUUAUAAUCAUACACAAGAAAUGAAACACCUAGAUGCACUUGAUCGCCUAUUUUACUUUAAAAAAUAAUGAUUAUGGUGCUAUCAUCAUCUUCUUCGCUAGCAACAUUAACACCAAAUCCAGCGAUGGACCCAGACAUUUUAUCAAGAAAGGUAUAUAUAUAAUAAAGUUGAAGCUUGACAAAAAAUUUAGGAAGAUUAAUGCCUCGCCACAACAAGGGGCAGCACAACAUCAAAGUAGAGAUGAAGCAAUAUUCUCAAAGCUAAAACUCUCAAAUCCACCCACCAGAAUUUCAUAUCUCCUCAACAAUUUUAAGAACUAAAGAUAAUUAGGAUCUAACAUUAGUUUUUUAUAUAUUAGUUUCAUAAUUUACAAAUCAAUGAAGAUGAAGAUUAUGCUAAUGAAUUCAAAUUAUACCAUACAUUCUCGAGAUGUUACCAAAAAUUUCUAAGUCAAUCCCACAUAUUUCAUAAUUUUAAGACUAGAAAAUUUCAUUAGUUAGAAGUUUCAUUACCUUCAAGUGGAAGAUGAAGAACAUUAUACAAUUGAUUCAGAUUAUAUCAUACACACUCCAAAUGCAACUAGAAAUUAACAAGUUCAUGCGCACAGAUUUCAUAACAUUAUGAAUGGAAAGUUUCACAAAGAGAAAUUCUAAAUUCAAUCUCUUGCAUCGAGGUAGUUUGAUUGAUUUGAGUUACUUUCUGAUCAAGCUAUUAAUAUAACAUUCAAGUCAGGGAGAAAGUAAAUUAAAACUGGGAAGAAAUAACAGUAAAAAUUUGUUGCUAAACAUGAUGUGUAUUUUUUUUUUAAGGCAAUUUGGAAACACAGUUGUUACUACAGAUAUUCUCCUCAACUUAGAGAUAAAUACAAAUAUUAAAAUGCAUAUGAUCGCACAUAGUACUUGGAGCUUAGUAAGAUUUCAUUAAGAGAAGCAAUCAAACCACUUAUCAAUUGUUGCAAUCGUUCUAUAAGCUAAAAUAGCAAUAUAAUACAAGAAAAAGAACAUAUAGAUACUUGGCAAGAGUUCAUUAAGAAGUCGCAUCACAUUCGGGUGAGGAGUUUGCUUCUGAUAUCUUGCUAGCUGGGGCUUUUUCUUGUCUUUCUACGUAUGCCGAGGGAAACCAACCAGCUUGGCCCUUGCAUUCACCUUCCGACCAUCCAAUAGGAGCCACCUUGAGAAGUUAUAACUAAAACGGUGAAUUAAACAAAAGUUGACCGUUCAAAGACCUAAGGGGAAAACUAAUUCUUUUACGUAGGAGGAGUGAAUUAGUUGUGAUCACUGAAAUAACAGCUUAACUAUGGAAGCAUAACAAGAUAUAAAUUCACACGUCUAUAAGGGUAAACUGGGUGGUUUAGAACUGAGCUAGCAACCCUACUAUAUUCUGAUUUGCACUUCAAUGUAAAAGGGAAUAUAUGGUAGGAAGAAAGAAAACCAACCAUCAUUUGUUAACUCAUUGCUUUUCAAUCAAAAUUUUAAGAACCAAAUGCCAUGUGCUUUGAACAUCAAAUAAGUAUAAGCAUUAGUUCUAAAUUCCACAUAUCAUAAGUUAGAAGGAUAAGUUAAUAGCAUAGUAGAAAAAUCUGUGUUGUUAUUUAGAGGGGAAAGUACCUGGCGAACCACAACAUAAUCAUCAAUUGAAAGACUUAGCUCUCCAUUUGCUUGUGCAUCAAAUGGAUGCAUAACCUGCAAGAUAAUGGGAUAAAUAGAACUUAAUCUUAAAAAAAGCAUAACAAAAGCAGCAACAGUACCAGCAACGUUCAUUGUAACCACUAUGAUCAUGGCCAACAAAGAUAUAUUAGAAACAAAAUUCCAUUUUUACUAUGAUAUCAUGACGAUUGGGUUACCAAGAGCUAUCAAAGUCCAAUAAGUUCUGUAUAACUUUAUGUAGUUAUUCAAAUUAUGUAUCAGAUUUUAAAUCUGAAAUUUUGACUGCUCUCCACAAAACAUGGCCUAUGCACAAGAAAUUCAUAGAUAAUGAGGAUUGCAAGUGUCUGACAUCUUUUGAGUGAUGGAUUUAACAUGAGAGCUUAUGGUCAGUCAAUUUCCUCUGCCUAGCAAUAUAAGCUUUCUCGGCCAAAUUUAUCAUCAAAUACAUAGAUUGCCCCAAGUCAAAUCCAUAUAAACAUAGUUUUUCUAGGUAAACCAAGCAAGGAGAAUCAUAAUUCAGACAUAAUCAUAAAAAGGCCCAUCUAACUUAAGAGAAAAUCUCAAAAAGAGGGAUGUUGAGCUAUCAGUCUUGUAUCCAUAAGGAAUGUCAAGACUUUACAUCACCUGCUACAUCGUGAGUGGCUACACAACUUUCAGUGGUUUGUCUUUCUUUGGCAUGCCUAACUCAGCUUUGAUGUUGCUGAGAUAUUGAUAGUAGAGACACAUGAGACUUCUAGCUCAUGCAUUCUAUCUAGCUCAUCCGACAGCUAUCUCUUUUUUAAUUCAUUAGUGUUUGCUAAGCCACAUGCUUAAAAGUCCUGUUGUUCUAAACAAAGUUUCCUAAGAAUGACUUCCUCAGCACCACAUUUGGACAUUUUUAGAGCAAUUUUAUUUGGGGGAAAAGAAUUUUCAAGGUGUUAACUAAUAAAUUUUAAAAAAUAAUUACAAUUUGUCCUACGAUUAUAUGACAAUUUAUCUGGGAUGAAAGGAUAUAGACAGACAUCUUCCACUUUCAAGACUAAUCACUACUUCCGUAGAUGUUUUGCAAUAAUACAAAUACUUGACCAGAUGGUAGUGAUGGUAGAAAAAAAUUUUAUUGCUCCAAAAUUAAAAUAAGAAUGCAAUGUGUUAAGCAAAAGACUAUGCAACAUCAAAUUAAUUGAUAAGUUUGUAAUUCAGUAAAUUAACAACUUUCAUGGUAAAAUACAACAAAUUUCUUUUCAAAAAAAAAAAAUCUUAAAAGACAGCAUUCAAUUUUGUGCGCAUCUUAUUUCUUAAGAUUUUCUAGGAGGGCAAUAGAGGGACUUUCACCUAUGCAAGAGAGCAGAAGCCUUACUUUCGCUAUAAAGUAGACGUCAUUCUGAUUAAUAUGCGUUUGCAAAUCAGCUCCAUUUGAAUCAGUAUUCUGAUAGACACAUGAGGCAUUUACAUCCAUUUCCAAAGUCACAUGUUGCGAGGAGGACUCAUUUGAUUGCUCCUCUAGGAUCAUCUAAUUCAAGUAGCAAGGGUUGGAAGAGAAUAAAAAGUCACAAUUAUUCUUUUGCAUAAGUGAGACGAAAAUGAUAUAUGCAAUAUUAUCAGCAGUAAACAAGAAGAGAACACUCCAAGGAAUAGAUAGAUGCGGACAAGCAAGUUAAAAUGCACAGUUCCAAACCUCCGCAUACAACUUCUCUGAAAUAGCAAUAACGUGUUGAUGAUAUGUUUUCUCGGCAUCUACCUGCAAAGGCCCGAGACCAGGAAAACAACAAUAAAACCACUAGCUAAAGGAGAAAGUAAAGAAAGAAAUACACUUGACAUAAAUCUUGACAAGAAGCACAAUUUAAGACAUAACAAACCCCAAUCAUAUUGUUUAGAACUACCAUUCGUUAUUUCGUUAUUGUAGCAUUUCGAACAAGUGUUGACUUAAUUCAACAUUGUUGGAAAGAUAGGCUUUUAGAAGCGGAAGAAAGCCACUCAAACCAAAGUGAUUCUUAGGAUGAGUUUUAAUCACUCCCCUGAUUUAUUUGGGUUGCAGUAAAACUAAGCGAGCAACUGUUUGACUUUCAAGCAACAUCUAAAUCAGCUAUUAAAAUUCAAAUAAAAUUAUAAUUGAAUAAUAACUGGCCAUCUUGCAUCAAAAAUUAAGUUUAAUUUGUGAUUUUUUUUCUAUAGACAUGUUAGUUCCUGCUAUUGAAAUGUUAAAAGCAUUGAAAAAUUAUUCAAUAAAUUAUGCAAACAUUAAAAUAGAGGACAUAUUAAAAAGUUUCUAAUUACAAUGUUAAGAUUUCCUAUAUUUUAGCAUUUGCAUAUUUUAAUUUAUUUAAAAGCUACGUCGAUCAACUUUGGGAGUGAAGAUUUUAGCUUCUACGAGACUUGAUUGGAAUAUGCAUAAGGAAGAGUGUUAAAAUAUGAUGCAUCCAACGAAAGACAAACCACGUGUAGUCUUUUAAUUAAGCCAAAGUAGCAGCUCAAACAAAUGACACUUGGACCAACAUGCAAUCAUGAAGUGGCCGGAAAAAGGACAAAUGCAACUUUGGCUUAAAUAAAAAAUAACAUGUGACUUGACUUUUGCCGGACAUGCAUCAUGUUAUUACAAGACAACAGAAAUCAGUAUGAUAGUACUAAAAGUUGACAAUAACAUGAAGAUAAGAGGCAGAAUGUCAACACAUGCAUAGGCACACACAAGAAAGUAUUAACUUAUAUACCAUAGCAAAAAGUCUUUGAUAUGCAUCUGUUGCUGCAGUGAUUCAACUGACAGCAUGGCAGCUGUUCCUUCUCUACCAAGAGCCAUUAUUGUAGAUUUAAGCUCGGUCAAUCUUGCUUCUGCAUUUCGAAGCUUCACAGCACUCUCUGCUGAUAUAUCAGAUUCCUUAAUCUUUGAUCGGCGCCUAAAUACUUCAGCUGCCUGGUGAAAAUAUUCAAUAUAAAUCUAACAUAAUUCUAAUCUUGCCUUAUACAUGCAUAUGUUAACUCAAAGCUUACCUGGGCUUCAACUUCAUGUCGAAGCUUGUCAUAACGAUGAGUCAGGUGUCGAGCAUCUUCCAAAGGUGCUCCGUUGAUUAACGCCCGUAGUGGCUCAGAUACCUACAUGUCCAAAAACCUGUAACAUAGUUAGAAAAAUGAAAAGAAAGAGCGAAACCUCAAUUAAAAAGUUCCUCCAACAUAAUCAUGGAAUUUGGGCCUACUUCAAGGAUAUAUAUAAGGAUAAUUUAUGCAAUUUUGGGUCUUAGGAUGAUUCAUAUUAGGUUAGUGUUCUUCUCUUCUGUAUUUAAGGUUAAAAUAGAAAUAAACCUAUGAAAAUAUCUAAAUUAGGGCUGUAAGACUUCCACAUGCAUCCUUCAGUCUCAUGGAUUUGAUUUUACUAUAGAUGCAAGUGUCUUUAUUGAAAAUGCUUGGAGUCAAUUGAGAGAACUCACGGCCAAUAACUUGUCACACGCUAGUCUUUGCUAGUGAUGUAAGAAGUCACAAGGUCUCUUCAGCAUUUGAACCAAUAAAAUUAUUAAGUCAUGGAUGUCACUAGCAAUGAUUUUAAUAUAAAACAUUAAAUAUUUCAGAGUUGUAACUUUAAAAUGGAUUCUUUUAUUCAAUAUCUUAGAACUAAGUUUCCUUAUGAGAAGAUAAUAGUUUCAGUAGUAAUUUACAUAUAAUUUUCUAUAUUUGAAUUAUUUUCUAGUUAGGGAUGAACUAACCUGAUCACGAAGAAUCCCAAGCAAAGUUUCCCUCUCAUUUUCCAUCAAAUCAUGUGAAGUGCCAAAUUGAAGAGCAGCUCUUGCAACGCAAGAAUUGUCACUUUGAUUCUCCGCUCCAUACUUGCAACAAUCUUCGGCCAACUUUCUCGCUACAAUAUUUGAAUACAAAAAUAUUGUACACAAGAACUAGUCAAGAAAAUUAAAAAAAAAAUCAAAUAUUAAAACGAGAGCAAGAGCAAACAAACAACCUAUUUCCAUUUGUUUCAAGUUUACUGCAACAAACACUUCAACGCCACGGACAACAUUCCAUUUGUUUUAUUCUUCUUAUACUUUACGCUUGCAUCAGCCUCAAUCACUUCUUAAUCGCUUGCUUUAACUGCAUCGCUCUCUCUGUGCUCUUCUAUAUAUGUAACGGUUAUGCGGUUGUAGUUCACGGCUGAGGCUACGUGUGGGUUUGACGUGGCAGUUACGUUACAAGGGGAUAAAUAAGAUUGGUUACAACAAACCCACUAAUUUUAUAAAAUUCGAGUAAUAUAGAAUAAAAUAAAAAAAUAAAUACAAAAUUGGCUUUUAUUUUGUAUGGUUGACUGUAUUUUGUGUUCUCUUCCGGCACUACUACAAUUGUUCCCUAUAUAUUAGUCACACCCAUAUAUCAUUAACACAAGAAAUGAAAUCUAAUGUCACCUACUUAGUUAAAGAAUCACUCAUGAAAAAUUUUUACCAUUUUGAUUUGAGGAUCCAUAUUUUGAACUGCAAGCUAAUGUUCAUCAAGAAUCACUGAUGUUCAUAAAAAUCAGAGUAUGGCCGUUGAGUAGAAAAAUUAUUUUUGGACAAAUUAUUUUUGUUGAUAGAAUCUGCCACUUUCUCAUGAAGAAAGGCAUGCGGAGCAUACCAUGGUACCAUACGGAGAAUGUUAGAACCACCCUAGAAUAUCUUUACCCUGAUGUUUCUAACAAAAAUCUGCAUGUGGCAGCAAUUACUAGAUCUACAAUUUCCCAAAUAAUAUUUUGUGUUUCUUAAAAAAAAUUGAAAUACAUAGUUGCAAUUGCACACCGUGAGACAGUGCUACAAUCUACUGAGAUCUAAAUUAUAUGAGACUUUAAGCUACUAAUGUUUGCAUAUUUCUACAUGUCAAAUUAACAUUACCAUCUAUAAUCCGAAACGACAGAUGAUAAACGGCUUUUGGCCACUUAUUACUAGCAUCCACAAUUAAUUUUUGUUCAGCAAUCAGCUUAUUUUAUAGAAAUUGAUUUAGUCAGCAACAAACACUAUAAUACUUGAAAUUAGUUCUUGUUCUUUGUAAUUUUCUAUGAUUUUUCAUAUAUCAAUUAAUCUGCAGUGCCAAGAUGAGGUUUAGUUUUCAAACUAAAUAAUCAAGUAAGCAAAAAUACAAAUUCAGAGAUUAGCGGGGUAAACUAGCUGGGUGGUUUAGAACUGGGCUAGCUACCUCCCUGUAUUCCUAUUUGUAAGGUGAAUUAAUUGAAUCAUGAGAAAACAAUGUGACCAUAGCUCAAUAUGAGAUGAUUUCGGAGAGGCAUAUUGUUUUCGAGUGAAUUUGAUCCAUUAAGAGAUGAAGUGGAUUGAAGUGGAAAGUUUAAAUAACAAAUCCUUGUUCUUGAGUUUUACGACGUCGUUACUCCUUCAGGUGGCAGAUUAUGCAAGUGAAUUCAAAAACACAAUGCAUCAAUCACGGGGACAAAAGACGGGAUCACAGUCUAUGCAUUGAACAGUUACAGUUGCUGCUACCAAUUGUUCGGCAAAGAUCAAGAAGACUGAACGGGAAGCUAAUGCCAUCAAUGUCGUCUUCACUAUAUCUGCUGGGAAUGUAGGUGAACUUUCCUCAUUUGCAGCUGUCUAUACAUAGGCUUUUCCCCAGCUUAAGUACAAAUAAAUGAAGCUGCCUUGAAGGCUUUAUUAUUGACCCCAAUAAGGAUUACUAAUUGAAGAAGACUAUACGGAGUUAAUCUCACAUUUUAGUUCUCUCAAUUUCUUUCAGAAGUGCCUCUGAAAAUAGCUGCCAAACCGUUAGUCAGCUUGUAUACUCUGUUUUCUGGAAACAGAGUAGCAUAUUUAAUCGUUUUAAUUGAAUUGUCUUCGUAGCGAUCAUCAACAAACUCAUCAUAAGAUUUUUGAAGCACCCAAGGACUAUCACUGGGUUUCUCUUCUGGUUGAUUUAUUAAUUAAUCAAAGAACGGUUGGAUGAAGUGCAAUGAUGGAGCAAAAUUUACAAUGUCUCCGGUUUCUCCUGACCAUCGGACUUUUGCAGUGAGAACAUAUAACAAAAAGACCUUCAUCAAAAUUUGUAGACUCCGGGUAUGGAUUGGAUCGAGUUUUUUGUUUGAUAUUGAAGAACCACUUUACUAUCGCGAUAUAGAUUAUGUGCAAGGGGUUGUCUACUGUUCUUUGCCUUGUGCUAUGAUCGGUGCUUUUGACGUUGCCCCGAAACAGUGGAAAAUACUUCGAUUUCCUCCGUUUGAUGAUGCAAAGAACUGGUUAAUGUACGAUUACCUAAUUGACUCAGGAUCAAGUAACAACAACAAUUUAUUAAUAGUAGUAUCACAAACGAAGAAGAUUUCGGAGAGGGUGAUGUAUGCCUAUACCGUUUACAGGUUUGAUCCACAGGGGAUGAAGUGGUCUCAAGUGGAAAGUGAUUUAUUAAACAACAAAUCAUUGUUCUUGGGUCAUACCUCAUGAUGUCAUCAAGUGGAAGAUGAAGAUUAUGCAAGACGAAGAUCGUUUGAUAUUGAAGAAUUUGAACAGAAAGCCCAUAGAAAGUACUUAAAUAAGCAUAUUCUUGUUGGGGUAGAAUAUUAAGAAAGGAGUUGUCUACUGUGUGUUGCGUGAUUAGGCUAUGAUCUGUGCUUUGAACAUUGCCCUCAAAACAGUGGAAAAUACUUCAUAUCCUCGACAUGAUGAUGAAAAAUUGGUUACCGAUUACCUAAUUGACUCAGUGACAACAAUCUAUUAAUAGCACAAUUUGGCGUGAUGCCGUUUAGGUAUAUGGUUUUCAAGUUUGAUUCAUCAGUGAUGAAGUGGACUAAAAUAAGAUGUUUAAAUGAUAAGUCAUUGUUCUUGGGCAUAUCGUCAUUACUACUUCUAGUGAUCAAAGAUGAAGAUGAAGAUGAAGAUGAAGAUGAAAAUUGUGCGAGUUCAAGAUUACCAUCAACUCAAUUUUAUGAUUGGAGUGUCUCACCGUGACUCAGACAAAUUCUGAUUCAACCUCCUUCACCAAUGGAUUUUGAUUAGUUAUUUUGUGAUCAAGCAACUUAAUUAAACUCACAGUUUGUUAGUCUAAUUUUAGUUUUACUGUGACCACUAUUCAAGGUAAGCGAAAGUUACAGAUGUGGCAAAAUCAAUAAUUAAAUUCAUAAAAUGUUAAAAAAUAAAACUUAUAAAUUUUGCAUGACUACUUACUAAUAAAUAAAUAAGUUAGAAUGUAGUUAGUUAAUUUUACACCAUAUUAUAUAUUAUUCGAUAAUAAUAUAAAAUAAAAAGAAUUAAAAAAUAAAUAAUUGAAUAAACAAAUAUGACUUUCUAAACAGUAAAAAUUCUAGAGUUAAAAUUUAUAUUAUUAUUUUAUUUUUUAAAAUUGACAUAUUUCUAUUAUCUUACAUGUACACAGAUUUUGAGAGUUGAGAAGAAUAUAUUUAAUGAAGCUUGCUAACAUUUGGUGGGAUAGCAAGUAAGGGUAAAUAAGAUUUUUUUGUUAUUUAUUUGAAUUAUAUCUAUUUUGUUCAAGUUAAAAUACUAAAUAUAAAUUGGAGGUAGACAUUUUAACAGAUCAUCUAAGCUCUCAAAUCUGAAAUUUUGUGUAGAUUUAAAUUCAUAAUUUUAGUUAAUUUUCAUACAUUCAUAUAAACAAAUUUAUGAGAUUUUUCUUUUCAGCAUGUUAUAUUUUGAAACUUUCAAUGUAUUAUUCUAGCUUUAUUUAAAUAAUUAAUUUAUUUAAAAUUUAUUUAAUUUUGAAUUUGAUCAAUAGUAAAAUUAUUUUUAUAUCAAAUUUUUUUAUUUAAAUAGUUCGUGGAUUGGACAAAAUUAAAAAUUUUUAAUCCACAAAAUGGUGGAUUAGAUAUGAAUUGGGUUAAAUACACAUUCGAUCCGCAGUCGUAUGAAUUUGAUUUGGAUUGAAUUUCAUCAAUCCAUGGAUUAGAUUGGAUUGAAAAAUUUAUUAUCCGCAAAAUCGUGGAUCGAAUAUGGACUGAUGUCCAAUCAGCAAAAUCCAAUCCCCGAACACUCCUCUAUCAAAAUUUUCAAGAAUAUUUUUUAUCUUACAAAUUUUUUUUAAAGUCAUAGUCUAAGGGCGGCCCAAUUUCUACUCCAUCCAUAUAAGCGGAGUUCAAAUCUCAUACCUCUUAUCUCCACACAAGAGAUUUAACCAAUUGAAAUAGCUAGCACCCACAAGUAUACUAGUACAGCAUCUCUUAACGUUUAACAUACGUAAAAUUAACGCCAUAGCUAUUGAUAAACACAUUGUUCAAUAUAUAUGAUCAAGAAUCUGAUCCUGCGAGCAACAGCAGUCAGAAGAACCAUUAUAAUGCCUAGCUCUUAUCCUGGUUAAUCCUCUGGCCCGAUGCUUCAUCAUAGUGAUUUAAAAAACCAACAACAGCUCUCUAAAAGAGAUGAAGAUAUCAUCUACGUAAAGAACAUGAGACGGAGAUUCACAACCCAUAAGAACUGAGAUAAAUUGGACCAGACCAGUAAUCUUGAGAUAAGUUAAACUGUGACUUAAGUUGAAAUCAGAGGACAGGAAUUUUAAAAUCUUUCGGCUAAGCCCCUGAGGAAUUUUCUAGAGUACGACUUCUGCUUACCUCUGUUUAAUUUCUCUUUAUAUUUUUCUUUCAUUUCAUUAAUAAAGUCAAAUAAUAAAUCAAAGAACGAGGGAAGAUUUUUCCAAGUCAUGCAUUAUUUGAUUACCAUCAAUCAAGAAACCGACCAAAUUAAUUUCUCUCCGUGAUUUUUAAAAAUUAAAAAAAAAAUAUUUGAGCAUAACAUCAUUAAUUAUAGAGUGGAUCAAACUGCGUUAAUCAUGAACUUUGUUGUGUUAAUUAUUUCAAUCCCCGAUUACGCAAUUUUUAAAUUAUAGCCUAACGGUGGUCUCAUCACCACGUGUGUGAUUUUCUUUUGCCAAUAGGAUCUGUAGAGAGCUUGAUCUCACCCAAUAGCAAAAUAAACUUCCUAAUAAGUGAAGGCAUAGUAUAAAUAAUUCACCCCCAUAUUAUUUAUUAGCAGCUUGAUUAUUUUAUAUGCAUCUUUGAUUUAAAUUUUUUUUUCCCAUAAUUGCUACUAUGUUCGAACUGGUCAUGAAUUAUCUAUAAGAUUUUUCAUGUUGCUUUUAGGUGCAUUGGAUUUUUUUUAGUUUAGUGCAAGAGUAGAGGAAGGCAAAUUAAGAAAAAGGAUAAAGAUCUAUGAUUAGCUAUUUUGGGAUGUCUCAUAACAUAUUGAUGGUAACAUUAUACAUAUGUAUAUCUAAAUAAUGGGGUUGGAUCAAGAGCCCAUUAAUAAUCAUAGAUUAGCUUAUAUAGCAAUUUCACAAGCACAUGUUAGCCUAUGUUGAGCUUUAUUAUCAAUAGUUCAUAGUUCAUCGGUGCACUGCAGGUUUACUAUUUGAAGUAAAUGUUAUGGUGCGUGCAUUUUUCAUAAGGCCAACCGCUGAAUUUAGCAUUGAAACUUACAAAAUGUAAUAGAGAGAGGUAGAUAACAGCCACAAAACACUAAGAUUGGAAAUCAGGGCUACUAAAUACUAUUACAAGCCCUUAGAAAAGACACUGAUCAUCCUGGAAUAUAUAUACUGAAAGUAAGAAAUAUUAAUCGCAAAGUUAUGUGCCAACAAAACUAUUGACCACUUGUCCCUAGCAGAAGGUAUAUAUUUUUAACUUCAGCUCUCUACUUUGUUCUAAGAACUAGGCAAAAGAAUGAAACUUCACUGUCUAAAGUUUGCCGCUUGGAAUAUUUCACUGUCUAAACAUUCACUCACCACUAAUUUCACAAAUGAAUUUUGUCUAACUAUAUGUUGAUAACGAUAUUAGAGGUAAUAUAAUGCAUUUAAGGCUUAACAUAUAUUUUUUAUUAGUAGAGUGUAGAAUUUUUAAGAAAUAAAUUAUUAAAUUACUAUAACUAACAUAUUAUUUUAAAGUUAUGUUAAGAAAAGAAUGAAACAAAAAAAAAAAAAAAAAUAAGGGUAUUCUAAAACUUUGAUCCUUUUAAAAGUAGUUUUUGACGUAAAUAAAAUAAUUUUUAUUUUUUUAAAUCACAUACUCUAGUUAAAAUCAAAUUUGUAUUUAUAAAGCUUGUAAAUUUUUUUUAGCAUUAAUAUUUGAAUACUUUCAAGAUAAGAAAUAGGGUACUAAUUAUGCUACAACAUUAUUAUAGCAUAUAAAAAGACAAUACCCUUUAUAUUAUUAUACUAUCGUUUUUGUUAUGAUAGUAUUUUGUUAGUGGUCAAAUAUUACUUUUUUAAGUAAAAAAGUAGACAAAUGUAAAUCAAUUUUUAAUCUCUCCUAAAAUUCUAAUUCCUAGUUACCAAACAAAAUUGUUUGAAAAUAAUUUGGCUAAGUGCAUGGGUUCUUAAAAGUUAAAACUAUAGGUGAUAGAAGUUACUAGCACAAGCAAUUUUGACGGUCCAUUUUAUAAAAAUUUUUAAUAAUUUUUUAUUUACCAUUUUACCACCUAUAUAAAGAGUGCCACAUCGACAUAUCAAUUCAUUUGCAAAUUAUAUUAAUUUUGUAAAAUUCAUUUGACUUGCUAAACCCUUCUUAUCCCCUUUCUCGACUGUCAUACCCUAACCUUAUUAAUCCAACUGGCAAGUGCUCACAAUGACCGACAGCCUCUCCAUCUCCAUUUCAAGCUUCCUCUUCAACUGGCUUCUGCUUCCGUCGUACGCUUCCUUGGAUUCGGAGUCCGUAUUCGCUCGACCGGUCCGGCACAGCUCCCUCUCACUCCAAUUGUCACCCAACAAGACCAAUUGCUUAACAUUGAUCGUAUGGCAAUUGUCCGUAUUUCUUGGAUUCAGAGUCCGUAUGGCACAGAACAAGAAGAGUAUGAGAGAGAGAUUUGGAAAUCGAAACGUACGCAUUGACCGUGCCUUUGAGGGCAAUUACUUUUCUUGAGAAUUGAAGUUUGGUAAUGUAAUUUGUUCUCUAUCUGUGUCCCCUUUGUAGUCAUUUCAUUUAUUUGUUUGUUUGCUUUUAUUUGCACUUACGAAGUCUCAGAUAUAUCUACGCAAGAAUGAUGCAGGAGAAAUUGAUCCUCGAGCUUACAAGAAAAGUAAAUUUCGAAAGCAUAAUUUGGCUCCGAUUGAGGUAAUAAUUGUCUUUAAACUCAUUUAGUUUUAUAUCAAACAAAAUCAAGGCUGCCUUUCUCUUCAAUAUUUUUUAUGAUAAUAUCUUUAGAAGCAUCUCAUUGACGGGUAAUCAUGGUAUCCCUUAAAGAGUCUAUAAACUCAAUGAUAUUUUCUUCUGCAAAUGGUUCAUUAAACUUCUUAGACGUAGUUAAAUGUACACUAAGAACAACGAGAAGCUAUGCCGCUGUAGCAUGUAGUGAGAUCUUGUUUGAAGUUGUUUUCUGAAAUGAACUGCCAAAUGGUAGUUUUUUUUUUCUUGGGUGCAUUUGAUGACUCUUUUCUCCUCAUUUUAAACAUGUACCUGCUUGGAAUGGGAAGGAAUAGGCUUCCGAGUUGUUAUAUAUGUUGACAUGCUCUGGUCAUUACACAAAAUGCUCAAAUUGGAAAUUAGAAUGAGAUAUUUGUCGAUGCUUUUUGAGAGAUCUGCAUUCUAUGCACCAUAACAUGAUUAAUGAAAACAGGUUUAAGGACUGGAAAGAUCUGUGGCGGCCCAAGCUUGCAGGAAGGAUUUCAAUGGUUAAUUCUCCCAGAGAGGUUAUUGGUACAAUUUUGAAGUAUCUGGGAGCAUCAUGCAAUUCAAACGACAUUGAUUAGCAACUUGCUGCUGGGAGGAUUGUUGUCAGCAGAAUCUGGCAUUACUGGGAAACCAGGUACUCUUAAAGAAAUGAUAUCUGGUCAAUGCAUAUUAUUGCCUGACAGCUGAUUUUGUUUGUAAAGUCUGCCUCUUCAUACAUAUGAAUGCAUAUGUUAGUGUUUUCUUCUCCUUUUAAUACACAUGAAUGCAUAUGUUAGUGUUGUCUUCUCCAUUCCAUAAAUAUGAAUGCAUAUGCUCUGGGUGUUGGUUACUACUUCAAGUGGAAGGUGAAGGUGAUGCAAGUGAUUUCAGGAGUACAUAUAUUCCAAGGAUGCCGGACUAUUAUUGCUUCCCCCCAUAUUUCAGAAUUUUUUGUCAACCUCCUCCACUAAGGGAUUCCAAUUGAGUUACAAAUAUAUUUUCUGUAGCUCUGUUUUAAAUUUUUGGUCUCAUGUUAAUUUUUCUAAUUACUAUUCUUCAACAAAUCUCUUUUACUUUAAAAAACUGCUACAGUUUGAUUUUACUGCCUUAUAUCAUUGAACAUUGAUACAUGGAAUUUGAAAUCAGACUUGUAACAACAGAUAAAUAGAUAUAGAACAUGCAUAUAAUCUCCAUUUCGAGCUCCCUCUCCAACUGGCUUCUGCUUCCGUCUUACUCUUUCUCGGAUUCGGAGUCCGUAUUUGCUCAGCCGGUCCUGCCCAGCUCCCUUUCACUCCAAUUGUCACCCAACAAGACCAAUUGCUUAAUCAAGGCACAGAACAAGAAGAGGAUGAGAAGUUGAAACAAGAAUUUGAGAAUUGGAAAUCGAAAAUGUAUGCAUUGACUGUGCCUCUAAGGGUUGUUUCUCUUCAGAAUUCAAUGCCUCAAUCUUGGGUUAAGGAUUUUAUGCGAAGUCAAGGAAAGAGAUUGAAGUUUCAGAUGAAUUUGUGUGCUAGCAUUGGUGGGAUCUUUAACAAUUUAUCUGUGCCCUUUAACAAAGUUAAGGGUAAGUCAGCUUCGUAUACGGCUGCUGAUUUGGUUAGUGUUGGUGAUUCAUGGCUCAGUUUUACAAUUAAAAAGAGAUUGAUUGAGCCAAUAGCUGAAGCUGAAGAUCAAGACUGGUUCAAAUGCUUAUGUCACAAAUGGAAGGUAACAUCAUUAUCUUUGACCCGAUAAUUUUUAUUGUCUUACAUUGAAAUUUGGUAAUGUAAUUUGUUCUCUAUUUGUGUUACCCUUUGUAGUCGUUUUAUUUAUUUGUUUAUUUGCUUUUAUUUGCACUAACGAAAUCUCAGGUAUAUCUAUGCAGGAAUGAUGCAGGAGAAAUUGAUCCUCGAGGUAAAAUAUGGGCGGCACCAUACAGGUGGGGCACAACGGUGAUAGCCUACAAGAAAAGUAAAUUUCGAAAGCAUAAUUUGGCUCCGAUUGAGGUAAUAAUUGUCUUUAAACUCAUUUAGUUUUAUAUCAAACAAAAUCAAGACUGCCUUUCUCUUCAAUAUUUUUGAUGAUAAUAUCUUUAGAAGCAUCUCAUUGACGGGUAACAAUGGUAUCCCUGAAAGUGUCUUUAAACUCAAUGAUAUUAUCUUCUACAAAUGGUUCAUUAAACUUUGUUGUUGUAGUCAAAUGUACACUCAGAGCAAUGAGAAGCUAUGGCACUGUAGCAUGUAGUGAUGGCACUUAAUAAGUGAGUUGCUAGGAUGUGAACUAGAAAAAUUAAAUAUUGUCUCCUUGGGUAUGCUAGCUUGUAAGUCAGGGUUAAUAUUAGAGCUUAAGUUACUAUAACCAUGAGACGCUAUUGACUGCCAAUUAAAAUAUCCAUUAAAUUGUCUAGGAAGUUAUGAAAGUGGAGGUAUCUUCCGAUUUCUAAGGCCAGAUAGUAGACAUCAUCCAGGAUCCUAGGAAAGUGCAGUUAACCUCCUGCUCGAUGCAAUUAAUAAAUUUGGUCAAUGCCACUGAAACCUGCUAACCGACGUCACAAUGCGAGAUGAGCACUUCAAAAUGGGACAGACGGUCAGUAGCACUAAAUUUUUCUUUCCUAAGAUUGAGCAAUUGGUCUAACUACUAACCCCUAUUGUAGGUUGAUCAUUAUUUUUCCAAUUAUGUUCAGUUUGACCCAAAAAGUUACAGAAUCUUGAGCUGAAUAUUGUCACUGAACACUGUCAAUGUCAUUUAGCAUACCCAACUAACUUGAGUUUGGUAAAACAAACACACUGUGCGUCUCAUCUCUCACAAUUCAAAUUAUCAUCUGUAAUGAUGGAGAAUUUUUCCAAUGUAUGAAGUAUGCUUUGAUAUGUGUACCUUGGAGAAGAUAUCUCCAAAUAAAGAAUAUGGAGAGAAAACGGUUCAGUAGUUUAUUAUUCUGUAGGCAAGUCUUGUCUCGAAAAUGGUCAAAAUUUAAAUGAAUAAGGACAGGGGAUCUUCAUUCUUUUUUCCCUUUUUUAUACCAAGAUAUCUCUCAACCUUUAUAUAAUCCCCACUGGAUAUCUGCUUCUAAUAAUUAAAAUAAAAAUUUCACUCACACAAAUAAAUACUGACCAAGCUCUAACAAUAUAAAGUAACAUCUUUACUCAAGUAAUUUACAGUUCCUCAUCAUCUUAGUGUGAGACUAUCAUUACGUUCCAAAAACAAAAUAAAACUGGUUUGAUCCUGUUUAUUGAUGUUUAAAUGUUGUUCAUUGUGACAUGUAGAAAUGAUGAAGCGAAGUUUAUUUGGUCAUCAAUUAGUAAGAUCUUGUUUGAAGUUGUUUUCUGAAAUGAACUGCCUUUUUUUUGGGCAUAUGAUGGCUCUUUUUUCCUCAUUUUCAACAUGUGCCUGCUUGGAAUGGGAUGGAUUUGGCUGCAGAGUUGUUAUAUAUUUUGAGAUGCUCUGGCUGUUGUGAAAAUUUUAAUAUACUCGCAAGCACACGAAUCUAGAAAUAGAAUAGUGAUAACGAGGUCGAACCCACAGGGAUUAUUGAAAAGUCUAAUUUAAAUCUAAAAUUAAUAUUAAUUCUAACCUAGUUGAGCAAAUUGAGUUUUAAGAGAAAUUAAACUAAUUAAACUAAGAAAAUAAUUAAAGUAAAGGAGAAUUCAAUAAGACAAAAAUUACCAAGGUUUCAGAAUCCACCACUAUUCAACUAGUAAUUAUCUAAUUAUUAAUUAAUCCCCAAUUUUAGAGUGACAACUCGAAAUCAAUCUAUGUCAUCUCAUGGAUAUAACAAUUAAGCCCAAGUAAUUAAAUCUAAUGUAGGUUCUUUUUCUACUUAAUAGUAUGAUAUCUAAGAAUCUCAUGUAAACAUAUUGAAUAACAAAGAGUCAAAGUUUUCUUAAGCACUCUAUGUAAACAAUUUAAUGAAAGACAUAAAAUCAAAGAUAAUCAUGCAUAAACUUUAUAGAUCCAAGCAUAGAUUUAAUCGAAUAUUAAUCCUAACAAUCAAUAAUGCAUAACAGAAUUGAUGAAAAGAUUUUAAUAACAUCCAACUAAUCAUGUGAAAUAAAAACCAUAAUCAUUAAAGAACAUAUAUAGGGAAUUAAAUAAAUAAAAAAAUAAUUAUUUCAUUGAAUAGGGUUUCAUCCUUAACCUCAGUAUAAGAAAAUUAGUUAGACAUACUUGAAUUGGGAAAAACAAAAGAGAUAAAACCGGCCAUGAGGAAUAUUGAACUGUUGGUGCCGAUUGCUCUUUUCCAGCCUUGCGUCUGCUUUCCUCUGGCGGCUACCUCCCCCCUUGCAAAAGCCAAAGUUCGGCUUUUAUAUUGUAACUCCCCCACAAAAUCCUCAAAUCAAAAGGUUUUAAAACAAGCCAAGCACAACCGACUUUGAGCCCAUGCAUGUGAAGCCCAAUUGGAAUUUUCAUUCCUUUUUUAAUGCCAUGCAAUUGCUUUCCCACGUGCUGGCCACUUUAGCUUUAAAUUUCUUCUUUGUUUGCACUAGCAUGGAGAAUUCAAUUUAUUGGCUUCGGCUUCUUCGGAUUGAAUUUCAUACACAUCUACUUAAUUGCUUCCACAAAUUGACUUGAUUUUUAAUGUUGUCCAAUUGUUAUUCUUUAUGUACUUUUCAUCCUUAAUCUCCAAUUAAUUCCCUAUUCAAUAAAAUUAACUUAGCAAUUAUAUAAUAAAGGGUAAAAUAUGUAUAUAAAUUAUGCUCAUCACUGGCCAUUGCACAAUUUGUUCACACUGGAAAUUUGAAUGAGAAAUUUGUUGAUGCUGUUUUGAGAGAUCUGCAUUCUAUGCACAAUAACAUGAUUAAUGAAAAUGGAUUGUAGGACUGGAAAGAUCUGUGGCAGCCUGAGCUCGCAGGAAGAAUUUCAAUGGUUAAUUCUCCCCGAGAGGUUAUUGGUUCAGUUUUGAAGUAUAUGGGAGCAUCAUACAAUUCAAACGAUAUUGAUUCGCAAGUUGCAGGUGGGAAGAUUGCUGUUCAGCAGAAUCUGGCAUUACUGGCAAACCAGGUACUCUUAAAGAAAUGAUAUCUGAUCAUUGCAUGUUAUUGCCUGACAACUGAUUUUGUUUGUAAAAGUCUGCUUCUUCAUACAUAUGAAUGCAUAUGUUAGUGUUCUCUUCUCCUUUUCAUACAUAUGAAUGCAUAUGUUGGUGUUGUCUUUUCCUUUUCAUACAUAUUAAUACAUAUAUUGGUGCUCUCUCCUGAGAUGGAUGCAAUAAAGGCUUUUGGUCCUAAAUUUAGGUGAAGAAAUGGCAAGGGAUGUGAGAUUCUGUCUCAUUAAAUUAACAAAAACCCAAAACAAUGAAAACCCAUAAUAAUGUGGUGGGGGUAAAUUGGCACCAUUUGGUUUGUUUACUUAAUGUGAAUACACGAGCAAUAGGGACUAACAAAAUGAAGUGACAACAACAAGUCAGUGUCCUUUGAUGGAUGCAUUUUAGGCAAAAAUAGGUUUGUAAUUGACCAAUUUCAAAAAAUUUAAAUUAUGUGGUUAUUAGCUGUAAUGAAGGGGAUAGGAGGUGCAAUCAGGUGGAUCCAGGAAAGUUCAACAAAGUUCUGGUAUGGCAUAGUGAAAUUGGUUUGUGCAACUCAAGAGUCUUUCAGGUGAACGAUGAUAUGUUUUGAUUUAUAAAUGUUAUAAAUCUACCGUCCAUAGUAUUCUAGUAGAAUCAUCUAUAAGUUCUAGUUAUUGAAAUUGUCUACUUUGUCCAGUUUGAGUUAAGGGCACAUGUAAUAGGAAAAAUAGUUGUCACAUCUUUUUGGUUACCUAACAUUUGAUCAAUCCUAUUAUGAGGGCUUCAAGAUGUCUAACAAUAUGUAGAAUGCCCAUGCUCCUCCCCAUUGUUUAUCUUAUACAAUAAUUUGUUUUAGAUGCUAAUAUAUUUGUCGAUACCGGUAACGAUAUUACAAUAUCUGCAUUUAUUGGGUUUUACAUAGGUUCGACUGUUUGACAGUACACACUAUCUGAAGGCAUUUGGAAUUGGAGAUGUAUGGGUUGCUGUUGGGUGGAGUAGUGAUGUUCUUCCUGCUGUCAAACGUAUGUCUAAUGUUGCAGUUGUUCCCAAGUCUGGUGCUAGCUUAUGGGCCGAUCUUUGGGUAUACCCAUGCCGGCCAUUCUACUUCGAUAUUCACGUUGUUAUCUCCUUCAUAUUAGCGAUCAUAAACUUGAUAAUGUGACUAAUAAGUUCGUAUUCUCUUUAUAGGCAAUCCCUGCUGCCUCAAGACUUGAAACAAAAGAAAUUGGAGGGCGAGUCUGAGGUCCAUCUCCAUUAAUCCAUCAAUGGAUAGAAUCCUGCUUGCAAACAGCGAGAACAUUGCCUUUCAAGCAAGAGGUUAUCCCGGGCGCAUCUCCCUCUGCCCUUGAAAGUACUCUGGUUAAGUUGCCUGAAGAACUUCUGAAGGGUAAACCAAGUCUGGAUACUAACUUAAUUGCUGGAGUACCCCCGGCUGAAAUUCUGGCCAGAUGUGAGUUUUUGGAGCCAUUGUCUGAAGCUACAUUGUCAUAUUAUGAGUGGCUGGUUGCUAAUCUGCAAAAACCUGCCCCCCUCUUGAUGAAUAGGCUGCAACAUUACUUGUCAUCAUUAAUCCAAAGCUUUCUAGCAAAAGCUACAUUGAAAAGUUAAUGGCACUGCAUGCCAGUCAUUGUAAUGCUGUCAGGGCUAUUGGGUCAGGGCUAUUGGGUCAGAGCAUAACUUCAUUAGGAAAAGAGGCUUCAGCUACGUUAAAUAUUACAGGAUGUACUGAGAUGGCUGAAGUUCUUGAGGUUUUACGAGAAACGAAAGAUGAGUGUUUGUUUGAACAAAGUUGUUGCCAUCUUGCAGAGUUUGAGAAGAAAGAUCACUGAGCGAAUGCCACCGAUUUCUUAAUCAUUGUAGCCUCCAUAGUUGAAGUUUCCUUAUUUGAAGCUGUUUAUGCGUACGCUUUUUCCCUGCUCAAGUACAGGAAAUUGAAGAAUUAACCAGAUGUGAUAUGCUGAAAGAGGGAAGUUUUCUUCCUUGAACGUGGCCUUGUGAUUUGUCUUGGAAGGAAUAGGAUGAUCACUGGCAAGAACCCUAUCAAGGUAGAUUUUAUGGUGCUAACGUAUUAUUAAGCAUUUUGUUACAUCAGCAAUGAUGCUUUCAUAGCAUGAAAGGGUUUAAAUUUAACUGAAUGAUUCUGAUUAAUCAAUUAUGAGUUUGAAUCGAGUAAAAACUAAAUACAAUCAUCGUUAACAAUACUGAAAAAAUUUAACUGAAUCAUCGUUAAUUGAGUAAAUAGGAUCUUGAUAUUGAAGAAUUUGAAAUCACAACGCACACAGGAAAUUGAAGAAUUUGAAAUACAAUCAUCGUUAACAAUAUAAGAUGAGUGUUUGUUUGAACAAAGUUGUUGCCAAUCUUGCCGAGUUCGAAAAAAAAGAUCACGGAGCAAAUGCCACUGAUUUCUUCAUCAUUGUAGCCUCCAUAGUUGAAGUUUCCUCAUGUGAAGCUGUACAUCAAGUACAGGAAAUUGAAGAAUUAACCAGAUGUGAUAUGCUGAAAGAGGGAAGUUUUCUCCCUUGAAUGUGGCCUUUGUGAUUUGUCUUGAAGGAAUAGGAUGAUCACCGGCAAGAACCCUAUCAAGGUAGAUUUUAUGAUGUUAACAUAUUAUUAAGCAUUUUGUUACAUCAGCAAUGAUGCUUUCAUAGCAUGAAAGUGUUUAAAUUUAACUGAAUGAUCUUGAUUAAUCAAUAAUGAGUUUUAAUCGAGUAAAAACUAAAUACAAUAAUUGUUAACAAAUACUGAAAUUGGGUAAAUAUGAUCUUGCUAUUGAAGAAUUUGAAAUCACAACCCACACAGGAAAUCACCCUUCGCGUGGAGAUGGAGAUGUUUACUGCAGCGAUAUUGAAUAUGUCCACUGCUCUUUGGGUUAUGGUGCGACUUGCGAUUUCAAGGUUGCCCUGAAACAAUGGAAAAGAAUUAACAUACCCUGCAAUGAAUGAAAGCGGCUGGACUAAUUCUGAUUACCUGAUUGACUCAGGAUCGGAUGGCAAUAAAGACAGUUUAUUAACAAUGCACAGUCCCGAGUACUUUUUCAGGAUCAGAUAUUACGUGGUCUAAUGUUGAUAAUAAUAGAUUAUCAAAUGAGAGAUGCUGAGAGAUGCUGGUCUAGUAUUGCAAGCCCCCAGAUUUAAGAAUCUUUUGAUGAUAAUUUACCACCUGUAACUGUGCCGGAAGAUUCACCUAGCAUUGAAAAAGAUGAUAAUUUAAUUGAUAUGGAUAGUUUUCAUAACACUUUUAAAUCAUCUUAUGUAAUUAUAAUGUUGAGAAGCAUUAGUGGUCUAUAUGUGAACUAUUAUUGACGCUAUUUUGUUGUAAACAAUCUUAUUCAAUUAAUGUAUAAUUUAAAAUCAUUAUGUAAAUCAAUCUAUUACUUUUCAUGAUAUUUAACUGAGUUAAAACUAAGUGCACCCAAUAAAUCUCUUUUCCUUUAAAAAACUGUUACGCUUUGAUUUUAGUGCUUAAUAUUUACGGAACUCCGGUACAGGGAAUUCGAAAUCAAACUCGUAACUACAGAUUAUCUAAUUGCAAGCUUUUGUCCAUAGUUGCUGAUUGUAGUGAUUAUCUAAUUGACUGAGGUGACAACAAUUUUUUUUUUUAAUUUUCAAUAGCAUAAUGUGGAAUUCAAUAAUUAAAUUCUCCUUUUUAAUUUGUUUCCAGUUAAAUUAUUAAUUACUUAAACUCUGUUUUAAGUCUUUAAUUUUAUGUCUUGGCGUAUAUGCAGGGUUGGAUUCUUGAGCGUGUUGGACACGACCAACAAUGAAAUUGACAGUAAACAAACAUUAUAACGCGUUGAGUGUCGACUCCGCUAGCUGCCCUACAAGUCUACAACUUUACAAACAAUAACUGAGUACACACAUUUGAUUCUCAGGGCCUUUCAAUGAAUUUCUAGGCCGGUUGACUCCACCGACAAAAGUUUUGGAAAAUAAAAAAGAAAAUUCAUAGAAUUCCACCAAAUGCAAAACGCGUGGAAUUUAAUUUUCGGCUGUGUGGACCAAAACAUAAUUUAAUGAAAAAAAAGAUAAGAUUUCUAGAAUGUGUGGAAGGUGAUCCAUAUUUUACUGAAACAACUUAUUAAAUUUUUCAAGGAUUUAGAAUAUUUGGUCAUAAAUUACGCUCAUGUUAAUUUUUCCACUGUUGACUAUCAUAUUCUAGACUCACUGGUACCUUUCUUGAUGAAGGGUACUUAGUCUCUCUUCUCCUCUUAUAAAAAUUAUAUUAAUUAAUUUCUUAUUAUAAUAAAUAGUCUUUAAGAACGUAUAGAUUUAUUGUUUUCGUGACCAAAUUAUGCCAGCUUAAGGUUGCGACUAUUAAUAAAAUUAAUAUUUAAUGUUUAUGUUAAAAGAUAUAAGAUUUUUUGCAUUCAUUAAUUGUCAUUAGCUAAAGGAUUAAUUAUUUUUUCAACCCAAUCAGUUGAUGCAUCUGCAAGAAUUUUUUCUUUUAUUGACCAUAAUUAUAUUCCGGGUACAAUAAAUUAUCUUUGGUGCUUGGAAAAUAUGACUUCUUACUUCAAGUUUGAUGUGUCUCUCUCCAUAAGCUUACUGGAAAUAUAUCCUCAUCUACUGUCAUUUAUCUAAUAUCAAUUGAAUAUCUGACUUUUUCAAACUAUCACUUCCAAGUCUCAUUGUCACUUGGCCAUUCUUGGACCAUUCAAAACCAAACAAGUGUUGAAAUAAUCAAAUAUAUGCAAAAUUAGAGUCACGACUUUUGGUCCUCCAAAUUCUAAUUAUAUUACUUCUAUAUAUCUCAUUGUCAGGUCACGAACUUGUUGGCACAUUUUCCAAAUUCCUCUUCCAUCAGCUCUUACACGUUAACUUAAGUGGAAAGUUUCCAAGUUGAUUGCUAGAAAGCAACGCAAAAUCAGACACGCUUGAUCUGUCCCCUAAUUCUCUUUUCUACGUUGAAAAAGAAAAAAAAUAAGAAAAAAGAAAAUAGAUCUAUGUAAAAAUAAAUAAUAAACUGAGUAAAAGUACAUUUGUUUAUUUAACAUCUGAUCGGGGCAUUUUUGGUGUAAUUUCGUGCUGUGUUUAACCCACAACUAAAAUCAAACAGCCCCUUAGAAUACUUCUUCCAUUUUGGGUGCGUUUGGGAUUGAGGUUGGGCAGCUGUAACUUAAAAACUACAGCACUAAAGUGUUUGAUAAACACUAACUGCUGUAGCUUUUAAGCUAUGUUGAUAUGGUUUUUCACUUGUAUAAUACAAAAUUUAUUAUAUCUUUAAUAAUUUUAUCAAAAUUAUUAUUUAAAAUUUAUAUUUACUAUAUAUUAUUAACUUUUGUUUCAUAAUUACAGCUUUUUUUUCACAGCAACUGUAGCUUAAAAGCUACAGCAUCUCAAUCCCAAACGCACCCUUUAUCUGCUACUUUUGUGGAUCUUAUAGGGUGGGCAUGUGAACAGAAUUUAAAAAUUUUAAUAGUCUCAAAGAAUAAGAUAUGCUAAAGCUAAAGUUGUUGCACCUUCUAAUUAAAUAAAGUUGUAUAAUUUCACCAACUUGGAAGAAUUGAUAUUAAUGGACGGUCCCCUCUCCAUAUAUGAAGCCUUCUUAAAAGUUAAUUUUUAUUUCAGAAAAAAAAAGUUUAAGUUACAUAUAUUAUAGUAAGAUUUUUUUAGACCAAUUCCCUUCUUGAAAUAAUAAUGGAAAAGCAUUAAUUUAAAAAUAAAAUGAAUAUGUAUUGAUUAUAUCCUGAUUUUCAUCGAUUAUAGUGAGAGUUUCUCCAAAUCAAUUCCCUUAUUCAAAUAAUACAGAAAAAAUAGUAAUUUAAUAGUAAAAUAAACAAGUGUUGAUUAUAUAUUCUAAGUUUCAUCGAUUAUGUGAUCAAAGUGGCAUUGUUGAUUUAUUUCUUGUUCAAUGUUAAUUUUUAGGUUAUAUAAAUUUCAAGGAUCUAAAAUCUUUGGUCAUGGAUUACACGCUUGUUAAUUUUUCUGCCAUUAACUGUCAUAUUCUAGACUUAAUGAUACCUUUCUUGAUCAAGCGUAAUUAUUCUCUCUUCUCCUCUUAUAAAUUCCUCUUCCAUUAACAUCACUAGGAGUAUGUUGAUCUCUCAGACGUUAACUUGAGUGGAGAGUUUCCAAAUUGAUUGUUACAAAACAACACAAAAACUAGACACACUUGAUCUGUCUAAUAAUUCUCUUUCGGUAAAAUUAAUUAAUUUUAGGGAAAUAUUCUGCCAACCUCUGUAAUUUCAAAGUGAUCAUUAAUUAAUUAAACGAUACAAAUAUCUAAAGUGAUUAGAUGUUUGCCGACAAUACAAGUUCAUGACUUGAAAUUUGAUCUCUAUCGAUUGGUUUACAAAUGGACGUACUUGUGCCUUUGUGGCGAUAAUCAAACAAGUUCCCAUGAUUAUUAUUUUUUCCAAAAACGUUUUUACAACAAAUUCAUCUCGCCAAAAAUUCUAUGUUGCUAACUAACAAUAAUUGAGCACUUGGCCGCAUUGACCCCACGUCUCCACCUCUUUCUAAAAACAUGGAAAAUGUAAUUUCCACAAAAUGCCAAACGUGUGGAAUUUAAUUUUUUUGCCUUGUGGAUCAAAAUACAAAUGAAAGAAACAGGAGAAAAAAAAGGCCCAAAGACUUCUAAAAGAUGAAGAAGUCUUUGGGCCUUUUUAUAAUGGUGAAUUUUUUAAAAGAAAAAAAAUAACAACAUUUUUAUGGUUUGUUUUGAUAAUCAUAUUUACAUAUACUCUCUAAUUUUCAAAAUGGACACAUAAAUCUUUUUUUUUACAAAAUAUAUAUUAUUCAUAUUUUUUAUUUUUUAUUAUCAUAUUUUUAUUUAUUAUAAAUGUUUAGAGUAAAUUUUUAGGUUGAAAUAUAAUAAAAAUGUAUAAUCGUUCUCUUAUUAAACACACAUACUUUUAUUAGUUUCUAUGCAUUUGUCAUCUCAAUCUCUCUCAAUUAUUCUUUAUUGCUAGCUCAAAACGCGUUGCUGUUGCAAAUUAUAGCAAAAUGACAAAUAUGGAAAAAAAGGGAAGAAAAUUAAUGCAUGAAAGACUUGGAGAAAACAACAAAAUAAGCCAACUAUGAGCUAGUUGGGUGUAUAAAUUGUUAGAUGUGUUAUAUACAAAUAGCAUAGAGCCCUCUAGUUAGUUCCAGAGACAGAAAGAGCGUGUGUGUUUUUUCACAGUUAGAGAUAUAGUUAGAAUGGGUGGUUCAAAAUCAAAAAUGAUGAUAAUGUUUAUUAUGUUAUUAAUAAUAUUUAAAAGUGGGUGGAGUGAGGGAUGUUUGGAUCACGAGAGAUUUGCUCUUUUGCGACUCAAACAUUUCUUCGAUGAUAGUUAUCUUUAUGACUGGGCCGAUGAUGAGGGAGCUACUGAUUGUUGUCAGUGGGAAAAUGUUGAGUGCAGCAACACCACAGGCCGAGUGAUAGCGCUAGACCUUUUUGACACGCAUGGGGGAGAGCACAGCUGGUAUAUGAAUGCUUCUUUGUUUACUCCCUUCCAACAACUUGAGUCACUUGAUUUAACUGACAACAAUAUAGCCGGUUGUGUUGAGAAUGAAGGUGCUUCGUUUAAUUUAAUUAAUUUACUUUCUCCCCCCAAAUUUAAGUUGAAUAUCAAGACCGAGCAAUUAUAUGCAUAUUCAUUUAGUCGACAAUUUUGACUUUUUUUUAAAUGAUUAAUUUUGAAAUUACACCAGUAUCUAUGAUCUUUUUUUAUUUUAUUUUAUUUGCAGGUAUAGAGAGGCUAUCAAGAUUGAACAACUUGAAGAUGCUUAAUUUAAGUCGAAACUCAUUCAAUAAUAGCAUUUUAUCAUCUCUAACUCAUCUUUCAUCAUUAAGAUCAUUAAAUUUACUUUGGAAUAGAUUGGAAGGAAGUAUUGACGUUAAAGGUACAUAAUUAAAACUUCAAGCUCUUUCAUUAACUUGCUAAAAUAAGAUUCAAGGCUUUGAAAGAAAAAGAGAGAAAAAAACAAGGCCCAAAGACUUCUAAAAGAUGUAAAAGUCUUUGGGCUUUUUUAUAAUGGUGGAUUUUUUAAAAGGAAAAAAUAACAACGCUUCUAUGGUUUGUUUUGAUAAUCACAUUUACAUAUACUCUCUAAAUUUCAAAAUGGACACAUAAAUCUUUUUUUUUUCUACAAAUGUAUAUUGUAUUUUUUAUUAUUUUUAAUAUCAUAUUGUUAUUUAUUAUAAAUAUUUAAAGUAAAUUUUUAAGUUGAAAUAUAAUAAAAGAGUAUAAUCGUUCUCUUCUUAAACACUCAUACUUUUAGUUUCUAUCCAUUUGUCAUCUCAAUCUCUCUCAAUUAUUCAUUAUUGCUAGCUCAAAACGCGUUGCUGUGGAAAAUUAUAGCAAAAAGACAAAUAUGGAAAAGAAAAAAGGGAAGAAAAUUAAUGCAUGAAAGACUUGGAGAAAACAACGAAGUAAGUCAACUAUAAUCUAGCUGGGUGUAUAAAUUGUUUGAUGCUUUAUAAGCAAAUAACAUACAGAGACAGACAAUGUGUGUUCGUUUUUUCAUAGUUAAAGAUAUAGUUAGAAUGGGUGGUUCAAAAUCAAAAAUGGUGAUAAUGUUUGUUAUGUUAUUAAUAAUAUUUAAAAGUGGGUGGAGUGAGGGAUGUUUGGAUCACGAGAGAUUUGCUCUUUUACGACUCAAACAUUUCUUCAAUGAUCCUCUUAAUUCUCUUUACGACUGGGUAGAUGGUGAGGGAGCUACUGAUUGUUGUCAGUGGGAAAGGGUUGAGUGCAGCAACACCACAGGCCAAGUGAUAGCGUUGCACCUUUCUAAUAUAUAUUUGGGAGAGUACAGCUGGUAUCUGAAUGCUUCUUUGUUUACUCCCUUCCAACAACUUGAGUCACUUGAUUUAAGUUUCAACAAAAUAGCCGGUUGUGAUGAGAAUGAAGGUGCUUCGUUUAAUUUAAUUAAUUUACUUUCUCUCUCCUAAUUUAAGUGGUAUAUUAAAAUUGAGCAACUAUAUGCAUAUACAUUAGUUGACAAUUUUGACAUAUUUUUUGAAGUGAUUAAUUAAUUUUGAAAUUACACCAAAUAUCUAUGAUCAUUUUUUUUUAUUUUACUUGAAGGUAUAAAGAGGUUAUCAAGAUUGAACAACUUGAAGAUGCUUAAUUUAAGUGCUAACUCGUUCAACAAUAGCAUUUUAUCAUCUCUAACUCAUCUUUCAUCAAUAAGAUCAUUAAAUUUAUAUGUGAAUGAAUUGGAAGGAAGUAUUGAUGCUAAAGGUACAUAUUUAAAACUUCUCUCUUCCCCAAGCUCUUUCAUUAACUUGCUAAAAUAAGAUUCAAGGCUUUGAAUUCAAUUUUUUUAUGAUUAAUAUUUAAAAAAAACAGUUUUAAGCAAUUUAUAAAUACAAGUUUUAAUGUUUCUUAUAAUUUCAUCUUGUACUUUCAUAUGUCUUGAAUUUAAGAUUAAAAAAAAAACUCUAAUAGCAAACCAAACACCUCCACAACUUAUUAUUAUUAUUAUUAUUAUUAUUAUUAUUAUUAUAUAUUUUUUAAUUUGUGGUGAGGUUUGAAACAUUCAACUCAAUUUGUACUUGUUACAGAAUUUGAUUCUUUGAGAGAUUUAGAGGAGCUAGACAUUGGCGGGAACAAGAUUGACAAAUUUGUGGUCUCAAAAGGUACUACAAAUACCAUAAAAAAAAUAUGCUAACUUUUACAAAUUAGUUAGAUUCUUUGCCAUUUGGUUUAUUAUUUUACAGGUUUGAGUAAGUUGAAGUCUCUUGGUUUAAGUGGUAUCAAACUCAAUCGUAGCAUCUUAUCUUCUCUUUCUUCGUUAAGAGAAUUAGAUAUAAGUCGUACGGGAUUCAAAGGAACAUUUGAUGUUCGAGGUAAGCCUAAACCUUGCUUUCUCAUUUUAUAUAUGCCAACUAGAUUUGUGUAUCAUCGACAUAAUUUAAUAUUUAAUUUGAUAAGUCUGAAGGAAUUACAUGCUAAUUUAAACACACUUUUAUUUACUUUGUCAAUUAAUCAAUUAAUUACUAUUUGGCUUGGUUUGGACGAAAUUCUCAUGAUGUUUUAAUUUCUUUAAAUUAAUUAAUUAAUUAACUCUGUUUUUAAGUCUUAAGUCUGGGCAUGUUUGCAGAAUUUGAUUCCUUCAAUAACUUAGAAGUGUUGGACAUGAGUUGGAACGAAAUCGACAAUCUUGUGGUUCCUCAAGGUAAACAAUUAAAAUAUUAUUCAAUUACAUUAUUUUAAUUCAUUUGAUUAGAGAAGGCCAAAAAGGUAAAAAAAAAAUUCAAUAAAGAAAUAGAGAAUUUGUAUUAUUUAAAAAACAGAAUGUAAUAAAGAUUUGAUUCUAGUUCUUUAAUCUUUAAAGCGAUUGAAAAACAAUGUUGGUCUUUUCGCAAAGCAUAAAAUACGAAUUGAAUGCCAAUUAACUUAAUCAUUCAUUUCGUUUAGCUCUAAAUUUAGACAAUGAAUUUUUAUAUUAUUUCAAAAACAGGACGUAAUAGAAUUUUUUUAAAAAUAGAUUGUAAUGAAGAUUUGAUUCCAAUUCUUUAAUCUUUACAGUGAUUGAAAAACGAUACUACUUCCCAAAGCAUAAAAUACGAAUUGACUCUCAAUUAAAUUAAUCAUUUAUUUCGUUCAUCUCUGAAUUUAAAUAAUGAAUUUUGAUCUUCAAUCUUUUCCUAAUUAUUAUUAAUAAACAGGUUACAGAGGUUUGAGGAAGUUGAAAAGCUUUGGUCUAUCGGGAGUUGGAAUUAGAGAUGGAAGCAAGUUGUUACAGUCAAUGAGAUCAUUCCCAUCCCUCAACACUCUUGACCUGACCGAUAAUAAUUUUACCAAUAUAGCGACCGCUACUCAAGGUAAGUAAAAGGUACAGAUGUGGCCAAAUUUAUAAAUAAAUUGUUUAUUAAUUAAUUUUUUCGUAUUAUUAAUUAAGCUAAAUUCGUUGCUCCUUCCUUCUAAAUCUAAACAGAGUUGCACAAUUUCACCAACUUGGAAUAUUUGACAUUGCACGGUUCCUCUCUCCAUAUAAGCCUUCUGCAAAGCAUUGCAUCAAUAUUCCCUUCGUUAAAAAAUCUGUCGAUGUCUUUUUGUGAAGUCAAUGGUGUUGUACGCGGUCAAGGUAAAAGAAAAGCGUUGAUUGUGAACUCACUCAAUGGUGUCCUACGUGUUCAACAUUUUUAUUUAUUAAUUUAUUUAUUGUUUAAUGUUUCUGCUAGGUUUUCCUCAUUUCAAGAGUUUGGAACAUUUUGACAUGAGCUCCACACGCAUUGCACUCAACACCAGCUUUCUUCAAAUCAUCGGUGAAUCGAUGCCUUCUCUUAAGUACUUAUCACUGUCAUAUUCUACUCUUGGCACUAACAGCAGCAGGAUUCUUGAUCAAGGUUAAUGAGAUGCUGCCACCCUCCCUUCUUAAUCUAUAAUAUUAAUUUUCGAUUAAAUAUUUAAUUACACAAACCAAUCACUUAUUAUAAAAGAAUAAUACGCAUUCAUUAAUUUUUAAAUUGUAUUAAUAAUUGAUGAAUUUAAUAAAUUUUCAGGCCUCUGUUCGUUGAUGCAUCUACAAGAGUUACACAUUGCUUAUAACGAUUUAAGAGGUAGCUUGCCUUGGUGCUUGGCAAAUAUGACAUCCCUCCGAAUAUUAGAUGUUUCUUCCAAUCAACUUACUGGAAGCAUCUCCUCAUCUCCCCUCGUUCAUUUGACAUCCAUUGAAGAGCUGAGGCUUUCAUACAACCACUUCCAGAUCCCAAUUUCACUUGAACCACUUUUCAAUCAUUCAAGACUCAAGAUUUUUUAUGCUGACAACAACGAACUAAAUGCAGAAAUAACUGAGUCACAUUCUUUGACCGCCCCAAACUUCCAAUUAUCACGUCUCUCAUUGUCUUCCAGUUACGGAGACAGUUUCAUAUUCCCCAAAUUCCUUUACCAUCAACAUGACCUGGAGUAUGUUGAUCUCUCACACAUAAAGAUGAAUGGAGAAUUUCCAACUUGGUUGUUGGAAAACAACACAAAAUUGAGACAACUUUCUCUCGUCAAUGAUUCUCUUGCAGGACAUUUCCGGUUGCCAAUUCAUUCACACAAGCGGUUAGGACUGUUGGAUAUAUCCAACAACAACUUCCGAGGCCACAUUCCAGUAAAAAUUGGAGAUGUUUUACCAAGUUUAUACGUUUUCAACAAUUCCAUGAAUGCUUUAGACGGUAGCAUUCCCUCUUCAUUUGGUAAUAUGAAAUUCCUCCAAAUUCUGGACUUAUCCAACAAUCACUUGACUGGUGAAAUCCCCGAGCACUUGGCCGUGGGUUGCGUCAACUUGCAGUCUCUUGCAUUAUCAAAUAACAACCUACAAGGUCAUUUGUUCUCUAGAAAUUUUAACUUGACAAACUUGCAAUGGUUACAAUUGGAGGGCAAUCGCUUCGUAGGUGAGAUCCCACAAAGUUUGUCUAAAUGCUCCUCACUAGAAGGAUUGUAUCUUAACAAUAAUAGUCUUUCGGGUAAGAUUCCACGAUGGUUGGGUAAUCUCACAUGGUUACAAUAUAUUAUACUGCCCAAUAAUCAUCUUGAAGGCCCUAUUCCAGUGGAGUUUUGUCAGCUUGAUUCGCUUCAGAUUUUGGACAUUUCAGACAACAACAUAUCUGGAAGUUUACCAUCUUGUUUCCAUCCUCUCUCUAUCAAACAAGUUCAUCUUUCAAAAAAUAUGUUACAUGGACAGCUAAAAAGAGGUACAUUCUUUAAUUGCUCUUCCCUUGUGACAUUAGAUCUUAGUUAUAACCGCUUGAAUGGCAGCAUUCCGGAUUGGGUUGAUGGGCUUUCUCGGUUAAGCCACCUUAUCUUAGGUCACAAUAAUCUUGAAGGUGAAGUGCCAGUUCAAUUGUGCAAAUUGAACCAACUACAAUUGUUAGAUCUUUCUAAUAAUAAUCUUCACGGUCUUAUUCCUCCUUGCUUUGAUAACACCACACUUCAUGAAAGUUACAGCAAUAGUUCUAGUCCUGAUGAGCAAUUUGAAAUAUUUUUUUCCAUCGAAGGCCCUCAGGGAGGUGUAGAAAAGCAAAUCCAUGAAAAUUUUGAGUUCACAACAAAGAACAAUGCAUACAUUUACCAAGGAAAAGUGCUUAGCCUCCUAUCAGGACUUGAUCUUUCUUGCAACAAGCUAAUCGGUCAUAUUCCUCCUCAAAUUGGAAAUUUGACAAGGAUUCAAACAUUGAAUCUAUCGCACAACAACUUGACAGGAUCGAUCCCAUCAACAUUUUCAAACUUGAAGUAUGUCGAAAGUUUGGAUCUUUCCAACAACAAAUUGAAUGGGAAAAUCCCUUAUCAACUAGUGGAGUUAAAGACAUUGGAGGUUUUCAGUGUGGCAUACAAUAACUUAUCAGGCGAAAUUCCAGAAUGGAAAGCACAAUUUGCAACCUUCAACGAGAGUAGCUAUGAGGGAAAUAUUUUUCUUUGUGGACUGCCAUUGCCUAUUUGCAUAUCACCAACAACUACGCAGGAGGCUUCAAUUGACAAUGAACGAGAUGAUAAUUUAAUUGACAUGGACAGUUUCUUUAUCACAUUUACAACAUCGUACGUAAUUGUGAUAUUCGGAAUUGUUAUUGUUUUAUAUGUAAAUUCUUAUUGGCGACGUAGAUGGUUUUACUUUGUUGAAAUGUGGAUAACUUCAUGUUAUUAUUUUAUUGUAGACAAUCUUAUUGCAACAAGAUAUUGUCAUUGAAAUUAAUUAGCAGUUUAAUUACCAUUCUUUAAGUUCUAAUCAAGUUUGCUUAGGAAAUAAAUUUAUUUUUAUUUUUUAUUAAAAUUGUAGUAGUAUUUAGCGCUAUAUAGCUUCCAACUUCCGAGCACUUCACAUUUGUCUCUACACUUCCAAACCCAUAUCUGUCCACCAUAACUUAUACUUCCUUAUACUGUGCAGCAUACUUAAAUAAGAGAACCAUCUCCAAUGUUAAAACCAACCACUCUAUAACAUUCAUUUAGAAACUAUAUUUAGAAUAUUUUUAUAAUCAUACACAAGAAAUGAAACACCUAGAUGCACUUGAUCGCCUUUUUUUACUUUAAAAAAUAAUGAUUAUGGUGCUAUCAUCAUCUUCUUCACUAGCGUCAUUAACACCAAAUCCAGCGACGGACCCAUACAUUUUAUCAAGAAAGGUAUAUAUAUAAUAAAGUUGAAGCUCGACAAAAAUUCAGGAAGAUUGAUGCCUCGCCACAACAAGGGGCACACCAACAUCAAAGUAGAGAUGAAGCAAUAUUCUCAAAGCUAAAACUCUCAAAUCCACCCACCAGAAUUUCAUAUCCCUCAACAAUUUUAAGAACUAAAGAUAAUUAGGAUCUAACAUUAGUUUUUUAUAUAUUAGUUUCAUAAUUUACAAAUCAAUGAAGAUGAAGAUUAUGCUAAUGAAUUCAAAUUAUACCAUACAUUCUCGAGAUGUUACCAAAAAUUUCUAAGUCAAUCCCACAUAUUUCAUAAUUUUAAGACUAGAAAAUUUCAUUAGUUAGAAGUUUAUUACCUUCAAGUGGAAGAUGAAGAACAUUAUACAACUGAUUCAGAUUAUAUCAUACAUACUCCAAAUGCAACUAGAAAUUAACAAGUUCAUGCGCACAGAUUUCAUAACAUUAUGAUUGGAAAGUUUCACAAAGAGAAAUUCUAAAUUCAAUCUAUUGCAUCAAGGUAGUUUGAUUGAUUUGAGUUACUUUCUGAUCAAGCUACUAAUAUAACAUUCAAGUCAGGGAGAAAGUAAAUUAAAUCUGAGAAGAAAUAACAAUAAAAAUUUGUUGCUAAACAUGAUGUGUAUUUUUUUUUCAAGGCAAUUUGGAAACACAGUUGUUACUACAGAUAUUCUCCUCAACUUAGAGAUAAAUACAAAUAUUAAAAUGCAUAUGAUCGCACAUAUUACUUGGAGCUUAGUAAGAUUUCAUAAAGAGAAGAAAUCAAACCACUUAUCAAUUGUUGCAAUCGUUCUAUAAGCUAAAAUAGCAAUAUAAUACAAGAAAAGGAACAUAUAGAUACUUGGCAAGAGUUCAUUAAGAAGUCGCAUCACAUUCGGGUGAGUUUGCUUCUGAUAUCUUGCUAGCGGGGGCUUUUUCUUGUCUUUCUACGUAUGCCGAGGGAAACUAACCAGCUUGGCCCUUGCAUUCACCUUCUGACCAUCCAGUAGGAGCCACCUUGAGAAGUUAUAACUAAAACAGUGAAUUAAACAAAAGUUGACCGUUCAAAGACCUAAGGGGAAAACUAAUUCUUUUACGUAGGAGGAGUGAAUUAGUUGUGAUCACUGAAAUAACAGCAUAACUAUGGAAGCAUAACAAGAUAUAAAUUCACACGUCUAUAAGGGUAAACUGGGUGGUUUAGAACUGAGCUAGCAACCCUACUAUAUUCUGAUUUGCACUUCAAUGUAAAAGGGAAUAUAUGGUAGGAAGAAAGAAAACCAACCAUCAUUUGUUAACUCAUUGCUUUUCAAUCAAAAUUUUAAGAACAAAAUGCCAUGUGCUUUGAACAUCAAAUAAGUAUAAGCAUUAGUUCUAAAUUCCACAUAUCAUAAGUUAGAAGGAUAAGUUAAUAGCAUAGUAGAAAAAUCUCUGUGUUGUUAUUUAGAGGGGAAAGUACCAGGCGAACCACAACAUAAUCAUCAAUUGAAAGACUUAGCUCUCCAUUUGCUUGAGCAUCAAAUGGAUGUAUAACCUGCAAGAUAAUGGGAUAAAUAGAACUUAAAUCUUAAAAAAAGCAUAACAAAAGCAGCAACAGUAGCAGCAGCGUUCAUUGUAACCACUAUGAUCAUGGCCAACAAAGAUAUAUUAGAAACAAAAUUCCAUUUUUACUACGACAUUAAUAUGUACUAUAUGAUAUCAUGACGAUAGGGUUACCAAGAGCUAUCAAAGUCCAAUAAAUUCUGUAUAACUUUAUGUAGUUAUUCAAAUUAUGGAUCAGAUUUUAAAUCUGAAAUUUUGACUGCUCUCCACAAAACAUGGCCUAUGCACAAGAAAGUCAUAGAUAAUGAGGAUUACAAGUGUCUGACAUCUUUUGAGUGAUGGAUUUAACAUGAGAGCUUAUGGUCAGUCAAUUUCCUCUGCCUAGCAAUAUAAGCUUUUUCGGCCAGAUUUAUCAUCAAAUACAUAGAUUGCCCCCAAGUCACAUCCAUAUAAACAUAGUUUUUCUAGGUAAACCAAGUAAGGAAAAUCAUAAUUCAGACAUAAUCAUAAAAAGACCCAUCUAACUUUCUUUGGCAUGCCUAACUCAGCUUUGAUGUUGCUGAGAUAUUGAUAGUAGAGACACAUGAUACUUCUAGCUCAUGCAUUCUAUCUAGCUCAUCUGACAGCUAUCUCUUUUUUAAUUCAUUAGUGUUUGCUAAACCUCAUGCUUAAGAGUCCUGUUCUCCUAAACAAAGUUUUCUAAGAAUGACUUCCUCAGCACCACAUUUGGACACUUUUAAAGCAAUUUUAUUUGGGGGAAAAGAAUUUUCAAGGUGUUAACUAAUAAAUUUUAAAAAAUAAUUACAAUUUGUCCUACGAUUAUAUGACAAUUUAUCUGGGAUGAACGGAUACAGACAAACAUCUUCCACUUUUAAGACUAAUCACUACUUCCGUAGAUGUUUUGCAAUAACACAAAUGCUUGACCAGAUGGUAGUGAUGGUAGAAAAAAAUUUUAUUGCUCUAAAAUUAAAAUAAGAAUGCAAUAUGUUAAGCAAAAGACUGUGCAACAUCAAAUUAAUUGAUAAGUUUGUAAUUCAGUAAAUUAACAACUUUCAUGGUAAAAUACAACAAAUUUCUUUUCAAAAAAAAAUCUUAAAAGACAGCAUUCAAUUUUGUGCGCAUCUUAUUUCUUAAGAUUUUCCAGGAGGGCAAUACAGGGACUUUCACCUACGCAAGAGAGCAAAAGCCUUACUUUCGCUAUAAAGUAGACGUCAUUCUGAUUAAUAUGCGUUUGCAAAUCAGCUCCAUUUGAAUCAGUAUUCUGAUAGACACAUGAGGCAUUUACAUCCAUUUCCAAAGUCACAUGUUGCGAGGAGGACUCAUUUGAUUGCUCCUCUAGGAUCAUCUAAUUCAAGUAGCAAGGGUUGGAAGAGAAUAAAAAGUCACAAUUAUUCUUUUGCAUAAGUGAGACGAAAAUGAUAAAUGCACUAUUAUCAGCAGUAAACAAGAAGAGAACACUCCAAGGAAUAGAUAGAUGCGGACAAGCAAGUUAAAAUGCAAAGUUCCAAACCUCCGCAUACAACUUCUCUAAAAUAGCAAUAAUGUGUUGAUGAUAUGUUUUCUCAGCAUCUACCUGCAAAGGCCCGAGACUAGGAAAACAACAAUAAAACCACUAGCUAAAGGAGAAAGUAAAUAAAGAAAUACACUUGACAUAAAUCUUGACAAGAAGCACAAUUUAAGACAUAACAAACCCCAAUCAUAUUGUUUAGAACUACCAUUCGUUAUUUCGUUAUUGUAGCAUUUCGAACAAGUGUUGACUUAAUUCAACAUUGUUGGAAAGAUAGGCUUUUAGAAGCGGAAGAAAGCCACUCAAACCAAAGUGAUUAUCCUUGUAUUGAUCAAGGGAUGUAAACAUAUUACAUUUGCAGGAUGAGUUUUAAUCACUCCCCUGAUUUAUUUGGGUUGCAGUAAAACUAAGCGAGCAACUGUUUGACUUUCAAGCAACAUCUAAAUCAGCUAUUAAAAUUCAAAUAAAAUCAUAAUAGAAUAAUAACAGGCCAUCUUGCAUCAAAAAUUAAGUUUAAUUUGUGAAUUUUUUUCUAUAGACAUGUUAGUUCCUGCUAUUGAAAUGUUAAAAGCAUUGAAAAAUUAUUCAAUAAAUUAUGCAAACAUUAAAAUAGAGGACAUAUUAAAAAGUUUCUAAUUACAAUGUUAUGAUUUCCUAUAUUUUAGCAUUUGCAUAUUUUAAUUUAUUUAAAAGCUACGUCGAUCAACUUUGGGCGUGAAGAUUUUAGCUUCUACGAGACUUGAUUGGAAUAUGCAUAAGGAAGAGUGUUAAAAUAUGAUGCAUCCAACGAAAGACAAACCACGUGUAGUCUUUUAAUUAAGCCAAGAGUAGUGCUAGAGAGAGAGAAGCACGAGAGAAGGACGAGAGAAUUUUGCCCCUUUCUCUCUACCCACUCAUUCUCUCUCUACCCCUUUUUUCAUUGUUUCUCUCGUCUUUCUCUCGUGUUUCUCUACACCAAGCAUUUUCCUUAAGCCAAAGUAGCAGCUCAAACAAAUGACACUUGGACCAACAUGCAAUCAUGAAGUGGCCGGAAAAAGGACAAAUGCAACUUUGGCUUAAAUAAAAAAUAACAUGUGACUUGACUUUUGCUGGACAUGCAUCAUGUUAUUACAAGACAACAGAAAUCAGUAUGAUAGUACUAAAAGUUGACAAUAACAUGAAGAUAAGAGGCAGAAUGUCAACAAAUGCAUAGGCACACACAAGAAAGUAUUAACUUAUAUACCAUAGCAAAAAGUCUUUGAUAUGUCAUCUGUUGCUGCUGUGAUUCAACUGACAGCAUGGCAGCUGUCGCUUCUCUACCAAGAGCCAUUAUUGUAGAUUUAAGCUCGGUCAAUCUUGCUUCUGCAUUUCGAAGCUUCACAGCACUCUCUGCUGAUAUAUCAGAUUCCCUAAUCUUUGAUCGGCGCCUAAAUACUUCAGCUGCCUGGUGAAAAUAUUCAAUAUAAAUCUAACAUAAUUCUAAUCUUGCCUUAUACAUGCAUAUGUUAACUCAAAGCUUACCUGCGCUUCAACUUCAUGUCGAAGUUUGUCAUAACGAUGAGUCAGGUGUCGAGCAUCUUCCAAAGGUGCUCCAUUGAUUAACGCCCGUAGUGGCUCAGAUACCGACAUGUCCAAAAACCUGUAACAUAGUUAGAAAAAUGAAAAGAAAGAGCAAAACCUCAAUUAAAAAGUUCCUCCAACAUAAUCAUGGAAUUUGGGCCUACUUCAAGGAUAUAUAUAAGGAUAAUUUAUGCAAUUUUGGGUCUAAGGAUGAUUCAUAUUAGGUUAGUGUUCUUCUCUUCUGUAUUUAAGGUUAAAAUAGAAAUAAACCUAUGAAAAUAUCUAAAUUAGGGCUGUAAGACUUCCACAUGCAUCCUUCAGUCUCAUGGAUUUGAUUUUACUAUAGAUGCAAGUGUCUUUAUCGAAAAUGCUUGGAGUCAAUUGAGAGAACUCACGGCCAAUAACUUGUCACACGCUAGUCUUUGCUAGUGAUGUAAGAAGUCACAAGGUCUCUUCAACAUUUGAACCAAUAAAAUUAUUAAGUCAUGGAUGUCACUAGCAAUGAUUUUAAUAUAAAACAUUACAUAUUUCAGAGUUGAAACUUUAAAAUGGAUUCUUUUAUUCAGUAUCUUAGAACUAAGUUUCCUUAUGAGAAGAUAAUAGUUUCAGUAGUAAUUUACAUAUAAUUUUCUAUAUUUGAAUUAUUUUCUAGUUAGGGAUGAACUAACCUGAUCACGAAGAAUCCCAAGCAAAGUUUCCCUCUCAUUUUCCAUCAAAUCAUGUGAAGUGCCAAAUUGAAGAGCAGCUCUUGCAACGCAAGAAUUGUCACUUUGAUUCUCCACUCCAUACUUGCAACAAUCUUCGGCCAACUUUCUCGCUACAAUAUUUGAAUACAAAAAUAUUGUACACGAGAACUAGUCAAGAAAAUUAAAAAAAAAAAAAAUCAAAUAUUAUAACGAGAGCAAGAGCAAACAAACAACCUAUUUCCAUUUGUUUCAAGCUUACUGCAACAAACCCUUCAACGCCACGGACAACAUUCCUCUGAAAAUGCUGCGCUACAGAGCAUAUAUUCCAAAUUAUUGUUCAGAUAAAACCAUACAAACCAUCAUAAUUAUUCAACAUACAUUAAGCUCCGUUUGGUAAAUACUUGCAACUUCAGUCCAGAAAAUACAGUUAAUUUUUAUUUAAAAAACAUCAUAAUUAUCAACAUACAUAUUUGACAAAAUUAUUAUUUAAAAAUCAUAACUAAUUACCAAAAGCCACAAUAAAUCAAUAUCAAACAGUCUUAUUAUUAGCUAAAGGAGGAUAGUACCUUAGCUGCCCUGGUGGAAUUGUAUAGAUUUUGAAGUUGUUGGUGACACUCAAUUUCAGAUUCAUCAACAUUUUCAAUACCAAGAUGGAGCAGAUGCUUCAAUACUGCCUGUACAAACCAUAAAAAACUAAUGAAAAAUAAAUAAAAUCGAGAAAUUUCACUAAAUAAAAGUCUAAAUAUAAUUUUUAAAAAAAGAAAAGAAACGGACUUGCUGCUGCUUGGCGACUUGUUCUCGGAGCUUGAUUGCCUGUUUCUUGAUAGCUUCCAUACUGUUUCUUUCAAAAAGCGACGACGGCUCAGCUCAUGGAGGUGGAAAAAAAAAAGUGUGAUGGAGAAAAAUAAAAAGGCAUGAAUAAUUUUUGACAAAAAGCGAAAAUCAAGGAAAGCCAGCUCUUUCCAGAAAAAUAAAAAAGAAAAAAGAAAAUUAUAAGUUUGAAAGGAGAAGAUGAUAGUGGAAGUGUGCGGUGUGGCUGCCAGCUACUUGGAUUUUACUGUUGGGUAAGGUAAUAGUAGAGAAUUUUUUUUUUUUUUUAAGAAAAAUAGUAGAGAAUUUUUUAAGAAGCUAGAACAGAGCAUGACAUUAGACUUUUGUGGACCAAAUUCAAAAGCCGAAUGGCACGGCCCAGAAGCUUUUGAAUAGAAAAACUUGCAUCAGCCUCAAUCACUUCUUAAUCGCUUGCUUUAACUGCAUCGCUCUCUCUGUGCUCUUCUAUAUAUGUAACGGUUAUGCGGUUGUAGUUCACGACUGAGGCUACGUGUUGGUUUGACGUGGCAGUUACGUUACUAGGGGAUAAAUAAGAUUGGUUUCAACAAACCCACUAAUUUUAUAAAAUUCGAGUAAUAUAGAAUAAAAUAAAAAAAAUAAAUACAAAAUUGGCUUUUAUUUUUUCUGGUUGACUGUAUUUUGUGUUCUCUUCCGGCACUACUACAAUUGUUCCCUAUAUAUUAGUCACACCCAUAUGUCAUUAACACAAGAAAUGAAAUCUAAUGUCACCUAUUUAGUUAAAGAAUCACUUAUGAAAAAAUUUUACCAUUUUGAUUUGAGGAUCCAUAUUUUGAACUGCAAACUAAUGUUCAUCAAGAACAGAGUAUGACUUAUGUGUAGAAAAUUUUAUGAUUUUGGCCCGAAAUAUAAGGAAAUUAAAUUAGAUGAGAAUCUGCCACUUUCUCAUGAAGAAAGGCAUGCGGAGCAUACCAUGGUACCAUACGGAGAAUAUUAGAACCUCCCUAGAAUAUCUUUACCCUGAUGUUUCUAACAAAAAUCUGCAUGUGGCAGCAAUUACUAGAUCUACAAUUUCCCAAAUAAUAUUUUGUGUUUCUUAAAAAAUUUGAAAUACAUAGUUGCACUUGCACACCGUGAGACAGUGCUACAAUCUACUGAGAUCUAAAUUAUAUGAGACUUUAAGCUACUAAUGUUUGCAUAUUUCUACAUGUCAAAUUAACAUUACCAUCUAUAAUCCUAAACGACAGAUGAUAAACGGCUUUUGGCCACUUAUUACUAGCAUCCACAAUUAAUUUUUGUUCAGCAAUCAGCUUAUUUUAUAGAAAUUGAUUUAGUCAGCAACAAACACUAUAAUACUUGAAAUUAGUUCUUGUUCUUUGUAAUUUUCUAUGAUUUUUCAUAUAUCAAUUAAUCUGCAGUGCCAAGAUGAGGUUUAGUUUUCAAACUAAAUAAUCAAGUAAGCAAAAAUACAAAUUCAGAGAUUAGCGGGGUAAACUAGCUGGGUGGUUUAGAACUGGGCUAGCUACCUCCCUGUAUUCCUAUUUGUAAGGUGAAUUAAUUGAAUCAUGAGAAAACAAUGUGACCAUAGCUCAAUAUGAGAUGAUUUCGGAGAGGCAUAUUGUUUUCGAGUGAAUUUGAUCCAUUAAGAGAUGAAGUGGAUUGAAGUGGAAAGUUUAAAUAACAAAUCCUUGUUCUUGAGUUUUACGACGUCGUUACUCCUUCAGGUGGCAGAUUAUGCAAGUGAAUUCAAAAACACAAUGCAUCAAUCACGGGGACAAAAGACGGGAUCACAGUCUAUGCAUUGAACAGUUACAGUUGCUGCUACCAAUUGUUCGGCAAAGAUCAAGAAGACUGAACGGGAAGCUAAUGCCAUCAAUGUCGUCUUCACUAUAUCUGCUGGGAAUGUAGGUGAACUUUCCUCAUUUGCAGCUGUCUAUACAUAGGCUUUUCCCCAGCUUAAGUACAAAUAAAUGAAGCUGCCUUGAAGGCUUUAUUAUUGACCCCAAUAAGGAUUACUAAUUGAAGAAGACUAUACGGAGUUAAUCUCACAUUUUAGUUCUCUCAAUUUCUUUCAGAAGUGCCUCUGAAAAUAGCUGCCAAACCGUUAGUCAGCUUGUAUACUCUGUUUUCUGGAAACAGAGUAGCAUAUUUAAUCGUUUUAAUUGAAUUGUCUUCGUAGCGAUCAUCAACAAACUCAUCAUAAGAUUUUUGAAGCACCCAAGGACUAUCACUGGGUUUCUCUUCUGGUUGAUUUAUUAAUUAAUCAAAGAACGGUUGGAUGAAGUGCAAUGAUGGAGCAAAAUUUACAAUGUCUCCGGUUUCUCCUGACCAUCGGACUUUUGCAGUGAGAACAUAUAACAAAAAGACCUUCAUCAAAAUUUGUAGACUCCGGGUAUGGAUUGGAUCGAGUUUUUUGUUUGAUAUUGAAGAACCACUUUACUAUCGCGAUAUAGAUUAUGUGCAAGGGGUUGUCUACUGUUCUUUGCCUUGUGCUAUGAUCGGUGCUUUUGACGUUGCCCCGAAACAGUGGAAAAUACUUCGAUUUCCUCCGUUUGAUGAUGCAAAGAACUGGUUAAUGUACGAUUACCUAAUUGACUCAGGAUCAAGUAACAACAACAAUUUAUUAAUAGUAGUAUCACAAACGAAGAAGAUUUCGGAGAGGGUGAUGUAUGCCUAUACCGUUUACAGGUUUGAUCCACAGGGGAUGAAGUGGUCUCAAGUGGAAAGUGAUUUAUUAAACAACAAAUCAUUGUUCUUGGGUCAUACCUCAUGAUGUCAUCAAGUGGAAGAUGAAGAUUAUGCAAGACGAAGAUCGUUUGAUAUUGAAGAAUUUGAACAGAAAGCCCAUAGAAAGUACUUAAAUAAGCAUAUUCUUGUUGGGGUAGAAUAUUAAGAAAGGAGUUGUCUACUGUGUGUUGCGUGAUUAGGCUAUGAUCUGUGCUUUGAACAUUGCCCUCAAAACAGUGGAAAAUACUUCAUAUCCUCGACAUGAUGAUGAAAAAUUGGUUACCGAUUACCUAAUUGACUCAGUGACAACAAUCUAUUAAUAGCACAAUUUGGCGUGAUGCCGUUUAGGUAUAUGGUUUUCAAGUUUGAUUCAUCAGUGAUGAAGUGGACUAAAAUAAGAUGUUUAAAUGAUAAGUCAUUGUUCUUGGGCAUAUCGUCAUUACUACUUCUAGUGAUCAAAGAUGAAGAUGAAGAUGAAGAUGAAGAUGAAAAUUGUGCGAGUUCAAGAUUACCAUCAACUCAAUUUUAUGAUUGGAGUGUCUCACCGUGACUCAGACAAAUUCUGAUUCAACCUCCUUCACCAAUGGAUUUUGAUUAGUUAUUUUGUGAUCAAGCAACUUAAUUAAACUCACAGUUUGUUAGUCUAAUUUUAGUUUUACUGUGACCACUAUUCAAGGUAAGCGAAAGUUACAGAUGUGGCAAAAUCAAUAAUUAAAUUCAUAAAAUGUUAAAAAAUAAAACUUAUAAAUUUUGCAUGACUACUUACUAAUAAAUAAAUAAGUUAGAAUGUAGUUAGUUAAUUUUACACCAUAUUAUAUAUUAUUCGAUAAUAAUAUAAAAUAAAAAGAAUUAAAAAAUAAAUAAUUGAAUAAACAAAUAUGACUUUCUAAACAGUAAAAAUUCUAGAGUUAAAAUUUAUAUUAUUAUUUUAUUUUUUAAAAUUGACAUAUUUCUAUUAUCUUACAUGUACACAGAUUUUGAGAGUUGAGAAGAAUAUAUUUAAUGAAGCUUGCUAACAUUUGGUGGGAUAGCAAGUAAGGGUAAAUAAGAUUUUUUUGUUAUUUAUUUGAAUUAUAUCUAUUUUGUUCAAGUUAAAAUACUAAAUAUAAAUUGGAGGUAGACAUUUUAACAGAUCAUCUAAGCUCUCAAAUCUGAAAUUUUGUGUAGAUUUAAAUUCAUAAUUUUAGUUAAUUUUCAUACAUUCAUAUAAACAAAUUUAUGAGAUUUUUCUUUUCAGCAUGUUAUAUUUUGAAACUUUCAAUGUAUUAUUCUAGCUUUAUUUAAAUAAUUAAUUUAUUUAAAAUUUAUUUAAUUUUGAAUUUGAUCAAUAGUAAAAUUAUUUUUAUAUCAAAUUUUUUUAUUUAAAUAGUUCGUGGAUUGGACAAAAUUAAAAAUUUUUAAUCCACAAAAUGGUGGAUUAGAUAUGAAUUGGGUUAAAUACACAUUCGAUCCGCAGUCGUAUGAAUUUGAUUUGGAUUGAAUUUCAUCAAUCCAUGGAUUAGAUUGGAUUGAAAAAUUUAUUAUCCGCAAAAUCGUGGAUCGAAUAUGGACUGAUGUCCAAUCAGCAAAAUCCAAUCCCCGAACACUCCUCUAUCAAAAUUUUCAAGAAUAUUUUUUAUCUUACAAAUUUUUUUUAAAGUCAUAGUCUAAGGGCGGCCCAAUUUCUACUCCAUCCAUAUAAGCGGAGUUCAAAUCUCAUACCUCUUAUCUCCACACAAGAGAUUUAACCAAUUGAAAUAGCUAGCACCCACAAGUAUACUAGUACAGCAUCUCUUAACGUUUAACAUACGUAAAAUUAACGCCAUAGCUAUUGAUAAACACAUUGUUCAAUAUAUAUGAUCAAGAAUCUGAUCCUGCGAGCAACAGCAGUCAGAAGAACCAUUAUAAUGCCUAGCUCUUAUCCUGGUUAAUCCUCUGGCCCGAUGCUUCAUCAUAGUGAUUUAAAAAACCAACAACAGCUCUCUAAAAGAGAUGAAGAUAUCAUCUACGUAAAGAACAUGAGACGGAGAUUCACAACCCAUAAGAACUGAGAUAAAUUGGACCAGACCAGUAAUCUUGAGAUAAGUUAAACUGUGACUUAAGUUGAAAUCAGAGGACAGGAAUUUUAAAAUCUUUCGGCUAAGCCCCUGAGGAAUUUUCUAGAGUACGACUUCUGCUUACCUCUGUUUAAUUUCUCUUUAUAUUUUUCUUUCAUUUCAUUAAUAAAGUCAAAUAAUAAAUCAAAGAACGAGGGAAGAUUUUUCCAAGUCAUGCAUUAUUUGAUUACCAUCAAUCAAGAAACCGACCAAAUUAAUUUCUCUCCGUGAUUUUUAAAAAUUAAAAAAAAAAUAUUUGAGCAUAACAUCAUUAAUUAUAGAGUGGAUCAAACUGCGUUAAUCAUGAACUUUGUUGUGUUAAUUAUUUCAAUCCCCGAUUACGCAAUUUUUAAAUUAUAGCCUAACGGUGGUCUCAUCACCACGUGUGUGAUUUUCUUUUGCCAAUAGGAUCUGUAGAGAGCUUGAUCUCACCCAAUAGCAAAAUAAACUUCCUAAUAAGUGAAGGCAUAGUAUAAAUAAUUCACCCCCAUAUUAUUUAUUAGCAGCUUGAUUAUUUUAUAUGCAUCUUUGAUUUAAAUUUUUUUUUCCCAUAAUUGCUACUAUGUUCGAACUGGUCAUGAAUUAUCUAUAAGAUUUUUCAUGUUGCUUUUAGGUGCAUUGGAUUUUUUUUAGUUUAGUGCAAGAGUAGAGGAAGGCAAAUUAAGAAAAAGGAUAAAGAUCUAUGAUUAGCUAUUUUGGGAUGUCUCAUAACAUAUUGAUGGUAACAUUAUACAUAUGUAUAUCUAAAAAAUGGGGUUGGAUCAAGAGCCCAUUAAUAAUCAUAGAUUAGCUUAUAUAGCAAUUUCACAAGCACAUGUUAGCCUAUGUUGAGCUUUAUUAUCAAUAGUUCAUAGUUCAUCGGUGCACUGCAGGUUUACUAUUUGAAGUAAAUAUUAUGGUGCGUGCAUUUUUUAUAAGGCCAACUGCUGAAUUUAGCAUUGAAACUUACAAAAUGUAAUAGAGAGAGGUAGAUAACAGCCACAAAACACUAAGAUUGGAAAUCAGGGCUACUAAAUACUAUUACAAGCCCUUAGAAAAGACACUGAUCAUCCUAGAAUGUAUAUACUGAAAGUAAGAAAUAUUAAUCGCAAAGUUAUGUGCCAACAAAACUAUUGACUACUUGUCUCUAGCAGAAGGUAUAUAUUUUUAACUUCAGCUCUCUACUUUGUUCUAAGAACUAGGCAAAAGAAUGAAACUUCGGUGUCUAAAGUUUGCCGCUUGAAAUAUUUCACUGUCUAAACAUUCACUCACCACUUAUUUCAUAAAUGAAUUUUGUCUAACUAUAUGUUGAUAAAGAUAUUAGAGGUAAUAUAAUGCAUUUAAGACUUAACGUAUAUUUUUUAUUAGUAGAGUGUAGAAUUUUUAAGAAAUAAAUUAUUAAAUUACUAUAACUAACAUAUUAUUUUAAAGUUAUGUUAAGAAAAGAAUGAAAAUAAAAAAUAAAAAAAUAAGGGUAUUCUAAAACUUUGAUCCUUUUAAAAGUAGUUUUUGACGUAAAUAAAAUAAUUUUUAUUUUUUUUAAAUCACAUACUCUAGUUAAAAUCAAAUUUGUAUUUAUAAAGAUUGUAAAAUUUUUUUUAGCAUUAAUAUUUGAAUACUUUCAAGAUAAGAAAUAGGGUACUAAUUAUGCUACAACAUUAUUAUAGCACAUAAAAAGACAAUACCCUUUAUAUUAUUAUACUAUCGUUUUUGUUAUGAUAGUAUUUUGUUAGUGGUCAAAUAUUACUUUUUUAAAUAAAAAAGUAGACAAAUGUAAAUCAAUUUUUAAUCUCUCCUAAAAUUCUAAUUCCUAGUUACCAAACAAAAUUGUUUGAAAAUAAUUUGGCUAAGUGCAUGGGUUCUUAAAACUAUAGGUGAUAGAAGUUACAAGCACAAGCAAAUUUGACGGUCCAUUUUAUAAAAUUUUUAAUAAUUUUUUAUUUACCAUUUUACCACCUAUAUAAUGAGUGCCACAUCGACAAAUCAAUUCAUUUGCAAAUUAUAUUAAUUUUGUAAAAUUCAUUUGACUUGCUAAACCCUUCUUAUCCCCUUUCUCGACUGUCAUACCCUAACCUUAUUUCCCGUGUCCACACUUGACCACGCUCAAUUCAGGCCAUCAGAUUAUCCUGGACCCACAUUAAUCCAACUGCUCACAAUGACCGACAGCCUCUCCAUCUCCAUUUCAAGCUUCCUCUUCAACUGGCUUCUGCUUCCGUCGUACUCUUUCUUGGAUUCGGAGUCCGUAUUUGCUCGGCCGGUCCCGCACAGCUCCCUCUCACUCCAAUUGUCACCCAACAAGACCAAUUGCUUAACAUUGACCGUAUGGCAAUUGUCCGUAUUUCUUGGAUUCGGAGUCCGUAUGGCACAGAACAAGAAGAGGAUGAGAAAUUGAAACAAGAAUUUGAGAAUUGGAAAUCGAAAACGUACGCAUUGACCGUGCCUUUGAGGGCAAUUACUUUUCUUGAGAAUUGAAGUUUGGUAAUGUAAUUUGUUCUCCAUCUGUGUUCCCUUUGUAGUCAUUUCAUUUAUUUGUUUGUUUGCUUUUAUUUGCACUUACGAAGUCUCAGAUAUAUCUACGCAGGAAUGAUGCAGGAGAAAUUGAUCCUCGAGCUUACAAGAAAAGUAAAUUUCGAAAGCAUAAUUUGGCUCCGAUUGAGGUAAUAAUUGUCUUUAAACUCAUUUAGUUUUAUAUCAAACAAAAUAAAGGCUGCCUUUCUCUUCAAUAUUUUUUAUGAUAAUAUCUUUAGAAGCAUCUCAUUGACGGGUAAUCAUGGUAUCCCUUAAAGAGUCUAUAAACUCAAUGAUAUUUUCUUCUGCAAAUGGUUCAUUAAACUUCUUAGACGUAGUUAAAUGUACACUAAGAACAACGAGAAGCUAUGCCGCUGUAGCAUGUAGUGAGAUCUUGUUUGAAGUUGUUUUCUGAAAUGAACUGCCAAAUGGUAGUUUUUUAUUUCUUGGGUGCAUUUGAUGACUCUUUUCUCCUCAUUUUAAGCAUGUACCUGCUUGGAAUGGGAAGGAAUAGGCUUCCGAGUUGUUAUAUAUGUUGACAUGCUCUGAUCAUUACACAAAAUGUUCAAAUUGGAAAUUAGAAUGAGAUAUUUGUCGAUGCUUUUUGAGAGAUCUGCAUUCUAUGCACCAUAACAUGAUUAAUGAAAACAGGUUUAAGGACUGGAAAGAUCUGUGGCGGCCCAAGCUUGCAGGAAGGAUUUCAAUGGUUAAUUCUCCCAGAGAGGUUAUUGGUACAGUUUUGAAGUAUAUGGGAGCAUCAUACAAUUCAAACGACAUUGAUUAGCAAGUUGCUGCUGGGAGGAUUGCUGUUCAGCAGAAUCUGGCAUUACUGGGAAACCAGGUACUCUUAAAGAAAUGAUAUCUGGUCAAUGCAUAUUACUGCCUGAGCUGAUUUUGUUUGUAAAGUCUGCCUCUUCAUACAUAUGAAUGCAUAUGUUAGUGUUUUCUUCUCCUUUUAAUACACAUGAAUGCAUAUGUUAGUGUUGUCUUCUCCUUUCCAUAAAUAUGAAUGCAUAUGCUCUGGGUGUUGGUUACUACUUCAAGUGGAAGGUGAAGGUGAUGCAAGUGAUUUCAGGAGUACAUAUAUUCCAAGGAUGCUGGACUAUUAUUGCUUCCCCCCAUAUUUCAGAAUUUUUUGUCAACCUCCUCCACUAAGGGAUUCCAAUUGAGUUACAAAUAUAUUUUCUGUAGCUAUGUUUUAAAGUUUUGGUCUCAUGUUAAUUUUUCUAAUUACUAUUCUUCAACAAAUCUCUUUUACUUUAAAAAACUGCUACAGUUUGAUUUUACUGCCUUAUAUCAUUGAACAUUGAUACAUGGAAUUUGAAAUCAGACUUGUAACAACAGAUAUAUAGAUAUAGAACAUGCAUAUAAUCUCCAUUUCGAGCUCCCUCUCCAACUGGCUUCUGCUUCCGUCGUACUCUUUCUGGGAUUCGGAGUCCGUAUUUGCUCGGCCGGUCCUGCACAGCUCCCUCUCACUCCAAUUGUCACCCAACAAGACCAAUUGCUUAAUCAAGGCACAGAACAAGAAGAGGAUGAGAAGUUGAAACAAGAAUUUGAGAAUUGGAAAUCGAAAACGUAUGCAUUGACUGUGCCUCUAAGGGUUGUUUCUCUUCAGAAUUCAGUGCCUCAAUCUUGGGUUAAGGAUUUUAUGCGAAGUCAAGGAAAGAGAUUGAAGUUUCAGAUGAAUUUGUGUGCUAGCAUUGGUGGGAUCUUUAACAAUUUAUCUGUGCCCUUUAACAAAGUUAAGGGUAAGUCAGCUUCGUAUACGGCUGCUGAUUUGGUUAGUGUUGGUGAUUCAUGGCUCAGUUUUGCGAUUAAAAAGAGAUUGAUUGAGCCAAUAGCUGAAGCUGAAGAUCAAGAUUGGUUCAAAUGCUUAUGUCACAAAUGGAAGGUAACAUACUAACAUCUUUAUCUUUGACCCGAUAAUUUUUAUUGUCUUACAUUGAAAUUUGGUAAUGUAAUUUGUUCUCUAUUUGUGUUACCCUUUGUAGUCGUUUUAUUUAUUUGUUUAUUUGCUUUUAUUUGCACUAAUGAAAUCUCAGGUAUAUCUACGCAGGAAUGAUUCAGGAGAAAUUGAUCCUCGAGGUAAAAUAUGGGCGGCACCAUACAGGUGGGGCACAACGGUGAUAGCCCACAAGAAAAGUAAAUUUCGAAAGCAUAAUUUGGCUCCGAUUGAGGUAAUAAUUGUCUUUAAACUCAUUUAUUUUUAUAUCAAACAAAAUCAAGACUGCCUUUCUCUUCAAUAUUUUUUAUGAUAAUAUCUUUAGAAGCAUCUCAUUGACGGGUAACAAUGGUAUCCCUGAAAGAGUCUUUAAACUCAAUGAUAUUAUCUUCUACAAAUGGUUCAUUAAACUUUGUCGUUGUAGUGAAAUGUACACUCAGAGCAAUGAGAAGCUAUGCCACUGUAGCAUGUAGUGAUGGCACUUAAUAAGUGAGUUGCUAGGAUGUGAACUAGAAAAAUUAAAUAUUGUCUCCUUGGGUAUGCUAGCUCAUAAGUCAGGGUUAAUAUUAGAGCUUAAGUUACUAUAACCAUGAGACGCUAUUGACUGCCAAUUAAAAUAUCCAUUAAAUUGUCUAGGAAGUUAUGAAAGUGGAGGUAUCUUCCGAUUUCUAAGGCCAGAUAGUAGACAUCAUCCAGGAUCCUAGGAAAGUGCAGUUAACCUCCUGCUCGAUGCAAUUAAUAAAUUUGGUCAAUGCCACUGAAACCUGCAAACCGACGUCACAAUGCAAGAUGAGCACUUCAAAAUGGGACAGACGGUCAGUAGCACUAAAUUUUUCUUUCCCAAGAUUGAGCAAUUGGUCUAACAACUAACCCCUAUUGUAGGUUGAUCAUUAUUUUUCCAAUUAUGUUCAGUUUGACCCAAAAAGUUACAGAAUCUUGAGCUGAAUAUUGUCACUGAACACUGUCAAUGUCGUUUAGCAUACCCAACUAACUUGAGUUUGGUAAAACAAACACACUGUGUGUCUCAUCUCUCACAAUUCAAAUUAUCAUCUGUAAUGAUGGAGAAUUUUUCCGAUGUAUGAAGUAUGCUUUGAUACGUGUACCUUGGAGAAGAUAUCUCCAAAUAAAGAAUAUGGAGAGAAAACGGUUCAGUAGUUUAUUAUUCUGUAGGCAAUUCUUGUCUCAAAAAUGGUCAAAAUUUAAAUGAAUAAGGACAGGGGAUCUUCAUUCUUUUUUCCCUUUUUUAUACCAAGAUAUCUCUCAACCUUUAUAUAAUCCCCACUGGAUAUCUGCUUCUAAUAAUUAAAAUAAAAAUUUCACCCGCACAAAUAAAUACUGACCAAGCUCUAACAAUAAAAAGUAACAUCUUUACUCAAGUAAUUUACAGUUCCUCAUCAUCUUAGUGUGAGACUAUCAUUACGUUCCAAAAACAUAAUAAAACUGGUUUGAUCCUGUUUAUUGAUGUUUAAAUGUUGUUCAUUGUGACAUGUAGAAAUGAUGAGGCGAAGUUUAUUUGGUCAUCAAUUAGUAAGAUCUUGUUUGAAGUUGUUUUCUGAAAUGAACUGCCAAAUGGUAGUUUUUUUGGGCAUAUGAUGGCUCUUUUUUCCUCAUUUUCAACAUGUGCCUGCUUGGAAUGGGAUGGAUUAGGCUGCAGAGUUGUUAUAUAUUUUGAGAUGCUCUGGCCAUUGCACAAUUUGUUCACACUGGAAAUUAGAAUGAGAAAUUUGUUGAUGCUGUUUUGAGAGAUCUGCAUUCUAUGCACAAUAACAUGAUUAAUGAAAAUGGAUUGUAGGACUGGAAAGAUCUGUGGCAGCCUGAGCUCGCAGGAAGAAUUUCAAUGGUUAAUUCUCCCCGAGAGGUUAUUGGUUCAGUUUUGAAGUAUAUGGGAGCAUCAUACAAUUCAAGCGAUAUUGAUUCGCAAGUUGCGGGUGGGAAGAUUGCUGUUCAGCAGAAUCUGGCAUUACUGGCAAACCAGGUACUCUUAAAGAAAUGAUAUCUGAUCAUGCAUGUUAUUGCCUGACAACUGAUUUUGUUUGUAAAAGUCUGCUUCUUCAUACAUAUGAAUGCAUAUGUUAGUGUUCUCUUCUCCUUUUCAUACAUAUGAAUGCAUAUGUUGGUGUUGUCUUUUCCUUUUCAUACAUAUUAAUACAUAUAUUGGUGCUCUCUCCUGAGAUGGAUGCAAUAAAGGCUUUUGGUCCUAAAUUUAGCUGAAGAAAUGGCAAGGGAUGUGAGAUUCUGUCUCAUUAAAUUAACAAAAACCCAAAACAAUGAAAACCGAUAAUAAUGUGGUGGGGGUAAAUUGGCACCAUUUGGUUUGUUUCCUUAAUGUGAAUACACGAGCAAUAGGGACUAACAAAAUGAAGUGACAACAACAAGUCAGUGUCCUUUGAUGGAUGCAUUUUAGGCAGAAAUAGGUUUGUAAUUGACCAAUUUCAAAAAAUUUAAAUUAUGUGGUUAUUAGCUGUAAUGAAGGGGAUAGUAGGUGCAAUCAGGUGGAUCCAGGAAAGUUCAACAAAGUUCUGGUAUGGCAUAGUGAAAUUGGUUUGUGCAACUCAAGAGUCUUUCAGGUGAACGAUGAUACGUUUUGAUUUAUAAAUGUUAUAAAUCUACCGUCCAUAGUAUUCUAGUAGAGUCAUCUAUAAGUUCUAGUUAUUGAAAUUGUCUACUUUGUCCAGUUUGAGUUAAGGGCACAUGUAAUAGGAAAAAUAGUAUUCACAUCUUUUUGGUUACCUAACAUUUGAUCGAUCCUAUUAUGAGGGCUUCAAGAUGCCUGACAAUAUGUAGAAUGCCCAUGCUCCUCCCCAUUGUUUAUCUUAUACAAUAAUUUGUUUUAGAUGCUAAUAUAUUUGUCGAUACCGGUAACGAUAUUACAAUAUCUGCGUUUAUUGGGUUUUACAUAGGUUCGACUGUUUGACAGUACACACUAUCUGAAGGCAUUUGGAAUUGGAGAUGUAUGGGUUGCUGUUGGGUGGAGUAGUGAUGUUCUUCCUGCUGUCAAACGUAUGUCUAAUGUUGCAGUUGUUGUUCCCAAGUCUGGUGCUAGCUUAUGGGCCGAUCUUUGGGUAUACCCAUGCCUGCCAUUCUACUUCGAUAUUCACAUUGUUAUCUCCUUCAUUUUAGCGAUCAUAAACUUGAUAAUGUGACUAAUAAGUUCGUAUUCUCUAUAUAGGCAAUCCCUGCUGCCUCAAGACUUGAAACAAAAGAAAUUGGAGGGCGAGUCAGAGGUCCAUCUCCAUUAAUCCAUCAAUGGAUAGAAUUCUGCUUGCAAACAGCGAGAACAUUGCCUUUCAAGCAAGAGGUUAUCCCGGGCGCAUCUCCCUCUGCCCUUGAAAGUACUCUGGUUAAGUUGCCUGAAGAACUUCUGAUGGGUAAACCAAGUCUGGAUACUAACUUAAUUGCUGGAGUACCCCCGGCUGAAAUUCUGGCCAGAUGUGAGUUUUUGGAGCCAUUGCCUGAAGCUACAUUGUCAGAUUAUGAGUGGCUGGUUGCUAAUCUGCAAAAACCUGCCCCCGUCUUGAUGAAAAGGCUGCAACAUUACUUGUCAUCAUUAAUCCAAAGCUUUCUAGCAAAAGCUACAUUGAAAAGUUAAUGGCACUGCAUGCCAGUCAUUGUAAUGCUGUCAGGGCUAUUGGGUCAGGGCAAUUAGGUAAGAGCAUAACUUCAUUAGGAAAAGAGGCUUCAGCUACGUUAAAUAUUGCAGGAUGUACUGAGAUGGUUGAAGUUCUUGAGGUUUUACGAGAAACGAAAGAUGAGUGUUUGUUUGAACAAAGUUGUUGCCAUCUUGCAAGAUCACUGAGCGAAUGCCACCGAUUUCUUAAUCAUUGUAGCCUCCAUAGUUGAAGUUUCCUUAUUUGAAGCUGUUUAUGCGUACGCUUUUUCCCUGCUCAAGUACAGGAAAUUGAAGAAUUAACCAGAUGUGAUAUGCUGAAAGAGGGAAGUUUUCUUCCUUGAACGUGGCCUUGUGAUUUGUCUUGAAGGAAUAGGAUGAUCACUGGCAAGAACCCUAUCAAGGUAGAUUUUAUGGUGCUAACGUAUUAUUAAGCAUUUUGUUACAUCAGCAAUGAUGCUUCCAUAGCAUGAAAGUGUUUAAAUUUAACUGAAUGAUCUUGAUUAAUCAAUUAUGAGUUUUAAUCGAGUAAAAACUAAAUACAAUCAUCGUUAGCAAAUACUGAAAUUGGGUAAAUAUGAUCUUGAUAUUGAAGAAUCUGAAAACACAACCCACACAGGGAAUCACCCUUCGCGUGGGGAUGGAGAUGUUUACUGCAGCGAUAUUGAAUAUGUCCACUGCUCUUUGGGUUAUGGUGCGACUUGCCCUGAAACAAUGGAAAAGAUUAACAUACCCUGCAAUGAAUGAAAGCGGCUGGACUAAUUCUGAUUACCUAAUUGACUCAGGAUCGGGUGGCAAUAAUGACAGUUUAUUAACAAUGCACAGUUCCGAGUACUUUUCCAGGAUCAGAUAUUACGUGGUCUAAUGUUGAUAAUAAUAGAUUAUCAAAUGAGAGAUGCUGAGAGAUGCUGGUCUACCUUUGCAAGCCCCCAGAUUUAAGAAUCUUUUGAUGAUAAUUUACCACCUGUACCUGUGCCGGAAGAUUCACCUAGCACUGAAAAAGAUGAUAAUUUAAUUGAUAUGGAUAGUUUUCAUAACACUUUUAAAUCAUCUAUAUGUGAACUAUUAUUGACGCUAUUUUGUUGUAAACAAUCUUAUUCAAUUAAUAUAUAAUUUAAAAUCAUUAUGUAAAUCAAUCUAUUACUUUUCAUGAUAUUUAAUUGAGUUAAAACUAAGUGCACCCAAUAAAUCUCUUUUCCUUUAAAAAACUGUUACGCUUUGAUUUUAGUGCUUAAUAUUUACGGAACUCCGGUACAGGGAAUUCGAAAUCAAACUCGUAACCACAGAUUAUCUAAUUGCAAGUUUUUGUCCAUAGUUGCUGAUUGUAGUGAUUAUCUAAUUGACUGAGGUGACAACAAUUUUUUUUUUUAAUUUUCAAUAGCAUAAUGUGGAAUUCAAUAAUUAAAUUCUCCUUUUUAAUUUGUUUCCAAUUAAAUUAUUAAUUACUUAAACUCUGUUUUAAGUCUUUAAUUUUAUGUCUUGGCGUAUAUGCAGGGUUGGAUUCUUGAGCGUGUUGGACACGACCAACAAUGAAAUUGACAGUAAACAAACAUUACAACGCGUUGAGUGUCGACUCCGCUAGCUGCCCUACAAGUCUACAACUUUACAAACAACAACUGAGUACACACAUUUGAUUCUUGGGACCCUUCAAUGAAUUUCUAGCCCGGUUGACUCCACCGACAAAAGUUUUGGAAAAUAAAAAAGAAAAUUCAUAGAAUUCCACCAAAUGCAAAACGCGUGGAAUUUAAUUUUCGGCCAUGUGGACCAAAACAUAAUUUAAUGAAAAAAAAAGAUAAGAUUUCUAAAAUGUGUGGAAGGUGAUCCAUAUUUUACUGAAAACAACUUGUUAAAUUUUUCAAAGAUUUAGAAUAUUUGGUCAUAAAUUACGCUCAUGUUAAUUUUUCCGCUAUUGACUAUCAUAUUCUAGACUCACUGGUACCUUUCUUGAUGAAGGGUACUUAGUCUCUCUUCUCCUCUUAUAAAAAUUAUAUUAAGUGAUUUCUUAUUAUAAUAAAUAGUCUUUAAGAACGUAUAGAUUUAUUGUUUUCGUGACCAAAUUAUGCCAGCUUAAGGUUGCGACUAUUAAUAAAAUUAAUAUUUAAUGUUUAUGUUAAAAGAUAUAAGAUUUUAUGCAUUCAUUAAUUGUUAUUAGCUAAAGGAUUAAUUAUUUUUUCAACCCAAUCAGUUGAUGCAUCUGCAAAAAAAAUUUCUUUUAUUGACCAUAAUUAUAUUCCGGGUACAAUAAAUUAUCUUUGGUGCUUGGAAAAUUUGACUUCUUACUUCAAGUUUGAUGUGUCUCUCUCCAUAAGCUUACUGGAAAUAUAUCCUUUUGUAUUAUUAAUAAAGUGAAAUUUGUUGCUCCUUCCUUCUAAAUCUAAACAGAGUUUCACAAUUUCACCAACUUGGAAUAUUUGACAUUGGACUUUUCCUCUCUCCAUAUAAGCCUUCUGCAAAGAAUUGCAUCGUUAUUCCCUUCAUUAAAAAAUCUGUCGAUGUCUGGUUGUGAAGUCAAUGGUGUCCUACGCGGUCAAGGUAAAAGAAAAGUGUUGAUUGUGAACUCACUCAAUGGUGUCCUACGUGUUCAACAUUUUUAUUUAUUAAUCUUUCUGCUAGAUUUUCCUCAUUUCAAGAGUUUGGAACAUUUUGACCAGCUUUCUUCAAAUCAUCGGUGAAUCAAUGCCUUCUCUUAAGUACUUAUCACUGUCAGAUUCUACUCUUGGCACUAACAGCAGCAGGAUUCUUGUUCGAGGUUAAUCAGAUGCUCCCACCCUCCCUUCUUAAUCUAUAAUAUUAAUUUUCAAUUAAAUAUUCAAUUACACAAACCAAUCACUUAUUAUAAAAGAACAAUACGCAUUCAUUAAUUUUUAUAUUGUAUUAAUAAUUGAUGAAUUUAAUAAAUUUUCAAAUAUUGUAUUAAUAUUUGACAUCCAUUGAAGAGCUGUAUCUUUCAAACAAUCACUUCCAGAUCCCAAUUUCACUUGAACCAUUUUUCAAUCACUCACGACUCAAGAGUUUCUAUGCUGACAACAAUGAAAUAAAUGCAGAAAUAAUUGAGUCGCAUUCUUUGACUGCCCCAAACUUCCAAUUAAAAUAUCUCUCAUUGUCUUCCGGUUACGGAGAUGGUGUCACAUUCCCCAAAUUCCUUUACCAUCAACAUGAUCUGGAGACUGUUGACCUCUCACAUAUAAAGAUGAGUGGAGAAUUUCCAAAUUGGUUGUUGGAAAACAACACAAACUUAGAAUAUCUUUUUUUGGUUAAUGAUUCUCUUGCAGGACCUUUUCGGUUGCCAAUUCAUUCACACAAGCGGUUAAGACUGUUGGAUAUAUCCAACAACAACAUCCGAGGCCACAUUCCAGUAGAAAUUGGAGAUGUUUUACCAAAUUUAUACGUUUUCAACAAUUCCAUGAAUGCUUUAGACGGUAGCAUUCCCUCUUCAUUUGGUAAUAUGAAAUUCCUCCAAAUUCUAGACUUAUCCAACAAUCACUUGACUGGUAAAAUCCCCGAGCACUUGGCCAUGGGUUGCGUCUACUUGAAUUUUCUUGUCUUGUCAAACAACAACCUACAAGGUCAUUUGUUCUCUAGAAAUUUUAACUUGACAAACUUGAAAUGGUUACAAUUGGAGGGCAAUCGCUUCGUAGGUGAGAUCCCAGAAAGUUUGUCUAAAUGCUCCUCACUAGAAGGAUUGUCUCUUAACAAUAAUAGUCUUUCGGGUAAGAUUCCACGAUGGUUGGGUAAUCUCACAUGGUUAGAAUAUAUUAUAAUGCCCAAUAAUCAUCUUGAAGGCCCUAUUCCAGUGGAGUUUUGUCAGCUUGAUUUGCUUCAGAUUUUGGGCAUUUCAGACAACAACAUAUCUGGAAGUUUACCAUCUUGUUUCCAUCCUCUCUCUAUCAAACAAGUUCAUCUUUCAAAAAAUAUGUUACAUGGACAGCUAAAAAGAGGUACAUUCUUUCAUUGCUCUUCCCUUGUGACAUUAGAUCUUAGCUAUAACCGCUUGAAUGGCAGCAUUCCGGAUUGGGUUGAUGGGCUUUCUCAGUUAAGCCACCUUAUCUUAGGUCACAAUAAUCUUGAAGGUGAAGUGCUAGUUCAAUUAUGCGAAUUGAACCAACUACAAUUGUUAGAUCUUUCUAAUAAUAAUCUUCACGGUCCUAUUCCUCCUUGCUUUGAUAACACCACACUUUAUGAAAGUUACAGCAAUAAUUCUAGUCUUGAUGAGCAAUUUGAAAUAUCUUGUUCCAUCGAAAGCCCUCAGGGAGAUGUAGAAAAGCAAAUCCGUGAAAAUUUUGAGUUCACAACAAAGAACAUUGCGUACAUUUACCAAGGAAAAGUGCUUAGCCUCCUAUCAGGACUUGAUCUUUCUUGCAACAAGCUAAUCGGUCCUAUUCCUCCUCAAAUUGGAAAUUUGACAAGGAUUCAAACAUUGAAUCUAUCACACAACGACUUGACAGGAUCGAUCCCAUCAACAUUUUCAAACUUGAAGCAUGUCGAAAGUUUGGAUCUUUCCAACAACAAAUUGAAUGGGAAAAUCCCUCAUCAACUAGUGGGGUUAAAGACAUUGGAGGUUUUCAGUGUGGCAUACAAUAACUUAUCAGGCGAAAUUCCAGAAUGGACUGCACAAUUUGCAACAUUCAAUGAGAGUAGCUAUGAGGGAAAUACUUUUCUUUGUGGAUUGCCAAUGCCCAUUUGCAGAUCACCAGAAACUAUAUCGGAGGCUUCAAUUGGCAAUGAACGAGAUGAUAAUUUAAUUGACAUGGACAGUUUCUUUAUCACAUUUACAACAUCGUACGUAAUUGUGAUAUUCGCAAUUAUUAUUAUUUUAUAUGUAAAUUCUUAUUGGCGACGUAGAUGGUUUUACUUUGUUGAAAUGUGGAUAACUUCAUCUUACUAUUUUGUUGUAGACAAUCUUAUUCCAACAUGAUUUUGUCAUUGAAAUUAAUUAGUAGCUUAAUUACGAUCCUUUAAGUACUAAUCAAGUUUGCUUAGGAAAUAUUUUUUUAUUAAAAUUGUAGUAGUAUUUAGCAUUAUAUAGCUUCCAACUUCCAAGCACUUCACAUUUGUCUCUACACUUAAAAAACUGAGUGAUCAUGUUUUGCAGAUCUGGAUUUGGAGCAGGAUGGAUCCAAACCCAUAUCUGUCCACCAUAACUUAUAGCUUCCCUAUACUGUGCAGCAUACUUAAAUAAGAGAACCAUCUCCAAUGUUAAAAGCAUUCACUCUAUAACAUUCAUUUAGAAACUAUAUUCAGAAUAAUUUUAUAAUUAAACACAAGAAAUGAAACACACAGAUACACUUGAUCGCCUAUUUUACUCUAAAAAAGAACGAUUACUGUGCUAUCAUCAUCUUCUUCACUAGCAACAUUAACACCAAAUCGAUAGACCCAUACAUUUCAUCAAGAAAGGUAUAUAUCCAAUAAAGUUGAAGCCUAACAAAAAAUUCAAGAAGAUUAAUGCCUCGCCACAACAAGGGGCACAACAACAUCAAAGUAGAGAUUAAGCAGUAUUCUCAAAGCUAAAACUCUCAAAUCCACCCACCAGAAUUUCAUAUCUCCUCAACAAUUUUAAGAAAUAAAGAUAAUUAGGAUUUAACAUUAGUUUUUUAUAUAUUAGUUUCAUAAUUUACAAAUCAAUGAAGAUGAAGAUUAUGCUAAUAAAUUCAAAUUAUACCAUACAUUCUCUAGAUGUUACCAAAAAUUUCUAAGUCAAUCCCACAUAUUUCAUAAUUUUAAGACUAGAAAAUUUCACUAGUUAGAAGUUUCAUUAACUUCAAGUGGAAGAUGAAGAACAUUAUACAAGUGAUUCAGAUUAUAUCAUACAUACUCCAAAUGCAACUAGAAAUUAACAAGUUCAUGCGCACAUAUUUCAUAACAUUAUGAUUGAAACGUUUCACAAAGAGAAAUUCUAAAUUCAAUCUCUUGCAUGAAGGCAGUUUGAUUGAUUUGAGUUACUUUCUUAUCAAGCUACUAAUAUAACAUUCAAGUCAGGGAGAAAAUAAAUUAAAACUGGGAAGAAAUAACAGUAAAAAUUUGUUGCUCAACAUGAUGUGUAUUUUUUUUCAAGGCAAUUUGGAAACACAAUUGUUACUACAGAUAUUCUUCUCAACUUGGAGAUAAAUACAAAUAUUAAAAUGCAUAUGAUCGCACAUAUUACUUCGAGUUUAGUAAGAUUUCAUUAAAAGAAGCAAUCAAACCACUUAUCAAUUGUCGCAGUCGUUCUAUAAACUAAAAUAGCAAUAUAAUACAAGAAAAAGAACAUAUAGAUACUUGGCAAGAGUUCAUUAAGAAGUCGCAUCACAUUCGGGUGAGGAGUUUGCUUCUGAUAUCUUGCUAGCUGGGGCUUUUUCUUGUCUUUCUACGUAUGCCGAGGGAAACCAACCAGCUUGGCCCUUGCAUUCACCUUCCGACCAUCCAAUAGGAGCCACCUUGAGAAGUUAUAACUAAAACGGUGAAUUAAACAAAAGUUGACCGUUCAAAGACCUAAGGGGAAAACUAAUUCUUUUACGUAGGAGGAGUGAAUUAGUUGUGAUCACUGAAAUAACAGCAUAACUAUGGAAGCAUAACAAGAUAUAAAUUCACACGUCUAUAAGGAUAAACUGGGUGGUUUAGAACUGAGCUAGCAACCCUACUAUAUUCUGAUUUGCACUUCAAUGUAAAAGGGAAUAUAUGGUAGGAAGAAAGAAAACCAACCAUCAUUUGUUAACUCAUUGCUUUUCAAUCAAAAUUUUAAGAACAAAAUGCCAUGUGCUUUGAACAUCAAAUAAGUAUAAGCAUUAGUUCUAAAUUCCACAUAUCAUAAGUUGUUAGAAGGAUAAGUUAAUAGCAGAGUAGAAAAAUCAAUGUGUUGGUAUUUAGAGGGGAAAGUACCUGGCGAACCACAACAUAAUCAUCAAUUGAAAGACUUAGCUCUCCAUUUGCUUGAGCAUCAAAUGGAUGUAUAACCUGCAAGAUAAUGGGAUAAAUGGAACUUAAAAAAAGCAUAACAAAAGCAGCAACAGUAGCAGCAACGUUCAUUGUAACCACUAUGAUCAUGGCCAACAAAGAUAUAUUAGAAACAAAAUUCCAUUUUUACUAUGACAUUAAUAUGUACUAUACGAUAUCAUGACGAUUGGGUUACUAAGAGCUAUCAAAGUCUAAUAAGUUCUGUAUAACUUUAUGUAGUUAUUUAAAUUAUGGAUCAGAUUUUAAAUUUGAAAUUUUGACUGCUCUCCACAAAACAUGGCCUAUGCACAAGAAAGUCAUAGAUAAUGAGGAUUACAAGUGUCCGACAUCUUUUGAGUGAUGGAUUUAACAUGAGAGCUUAUGGUCAGUCAAUUUCCUCUGCCUAGCAAUAUAAGCUUUCUCGGCCAGAUUUAUCAUCAAAUACAUAGAUUGCCCCCAAGUCACAUCCAUAUAAACAUAGUUUUUCUAGGUAAACCAAGUAAGGAGCAUCAUAAUUCAGACAUAAUCAUAAAAAGGCCCAUCUAAAUUAAGAGAAAAUCUCAAAAAGAGGGAUGCUGAGCUAUCAGUCUUGUAUCUAUAAGCAAUAUCAAGACUUUACAUCACCUGCUACAUCAUGAGUGGCUACACAACUUUCAGUGGUUUGUCUUUCUUUGGCACGCCUAACUCAGCUUUGAUGUUGCUGAGAUAUUGAUAGUAGAGACACAUGAUACUUCUAGCUCAUGCAUUCUAUCUAACUCAUCCAACAACUAUCUCUUUUUUAAUUCAUUAGUGUUUGCUAAACCUCAUGCUUAAAAGUCCUGUUCUCCUAAAUAAAGUUUCCUAAGAAUGACUUCCUUAGCACCACAGUUGGACACUUGUAGAGCAAUUUUAUUUGGGGGAAAAGAAUUUUCAAGGUGUUAACUAAUAAAUUUUAAAAAAUAAUUACAAUUUGUCCUACGAUCAUAUGACAAUUUAUCUGGGAUGAAAGGAUACAGAUAGACAUCUUCCACUUUCAAGACUAAUCACUACUUCCGUAGAUGUUGUGCAAUAAUACAAAUACUUGACCAGAUGGUAGUGAUGGUAGAAAAAAAAUUUAUUGCUCCAAAAUUAAAAUAAGAAUGCAAUAUGUUAAGCAAAAGGCUGUGCAACAUCAAAUUAAUUGAUAAGAUAGAUGCAGACAAGCAAGUUAAAAUGCAUAGUCCCAAACCUCCGCAUACAACUUCUCUAAAAUAGCAAUAACGUGUUGAUGCUAUGUUUUCUCAGCAUCUACCUGCAAAGGCCCGAGACCAGGAAAACAACAAUAAAACCACUAGCUGAAGGAGAAAGCAAAGAAAGAAAUACACUUGACAUAAAUCUUGACAAGAAGCACAAUUUAAGACAUAACAAACCCCAAUCAUAUUGUUUAGAACUACCAUUCGUUAUUUCGUUAUUGUAACAUUUCGAACAAGUGUUGACUUAAUUCAACAUUGUUGGAAAGAUAGGCUUUUAGAAGCAGAAGAAAGCCUCUCAAACCAAAGUGCUGGUCCUUGUAUUGAUCAAGGGAUGUAAACAUAUUACAUUUGCAGGAUGAGAUUUAAUCACUCCCCUGAUUUAUUUGGGUUGCAGUAAAACUAAGCGAGCAACUGUUUGACUUCCAAGCAACAGCUAAAUCAGCUAUUAAAAUUCAAAUAAAAUCAUAAUAGAAUAAUAACAGGCCCUCUUGCAUCAAAAAUUAAGUUUAAUUUGUGCAUUGUUUUCUAUAGACAUGUCAGUUUCUGCUAUUGAAAUGUUAAAAGCAUUGAAAAAUUAUUCAAUAAAUUAUGCAAGCAUUAAAAUAGAGGACAUAUUAAAAAGUUUCUAAUUACAAUGCUAAUAUUUCCUAUAUUUUAGCAUUUGCAUAUUUUAAUUUAUUUAAAAGCUACGUCGAUCAACUUUGGGCAUGAAGAUUUUAGCUUCUACGAGACUUGAUUGGAAUAUGCAUAAGGAAGAGUGUUAAAAUAUGAUGCAUCCAACGAAAGAAAACCACGUGUAGUCUUUUAAUUAAGCCAAAGUAGCAGCUCAAACAAAUGACACUUGGACCAACAUGCAAUCAUGAAGUGGCCGGAAAAAGGACAAAUGCUACUUUGGCUUAAAUAAAAAAUAACAUGUGACUUGACUUUUGCUGGACAUGCAUCAUGUUAUUACAAGACAACAGAAAUCAGUAUGAUAGUACUAAAAGUUGACAAUAACAUGAAGAUAAGAGGCAGAAUGUCAACACAUGCAUAGGCACACACAAGAAAGUAUUAACAUAUAUACCAUAGCAAAAACUCUUUUAUAUGUCAUCUGUUGCUGCUGUGAUUCAACUGACAGCAAGGCAGCUGUCGCUUCUCUACCAAGAGCCAUUAUUUUAGAUUUAAGCUCGGUCAAUCUUGCUUCUGCAUUUCGAAGCUUCACAGCACUCUCUGCUGAUAUAUCAGAUUCCCUAAUCUUUGAUCGGUGCCUAAAUACUUCAGCUGCCUGGUGAAAAUAUUCAAUAUAAAUCUAAUAUAAUUCUCAUCUUGCCUUAUACAUGCAUAUGUUACGUCAAAGCUUACCUGGGCUUCAACUUCAUGUCGAAGUUUGUCAUAACAAUGAGUCAGGUGUCGAGCAUCUUCCAAAGGUGCUCCGUUGAUUAACGCCCGUAGUGGCUCAGAUACCUACAUGUCCAAAAACCUGUAACAUAGUUAGAAAAAUGAAAAGAAAGAGCGAAACCUCAAUUAAAAAGUUCAUCCAACAUAAUCAUGGAAUUUGGGCCUACUUUAAGAAUAUAUAUAAGGAUAAUUUAUGCAAUUUUGGGUCUUAGGAUGAUUGGUAUUAGGUUAGUGUUCUUCUCUUCUGUAUUUAAGGUUAAAAUAGAAAUAAACCUAUGCAAGUAUCUAAAUUAGGCCUGUAAGACAUCCACAUGCAUCCUUCAGUCUCAUGGAUUUGAUUUUACUAUAGAUGCAAGUGUCUUUAUCGAAAAUGCUUGGAGUCAAUUGAGAGAACUCAUGGCCAAUAACUUGUCACACGCUAGUCUUUGCUAGUGAUCACAAGGUCUCUUCAACAUUUGAACCAAUAAAAUUAUUAAGUCAUGGAUGUCACUAGCAAUGAUUUUAAUAUAAAACAUUAAAUAUUUCAGAGUUGUAACUUUAAAAUGGAUUCUUUUAUUCAAUAUCAUAGAACUAAGUUUCCUUAUGAGAAGAUAAUAGUUUCGAUAAUAAUUUUACAUAUAAUUUUCUAUAUUUGAAUUAUUUUCUAGUUAGGGAUGAACUAACCUGAUCACGAAGAAUCCCGAGCAAAGUUUCCCUCUCAUUUUCCAUCAAAUCAUGUGAAGUGCCAAAUUGAAGAGCAGCUCUUGCAACGCAAGAAUUGUCACUUUGAUUCUCUACUCCAUACUUGCAACAAUCUUCAGCCAACUUUCUCGCUACAAUAUUUGAAUACAAAAAUAUUGUACACAAGAACUAUAAAAAAACUAAUGAAAAAUGCCAAGAUGGAGCAGAUGCUUCAAUACUGCCUAUACAAACCAUAAAAAACUAAUGAAAAAUAAAUAAAAUCGAGAAAUUUUACUAAUUAAAAGUCUAAAUAUAAUUUUGAAAAAAGAAAAGAAACGGACUUGCUGCUGCUUGGCGACUUGUUCUCGGAGCUUGAUUGCCUGUUUCUUGAUAGCUUCCAUACUGUUUCUUUCAAAAAGCGACGACGGCUCUGCUCAUGGAAGUGGAAAAAAAAGUGUGAUCGAGAAAAAUGAAAAGGCGUGAAUAAUUUUUGACAAAAAGCGAAAAUCAAGGAAAGCCGGCUCUUUCCAGAAAAUAAAAAAAAGAAAAAAAGAAAAAAGAAAAUCAUAAGUUUGAAAGGAGAAGAUGAUAUUGGAAGUAUGCAGUGUGGCUGCCAGGUACUUGGAUUGUAUUGUCGGGUAAGGUAAUAGUGGAGAAUUGUAAGUUUGAACGGAGCAUGUUGGACUUUUGUUGACCAAAUUCAAAAGCCAAAUGGCACGGCCCGGAAGCUUUUGAAUAGAAAAACUUGCUAGAAAGCAUCAGUUUAAAUCACUACUUAAACGCUUGCUUUAACUGCACCGCUUUGUACUGUUUUAUGUAUGUAGCGGUUGUGCGGUUGUAAUUCACGGCUGACGCUACGUGUUUGUUUGUACUGUUCUAUUCGGUGACAGAGUAUUAUUAGUUAGGCCAAAACUAUGUUGCAACAGUGGUACAGUAGCACUGUUGCUUUCAGUCAUUAGAUCUAUAGUUGUACAGUUGCAUUAACAAGAUCCAAUGACUGAAAGCAACAGUAGUACCGAACUACUGUUGCAACAUAGCUGGAGCCUAUUAGUUAUUUCAAAGGGAUAAAUAAGAUUGGUUACAACAAACCUACUAAUUUUAUAAAAUUCAAGUAACAUAGAAUAAAAUAAAAAAAUAAAUACAAAAUUGACUUUUAUUUUUUAUGGUUGACUAUAUUUUGUGUUCUCUUCGGGCACUGCUACAAUUGUUCCCUAUAUAUCAAUUACACCACAUACUAUCGACACAAGAAAUGAAAUCUAAUAUCACCUGUUUAGUUAAAAAAUCACUCAUGAAAAAAUUUUACCAUUUUGAUUUGAGGAUCCAUAUUUUAAACUACAAGCUAAUGUUCAUCAAGAAUUACUGAUGGACAAAUUAUUUUUUUUGAUAGAAGAAUUUCUUUAGGAACUACUAAAUUAUUAAUAAAAAUAUCGAACACACCCACAUAUCAUCGACACAAUUGAUUUUGAGGAUCCAUGCUUUGAACUACAGCCUAAUGUUCAUCAAGAAUAGAGUAUGGCUUAUGAGUAGAAAAUUUUCUUAUUUUGGCCCAAAAUAAAAAGAAAUUAAAUUGGAUGAGAAUCUGCCACUUUCUCAUGAAGAAAGGCAUACGGAGCAUACCAUGGUACCAUACAAUAUAAGAAGCCUCCGUUCUUUGGUUUUUCAAACUCUGAAGGGGCUAAUAUUGCCAAAUUCCCCCUUGAAAAUUCUGAUUACGACAUUAUUCAUCGCUUGAUGCAAUCAAAGUAGUGACAAAGUUAGGAAAAAUAUGAGUCCUAAGUAAUUGCUAGGCAGGGCUCCUGAGAGCAAAAUUGUCCUAAGCAUUAUAUGCAUACAUAGUGCAGUACAUAGAGCACGUUGAAUUCCCCACUAUAACACAAACCCAGAAAGACAAGUAAUAACUCAACUGAUAUAAAGACAAAAAGAAGAUAAAAUGAUAUAGAAAAAAGAAUUUCAAAGAGACAGCAACAUACAAUAGACUGAAGCCACUUGAUCUGCUCAUUGAUUGCAGCCUUAAACUUGCAAAUAGUUACUGUACGCUAGUGCUCUAAGAAGUGAAAAUGAUGCGAGCCCUGAUUCCCUUUUGACUUCCAUUUACUGUCAAACAUUCUAGUAAUACAAAAAAUUGUUUAGAUAUCUUGCUAUAAAUAUAGCCGUUUGACUGUCAUAAUAAAGUCACAAAUAACCAUUCAUAUUGAUCUACUGUCACACAGCAUGCUUUAUGCAUACAACAGCUGUAUGCAUACCAACUCCUAACCUUAUCAAUACAUUUGGCAAAAACUUAAGAAGAAAGCUAUUUCUCCAUCUCUUUUUUGAAAUUUCACAAUAACCAGCACAAUGUGAAAGCUAUGUUCUAACCUUAUGAUAAAUGCUCCAGACUCCAAAAGGGUUUUAUAUAUGAGAGUUUGUUGCAGCAGAUAUAUUGACUUAUCAAGUAUGAAUCAUUGUCUGGAUGAACUAUCUUUAGAUAAAAGAAUAUUAGAACCACUGUAGAAUAUCUUUACCCUGCUGGUUCUAACAGGAAUCUGCAUGUGGCAACAAUUGCUAGACCCACAAUUCCCCAACUUGAAAUACAUAGUUGCACACCAUGAGAUAGUGCUACAAUCUACUGAGAUCUAACUUAUAUGGUACUUUAAGCUACUAAUGUUUGCAUAUUUCUACAUGUUAAAUUAACACUAUCAUCUAUAAUCACUCCAAAACAACAAAUGAUAAGCAGCUUUUGGCCACUUAUUACUAGCAUACACAAUUAUAAAUAAGAGAUCAUGGGUUUACUUGUUGCACCUACUUAAUUAUCUGCAGUUGACAUCCUGACACAAGGUUUAAAUAGUGACUGCUUAGAACCCUUGUAGUUGGAUCUUGACCUCUCCCAUUGUAGCCAAGAUUGGUUACUCUGGUAAUGAAUCAACACUCUCCUGCUCAGGGCCAUGAAGAUCUGAAAGCUCAGCACUAGUGGAGAACUUCAUCAAUCUCUUCUUCUCAGCAUACUUGAGACAAGGCUGCAUUACGAGACCAAUCACCACAGCACCAACGCUUAAAACUGCAACUUUUAAAGAAGAAAGAGCCAACACAACACAACACAAAUCAAUAUGGUUGGAGGAAUACACAUGAUAAUGGCUCCAACAGUGCCAGUGGGUAUCUUGUAGGGAUGAGAUGCAGCAGGAUAUUGUAUCCUUAACCAUACAAAUGCUAUGAACUCCAUAAUCAUUCCAAAACAGUACAGGAAGUUCUCUGCAGCUACAAUAUCUCGAAAGCUCAGCCAUGAUAGCAAAACCACACCAGAAGCUGAGAAUAUGAUUCCAAUCAAAGGAGUCCCAUAACAAGACCUCUUAGCAAAAAACUGAGGUAGCAUUCCACGCUCAGCCAUCCCCAAAAGUUGGAAAGAGUCGCUGCUCAUCUCAGCCACAAACAUGCCCAUAUUGGACAUUGCUGCAGCCCCCUGGAUGCACCAUCUCAACCAAACUCCUCCAAGCACUUUAGCAAUAUCUGAAAAGUAACCAUCGGUCCACAAGUCGCGAUCUAAUGGAAUAGCUCCAGUUCAAACUAGAAGGGGAAAGAAAUACCCAAAAAUGACCAAGAUCAAAGCAUAAAACAAAGCCUUUGGAAGAGUCUUCUUUGGGUUAUCCACCUCUCCAGCUAGUGUACUUAUUGAGUCCCAGUAGUUGAGAUUCCAAAACAGGGUGUUCAAAUACAAAUUCCAAUCCACUUCACCUAAAUUUACUACAAGCCAUCUUGAAGGCUCUAACUUGGGAAGGGACACAAGUCCCAUAACCCCAAAAGGAAGGAGUGAGAAAAUCCCUAAAAGAACAGCAGCCCAUCCCACAAUGGUUAGACCCCUAUAGUUCAUGAAAGUGAGAACAAAAGUCAAAGCUAACGCCGCAAAGGCUCUAGGUAACCCAUUGCCCAACGCAGGGAUACCAGACUUCAAGUAGUCAAGAAACAGAACUGGGUAUAAAGCAUUAUCAAUAACCCCACUUAGCCAUCCAACCUUGCUGAAAACCCCAAUAUGGGCCUAAGGCAGAUGAAACCCAAACCACAUAACCACAAUUUUCAGGAAACACAGUACCCAUUUCGGCAGUAAUUAAAGCUUCAGGGACACUCCAUAUAAUCGGAAACACCAAGAAACCAAGAAGUGCUAAAAGAGGACCAGCUGCCUUUACACUAUCCUCAACACCAAACGGCCCCCCAGAAACCUCAUAGAAUAUAAGGAAAAUAAGUGGCAAGAUUGAUACUUUUUUAGUGCCAUGGACUCGAGGAGAAGAUGGUUGGUCAUUGAUAUUAACAUAUUCAACAGCAUCAGACUGCCCUAUUUCUACUGAAACUUGCCUAUUUACAGUGUUCCUCAAUUUCUGCAUCAAGUUUAAGCAUAACUAUCAAAAGGGUAUCCGCAUCUAAAUUAUGAAACAAAAUGAGCAUUUACUUAUUAAAAAAAAUCAAAAAACAGAAAUGGAUUUCGCAGAGCACAUGAAUUUAAGUUCAACAUUAAACAGGCGCUUAAGAAAACAAAAGGGUCUGUUCGUAAAGCCAUCAGAUUGCAAGAUUGAACAACAUUAACGGAAUCAAUAGAAUAGAUGUAAAGAGAUCUGAAAAGAAAAUAAAAUAAAAGAUAAAGAGAGAUAAAACGAACCAUCAAAUAAGUGCAUGCAGAGCAGAGAGGCAGAUACUAGAGAAGCUCCGUCAUGUUAGAGAGAGCCUAAUUCAAUCAGAGCUCACUGAGUUUCUUUUCAACCGACCGGCAAAUUUGGAGUGGCACAACAUAAUAUUUUUACUUUUAAUUUUUGGAACACUUUUGAAUAGAAUUUUUUGUUUUUAAAAAAGGUAAGGGAGAUUAGUAUUUAUUUAACGGAUCAGGCUACGGUGCAACUGUGGCACCGUGCCACAGUUGCAUCUAGCCGUUGGAUGCAAUUGGAAUGGUGGAGUCCACUGACAUCCAACGGUUAGAUACAACUAUGACACGGUACCACAGUUGCACCUAAGGUUCCCUUAUUUAACUUUAUAUUUUUUAAAAUACCUUAAAAAUAUUUUUAUGUUAAAAUAUUAAUAUUUUUAUUAAUAAUUUUUAUAUUUUUAAUUUAUUUUUAUAAUAUUAUUUUUUAUAAUAAUUUUUUAUUUAAAUAUUAAUAAAAAAAUAAUUAAAUUAACAAUUUAAUCCUAAAAUAAAUAAACACGUGUUUGGUUUUGGGCUUUUUCUUUUGUUCGUUUAAUAUCAUCUGGCUCCCUGAUUUGUGACUAAUUAUCAACAGAAUCCCGUUGGUUUCUAAAUUGAAAUAAUAGAAGGUCAUGAGACUAUUUACUCCAUUUAGCACUGCAGACUUAGAGUAUAUUGAAAAAGCUUUGUCAAAUAGUAGUAAUAGGGGCAUAAGAAAUAAAUUAUAGCUAUCACAAAUUCGUUAGGAGAAUUUCAAUUUUUUCCAUCAAUAAUGGCUAUGAAGCAAAAUUACCUUAGGUUAUAUUGCAAUACUAAUACUUCAAAUCCUGAUAAUAAAUUUGAUGACAGUCGUUUUUAUCAUGGUUUUAACAGAUAUAAGAAGAGAAAAUUAACUGUUCAAACAAAUUAGAAGCAAAUUCUUUCAUAUCUUUCUUUUAUUUUUCCGCUUACUUUCUUAGCAUCCAAACAAGUUAAAGUUAAAACGCUGUUAGAGCCAACAAUAUGCAGGCAUCAAUAAGCAUAGUAGUUUUGUAUAUGUAUUCUAUACGAUAUUCUAGGGAUGUCAAUUGUAGAACAUUUUGUGGUAACUUUUUUACAUUAAUUAAUGUUUGAAGAACUUGUUAAAAAGAAAAUGGUAAUUUUAUCAUUUUGAAAGACAAAAAAAAAAAAAAAAAGAGUGAAAGUGGCGUUACCUCAUGGUCAUUAGAGACUUGUUGCAAUGAUAGCUCAAAAUUAAAAAUUUGUGAAGAAUUAGUAGACAACGACGAUACUAUAUUUAUACAGUCACCAACGUGUUGAUUUUUGUUUAAUGUUUGAUCGAUAGAAACUUUCGUCGUCGUCGCCGUUGUUGAAUUUGUGCUAAGAAUAUCACAAGAGAAGAAAAAAGGAUGAAAGGGAAGAGAAGAAGAGAGAAGUGGUGGACAGCAAAUAUGAUAUGCUAGCUACACACAGGCCUUAGAGAGUUUUUUUUUAAUAUUUAUUGUAUUUUUGUUUUUGUUAUUGGUUUUUCAUAUGCUUCCAAGGCAGCAAUGCGUUACAUCAUAAAUUGCACCUUUUAGGGGAGGUGGUAAAAAACAUGAGAGCAAUGCAUUCUAGCGCAUACAUGCAGAAAGAGUUUCCAAAUUUUCAAAAGUUUCUUUAUUUCUUCCACCUUUUUUUGCUUAAAAUAAAUUUUAAUUGUAUUUUGCAUUAACUUAGAGAAAAAAAAAUCCAGUUCUAUACAUAAACGCAUACAUUGAUUAGAAAAUGAGUUUUAUGGACACAAAGGGACAAUAUAAGAGAUUCUUUUUGUUUAUUAGAAGUAACAUAACUAGUUAGUGUAACAUGUAAUUAUAAGCUACCAAUAAUUUGCACUAAUGAUAAUUAACGGUAUAGAUUUUGAGCUAUGAAUGUCUUGUGGCUAGUUUAAUUAGAUUUUCGAGUUUUCAGCAGAUCUAUUUUAAUGAUUAUUAAAUUAUUUUCACUUCUUAUGCCUUAAUAAAAAAAAUCAAUAUUUUUUGCUGUAUUCUAUAUUUUAAAACUUAAUUUUUAGUUCUUUAUAUUGCAAACCAAACUGAGUCAAAUAGAGUAUGCUCUUCAAAUAAUUUUUCCAUUGCCUUCAAGAAGAAUUCAUUUUAUUUUUAUAUAUUAAUUUAACACUUGUAAACCGGGCCGUCAGAUUGCACAUAAAGCAAAUGAUCAAACCGUUACAAGACCGGCCCAGGCCCACCGACUCUAUUUUCUUUCAUUUGACCAUUAAAAAGCUUUUGGCCACCCCCACCAAAUAAAUAAGCUCUUGUUCUCUUUUGUUCCCUCUCAAAGGAAAAUAUCUGAUCACCGGAUAAUGAUUCCGGCGACACAAAAGAUCGAAACACCCCCCUAAAUUCCCUAAAUUUACGAUAAUACCCCACCAUGGAUGAUUCCGUUGAAAUGCCGCCUUACGAUGAAAGGCCUAAAAAGGGUUUUAACUUCACCUCCAUGCGCUUGAUCUUAACCCUCGUUUUCCCAAUUUUAACUUGCUUUUUGUUGGCAUUUUUUAUUGGAAUCGUAGCUGUUUUAUUCGGUGAAUCAUCAGUUUCCAGUUCCAUUUUUGUCCCUUCCCAGUGCAAGAUAGUGUCCAGCAGUAAGCUUUUUUUAACAUUUUCAAUUUUUUUUCCAUUUAUGAAGUCCAAAAAUUUUAUUAAUUUUGACUUUUUUGAAUGAUUUUGCAGGUGUUGAUAUAAGGUCAUCAAAAGUUUGUGAACUUGGGGUGUUGAAUUAUAAGGCGAAGCGUGUGUUUUAUCCAUUUGAAGCAAGUAAAUUUCGCUGUCGGUAUGAUUACUAUUAGGCUUCUAUCUUCAAGGUAUUCAUACAUUUUCCCCUGUACUAUAAGCUUCUCAGUGGCGGUCUUGUGAGCGGAAGUGAGCGGUGUGGUUGACAGCUUCUUGAAAAUUAUAAGUUUGAACCAAGCAUGUUAGAGCACCACCAAAAGCCUCUUUAAAUAAGAUUUUAUUAUUUAUUUAAAGAGCCACAUCAAUAUUGAAAGCUCCAAAAGACACUUCAAUUAAAAUUCUUUAAAUAAGAAUUGAUUCUCUUCAAAUUUGGAGAGUUAAUUUCUCCCUCUUCAAUUUAUAUUUUAUUACUUUUCAUUGAAGAAAUAGAGAAAUGCUUUAAUUGCUAUUAACUUUUCCUUUAAAAAACUAAUUAUAUGAUUAAAAUAAUAUUAACUUAUUUAUAUUUGAAGAGUCUUUUGAAGAAUAUCAUAUUUUUUUCACCAUUCUAUUUGCCACAUAGGUAAACAAAUAGAUAUUUAAAGAGUAAAAUUUAUAGAAACUUUUGGAGAUGCUCUUAGACUUUUGUUGACCAAAUUCGAAAGCCAAAUGGCACAGCUCAGAAGCUUUUGAAUUGAAUAACUUACUAGGAAGCUCCAAUUUUUUGUUGGCUACAGUAAAAGGAUGUUGUUUUAUUCUUCUUAUACUUUACGCUUGCAUCAGCUUAAAUCACUUCUUAAACGCUUUGCUUUAACUCCACUGCUUUGCUGGGGCGGAUUUACCUUGGAACAAGUGGGGACUUAAGUCCCCACUGAAAAAAAAAUUGUUUUAAUAAUUAAUUUGAUUUGCCAAAACUUCUCAAUAAAUUUUUCUUAAGCCCCCAUAAUUUCUUUCAACAAGCAAUUGAUCUAAAUGAGUUAAUUUCUGUCAGUUGUAUCCAAAUGAGUUCUCUGCAAUUGAUAUCAUGGCACUUGAAAUUCAACUUGAUACAUAUAUUUUGGAUAUGCGCACUAGUGCGAGACUAAAAGACAUAAGGUAUAUCCAUUGGUUUACUUGUUAAUAAUAUUAGCAUUGACUUUACCCGUUGCCAUUGCUAGUGUAGAGAGUAUUUUCAGCCAUGAACAUUUUGAAGAAUUGGUUAUAAAGCUGUGAGUAAUAGAUGAAUGAUAGUUUAAUUAUUUACAUAGAAAAAUACUUAUUUAAUAAUAUUGAUAAUGAACUUGUAAUGCAACAUUUUUAAUGUAUGAAAACUUGAAAGGACAAUUGUAAACAUAUAUUGAAGUAUGAUAAAUCUUUCAAAUUUAUAUAUUUAUUACUUUUUAAAUUUUUUUAUAUUGCCGUUGAAUGAGCCCCCAGUCAAUCAAUAUGUUGUCUUCACCCUGCUUCGUACUCUUCUAUAUAUGUAUCGGGUAUGCAGUUGUAGUUAAUGGUUGAGACUACGUGUUUGUUUGACGUGGUAGUUACGUUACGAGUCUGUUAAACAUUCGAUGAUUAAAGUAUUAUCUGUUAUUUCAAAGGGACAAAUAAGAUUAGCUACAACACACCCACUAGUUUUAUAAAAUUCGAAUGAGAUGGAAUAAAAUAAAAAAUAAAUAAGUAAAUUGACUUUUAAUUUUAGUGGUUGAAUAUAUUUUCUAUUCUCUUAGGGCACUGCUGUAAUUAUUCCUUAAACGUCAGUCAUACCCACAUAUAAUAGACACAAGAAAUGAAAUCUAAAAUCACCUGUUUAGUUAAAGAAUCAUCAUGAAAAAAUUUUGCCAUUUUGAUUUGAAGAUCCACUUUUUGAACAACCAACUUAUGUUCAUCAAGAACGGAUCAUGGCUUGUGAGUAGAAAAAUUAUUUUUGGACAAAUUAUUUUUUUUAAUAGAAGAAUUUCUCAAGGGACUAAUAAAAUUACUAAUAAAAAUGUCAGACACACCCACGUACCAUCGACACAAUUGACUAUGAGGAUCCAUGUUUUGAACUUCCACCUAAUGUUCAUCAAGAACAGAAUAUGGCUUGUGAAAAGAAAAUUUUCUGAUUUUGGCCUGGAACAAAAAGAAAUUAAAUUGAAGGAGAAUCUGCUACUUUCUCAUUAAGAAAGGCAGACAUGGUAUACCAUGGUACCAUACAAUAUAAAAAGUCUCCAUUCUCUGGCUUUUCAAACUCUGAAGGGGGCAAUAUUCCCCAAUUCUCCCGUGAAAAUUCUAAUUACGACAUUAUUCAUCGGUUGAUACAUAAGUACAAGUAGUGACAAAAUUAGGAAAAAUAUGACUCAUAAGUAAUUACUAGGCAGGGCUCUUGAGAGCAACAUUGUACUAGGCUUUAUAUGCAAACAUGGUGUGGUACAUAGAGCACGUUGAAUUCCACACUAUAACACAAACCCAGAAAGACAAGUAAUAUCUCAACUGAUAUAAAGACAAAAAGAAGAUAAAAUGAUACAGAACAAAGAAUUUCUAAGAGACAGCAACAUACAAUAGACUAAAGCCAGUUGAUCUGCUCAUUGAUUGCAGCCUUAAACUUGCAAAUGUUUACUGUAGCCUGGUGCUCUAAGAAGUGAAAAUGAUGCAAACCUUGAUUCCCUGUUUACUUCCAUUUACCAUCAACACAUUCUAUUCAUAAGAAAAAAAAUGUUUAGAUAUCUUGCCGUAAAUAUAGCCAUUUGAUUGUCUUAAUAAAGCCACACACAACCAUUCAUAUUGAUCCACAUUGCCACAUAGCCUGAUUUAAGCAUACAACAGCUGAAUGUAUACCUAACUCCUAACCUUAUCAAUACAUUGGCGACAACUUAAGAAGAAAACUAUUUCUCCAUCUCUUUUUUGAAAUUUCACAAUAAAACAGCACAAUGUAAGAGCUGCAAUGAAAAUGGACCGUCUGAAACUAUGGCGGAAGCUUCAACUAGUGUAGUGAUUUGACCUUCUUAUUAACCUAGCGAGAUCAAACACUGCCCUUGAUCUUGAACAGAUCAAUACGAUACGCACAACUUAUGAUUGAAUCCAGAAACAAUCAAAUCUUUAGCAAGAAUAAUUAAUCAGAAUCAAGAAACAAGUUUAAUGAAUAUAAACCUAUAAUUGGAACAAACACAGCCAAAGAACCCAAGAAUGACACAACGAACACCAAGGGAGAAGCUUUCCAGUGAGAUUAUAUUGAUGAUCAAAGAAGAAUCUUUUUACAAAGCUAACAAAAGAGAUUUCAGAGAAUAAGCUAUGACCCUCUCUCUCUUCAAUCUCUGUCUAGUUUGUUAACAGUGAUGACCCAAUCUGCUUCGUUAGCCAGCUUCAUAACUGCGUCAGUGACAAACCAGCAAACCCAGAUUGAGCAGACUAACGACACGUGCAUAACGGCUUUAACGAACUUGGUUAAAGAACUGCUCACAUGUUCGUCACGCGUGUUGCUUAAAUGAUAGCCAAAACGACUUCAACCAGAUGCCGUUUUGAAGCUUAUGAAUUAUAAGUGAAAACACGUGCUUGUCUCGUGACAUUUAAAUGCAACAACAAGCCCAAAACACUGCCGUUUCACUAUGUUGAGUUUGCCAUCUCUAAGCUUCACAACUAGCAGCGGACAAGAUGAUAAUUUAAUUGACAUGGACAACUUUUAUAUCACUUUUACAACAUUCUAUAUAAUUGUGAUAUUGGGAAUCGUCGGUGUUGUAUAUGUGAACCCUCGUUGGCGACACUGGUGGUUUUAUCUUUGUUGAAAUAUGGAUGACUUUUUGUUACUAUUUUGUUGUACAUAGUACAUAACCUUAUUCCCAGGAGAUUUAAUCAUUGAAAUUAACAUGUUAGUUUCAUUAGAAGGCUGAGUGGUUAGGGCUGCUACCCUCCAACUUGGAGGGCAAUAGUUUAAACCCACAAGCGCAAUGUGGGGGUAUUUCAUUCUUUAAUUACAUUGUAUAAUUGAAUAAAUGUAAUCUUCUCUCUUACACAAGUGUGAGUGGAGUAGACAUCUCUCGAAUAUUAGCGAGGGUUAAAACUUGGACAGAGCUCAAUAAGUAUUUAUGUAAGUUGGUCCUAGUAAUAAUCUGAUUUGUAAAUAUCAGUUAUAGUCUCAUGUUUCCUUCCUUAAUUAUAUUGUAUAAUUAAGUAAAUGUACUCUUCUCUCUUACCCAAGUGUGAGUGGAGUAAACAUCCCUAGAAUAUUAGUGAGGGUUAAAAUCUGGACAGAGCUCCAUAAGUAUUGAUGUAAGUUGAUCCCAGUAAUAGUAUGAUUUGUAAAUAUCAGUUAUAAUCUCAUGUAAUAUGAGUUGUAAUUUGAGCAACAGUUUCAUGUAAUUACAAAAAAAAUGCUACUUUCAUUACAUUUUUCUUCGUUAAAAUUCUCAAGUAUCAAUUAUGUUUGCUUAAGAAAUAAAAUUUCGUUAUGAAAAUUGUAGUAGUAUUUCCGAGCAUCUCACAUUUUCAAUGAUUUUUCAUAAAUCAAUUAAUCUGUCGUACCAAUAUCAUGUUUAGUUUUUCAGACUAAAUAAUCAAGAAAGCAAACAAAUUCACAGUUUAGAGGGGUAAACUAGCUUUUAGAUUUUAGAACUAGGCUAGAUACCUCACCAAAUUCCAAUUUGUACAGUGAACUACAAGAUUGAGAAAAUAAUGUAUUUAUAGUUUAAUUGAAUCAUGAGAAAACAAUGUAGUCAUAGCUCAAUCGGACAUGAUCACGGAGAGGCAUAUUCUUUUCAAGUUAAUUUGAUCCAUUUAUAAGAAAUGAAGUGGAUCGAAGUUAAAAGUUAAAAUAAAAAAUCCUUAUUCUUGAGUUUUACGACGUCGUUACUCCUUCAAGAGGCUGAUUGUGCAAGUGAAUGGAGAAACAGAAUGCUUUUAUAAUUUUUUUAAUAAUUGUAAAAAUAAUUAACCAUAACAAAUCCCUUGCGUAAAUACUAAUCAUUAUUUAAAAGGUAGAAAGAUAGUUAGUGCACAAUCAAAUUUUAAGCCCCUACCUCCUCGGCCCAAGAUUCAAACUUAGAUGAUCAGCCAAAUAAAAUUAUUUGAAAAUCAUUCAAUCAGGUUCCCGGAGUAAAAAUACAAGAUCCUUAUUAUAAAAGUUGUCCCACCUGCUGGUGUAUAACAACCACUUCAAUUCAAACUAGAUUCUUUUUGUUUUUUUUAAUGUAAUCCUGAUAAUAUUUAUGUUAUCUUAAGAAUAGGUCAGCUUGAUUAUUGCUGAAAUAUAGGAGGAAGUUAGCUUUGAUUCAUUGUAUUAUUUAUACGCUCUGAUACCAUAAAGAGAUUGAUAAUUGAAAAUGAACUCACUUCGUUACUGGUAUGUCUGGUUCGGUGGUUGGCGGGGAAGGUGGAAGAGAUGGUUGGCGGGCAGGUAGAGCUUCCUGUGGGGUUGGGUCAGCUGGUUGUGAAGUAGCCUCAGGCAGAGAUAAUUCUUGAGAGCUAGCUGCAGAUGGAGUGUUGGCUGCCUGCUGGAGUGAUGUGGGAAUGGACACAGUAAGUACAGGAGGAAUCCAAGUGGAUAUGGUAGUGGAAGUAGGACGUGGAAGAGUGGUGUGUAGUGAGGUGUAUGGAAAGACUGAUUCAACAAAUUGAACAUGGCGAGAAACAUGUUGCUGUUGAUUAUCAUUUUAUCAGAGAUCAAGUUCAAUCUGGUCUACUUCGAGUAGCUCAUGUCUCCUCUGCUGAUCAGCUUGCCGAUCUUCUCACCAAGCCACUGCCCACUUCUCAGUUCUUGCUUUUACGGGACAAGAUUGGCCUCUCUACUCGUGGCCUAUCUUGAGGGGGCAUAUAAAAGUUGUCCCACCUGCUGGUGUAUAACAACCACUUCAAUUCAAACUAGAUUCUUUUUGUUUUUUUGAAUGUAAUCCUGAUAAUAUUUCUGUUAUCUUAAGAAUAGGUCAGCUUGAUUAUUGCUGAAAUAUAGGAGGAAGUUAGGUUUGAUUCGUUGUAUUAUUUAUACGCUUUGAUUCUAAUGGAACGAAGUGAGUUCAUUUUCAAUUAUCAAUCUCUUUACUUAUUUGCAUGAUAUAUAUGAAUUAAUGUAAUUUAUUUGAAUUAUCCAAAUUCAUUAGAGAUAAAACUAUAAAAUAUACCAAAAACGUUAGAAGGAAGGGUGUGUUGGGAUGUUUUACAAACUAUAGGAAUCUGGUGAGAUUUUGAGCCAAACUGUAGGGAGUUGAAGGCAUUUGCCCAAUAUGUUUAGUCGUACACUAACCGUUAUUUGAUCUUGUUGUUGGUCCCGGAUGAGCUGUAGUCUUAUUUUAAUUUUAUUUAAACUCACCAUAAGAUUCGCGGAGCUCCUAACUAACUUAAAUGACUCUGCAGAGCAUGUCAACACAUAGCAUGUUUAACCGUUUUAUUUGUAGAAGAAUUUAUGAUUUCCCAUUAGCAUUAUUAUUGAAGUGGGGCGGGGGCGGGUCAAAUCUCAAUUGCUUGAAAAUUUUAUUUAUUAUUAUUAGUCUUGAAGUGAGGUGGGUAACGGUUCGCUCCAAUUCGAGGGAAUCAAAUAUAUCAUCCAAGGUAGAAUUGUGGAAAAUUAAAGCAAAAUAAGAAAUAUGGAAAGAAAAGAAGAAAGUUAAGGCAUGAAAGACAUAUACAGUUGAAAUUAUAAUCAUGUUUCUAUUUUGUUAACUAAUCAAAUGGAAAGCUGAACUGUAAACAAACAUUAAAACGUGUGGACCAAGCUAGCUGCCCUACAAGUCCACAAUAAUAAUUGAGUACUUUGAUUCAUCCUUCUAUAAAUUUCUACCCAUAUUGACUCCACCGAAAUUUCCACAAAAUUAAAAAAAAAAAACUGAAUUUCCACAAAAUACAAAACCCGUUGAACUUAUUUUUUGGUCAUGUGAACUAAGAUGUAAAUUAAAAAAAAAGUAUAAAAUUAAAAAAGAUAAGAUUUCUAAAAUGUGUGGAAGGUGAUUCAUGAUUCACUGAAAUUACUUACCCCAGAUAUAAAAGUAAACCUAUCUAAUUUCAUUAAAAAUAGUUAGAAAAAAUUAACUAAUAAAAAGCUACGGAAAUUAACCCCCCACAAAAAUGACUUUUUAUAGAAGAAUUUAUGUUUUUUAAAAUAUGUUAUCAAAGUGUAUUUGAUCAAAUCUCAAUUGCUUAGUAUGGUUAGGAUUUUGUGAACAUCACUAAAAAGUGAAAAACUAUGAAUGAUAGGGGUGAUGCUUGCAAUAUGAAUAAAUAAUGGACUGAUUCAAUUGAUGAUUACAUUUAUAUAUUAUUGAUUAUUUAUGAAUUUUCAGACUUGUUAUGAUGUAUAACUAUGUGAUUUUGAAACUUGAAACCGUGGCAAACAUUGAAAGGAAUUAUAACUUGAAAGCAUGACUCACGGGGUAUGUCAUGAUUCACGUGCACAAAAAAGGUAGAAUUGUGGAAAUUUACAACCCAACGACAAAUACGGAAAGAAAGGAAGAAAAUUAAAAGACUUCGGGCCUAGCCUGCGUGUAUUAAUUAUUAGAUUACUUUUUUUUUUAUAAGGGUAAUCAUCAAUUUACUCCAUAACAAUCUUUAAUUCAUUUUUAAAAAAUAUGAAAACUUUAAUUUAUCUUUUAAACAUCGUUACCUCUUCAUUGGUUUUAAUAGUUCAAAGGGUAAAAUUAUAUUUGCAUAUUUUCUUGACCGCCAACUAAAUGAUAAAACUCAAAAUUCAAUCUUGUUAUCUUGUUUCAAUCCUCUAUCAAUCAAAUAAGAUUUCUAAAAUAUGUGAAAGAUAUUGCAUGAUUUCCUCAACCUACCUGGCCCCGAACAUCAAGGUAAAUCUCUCUAAAAUAGUUGAUUAAAUCUCAGUUGCUAAGUAUAGUUAGGAUUGUGUGAACAUCACUGAAAACUAUGAUUGAUAGAAGUGAUCUUUGCAAUAUGAAUAAAUAAUUAACUGAAUCAAUUGAUUUAUAUAUUAAAGUUUAUGAAUUUUCGGACUUGUUGCGAUAUAAUAAUAGCAUAUGAUUUGAAACUUGAAACAGUGGUAAAUAUUGAAAGGAAUUAAUUUGAAAGCAUGAUCCGUGGGGAAUGUGAUGAAUCGUGUUUACAAAAAAGGUAGAAUUGUGGAAAUUUAUAACAGAACGAUAAAUAUGGUAAAAAGGAAGAAAAUUGAAAGACUUGGGGCCUGGCCUGGGUGUAUUUUCUAACUGUCCAAUGGACAAAAUUAUAUUUGUAUACUUUCUCUUCCCUAGCUAGGUUUCAUAGAAUAGCUCAUUUCAUUUUUAUUUUUUAAAUAAUAGCCCAAAACAUCCUUAUGUUAAUUCACUGUUAGUUGAAUAUCAUUUGUUAGUAAUUCAUUAAGGGUAAAAAAUGAUUUUCUAUCAAAGAGAAAAUUAGAAAAAUAAAUAAAAGUUGACAUAUAACUAAAAAUGAUCUUAUCUAAUCCCACUAAAUAAGAAAUGCCAAAAAAGAUGAAAAAUUUAUAUUUCAAGCAAUUCUUUUUUCACUUAUUUCUAUUUUGGCGGCAUGAAAGCCCUAUAAACCCUAGAUCUAAAUACCAAAAAUAUCACAAUUUUCUUAUUCAUAUAAGUAUACUCUCUAAUUGCAUUGUAAAAUGGCUUGAAUUGAAUUGAAGAUAAAGAAAAUAUUCAGCACAUGCAAGCACAUAAAAAUUGGUGGCAUUUUUGAGUUUUUCUUCCAAUGAUUUAAAGAUAUUGUUUUAAUUACAGUUUGUUCCUUAUGACAAUUAUUCAAUGGCUAUAUCAAACUAUAUCAUCGUUGAUUUCAUUUAAGAAAAAGUUAAUGAAUUUUGCAUACUUUGUAGUGUUAUUUAAUUGUGUAAAAAAAUUAUUUUAAUAUAGUUUGUAUCACUUUAAUGAAAAAUCUUAUUUUGCUCUCAAUGAAUUACUGGUUAAUAGUUUUACACUCACGGUGAGUUAACGGAAGGAUAUUUUAGGCUAUUGAUUGAAAAGGAGGGAUAAAAUGGGCUAUUGCAUUAAACUUUAGGGAUGAAAAAUGCUUUUUCUCCUUUCUUAUCAAUCAACUAACUGAUAAAAGUCAAAACUCAUAUUUUUUUUUUCCUUGUUUCAAUCCCCUCUCAAUCAAAAAAGUUUCCUUGUCUAAGCAAUGAGGAAUAUGGCUAGAAAGAUUGUUAUUAGAAAGAUUUAUCAAUAGUAAUUGGUUCACAACUGAACAAUUUUAGAUUAUUGUGAGUCAAUAUAGGUCUUGUUUGGAAUUGAAGUGUUGUAGCUUUUAAGCUACAGCUGCUUUAGAAAAAAAACUAUAAUUAUGAAAUAAGAGUUAAUAAUAUAUAAUAAAUAUAAAUUUUAAAUAAUAAAUUUGACAAAAUUAUUAAAAAUAUAAUAGAUUUUUGAUAAUACAAGUAAAAAAAUCAUAUCAACAUAGCUUGCAAGUUACAACAGUUAGUGUUUACCUAAUACUUUAAUACUGUAGCUUUUAAGUUACAGUUGUCCAAUACCUCAAUUCCAAACGCACCUAUAAAAUGGCUUGCUUCAAAAGUCUAUCAACCCAACUUGGAAUGCUCUCAUUGUUGCGGAAACGUGGGUUGAGCAAUUACUAAUACUGCAACUUCUGGAGAAAUAUAAAUGUGGUGAUAAACAAAUGCAAAGAAAAUAGAACACAAUAUUUUACGUGGUUCGGCGUAAUGCCUACGUCCACGGGCAAAAACUGGAAGAUAAUUUUACUAACAAUGAAAUUUACAAAAGUGGGAAAAACUCACAAAACCCACAACCCCAAUACACCCAAAUGGAACCUCACUAGAACACUCAAGUGGAAGCUCUCUCAAAUUCUCUCAAAGAACUCACUUGCAAUUGCUCUCUACUUCUCUCAAAUUGGGAUGGUUACAAUAGCAAAAUGCUUCUCUAUUUAUAGAUUGCAUUCUGCUCCAAGUUGGGUUCAAUUUGUCAAAAUGUUGAGCUGGAUCUUGUAUUGCAUGCACGAGCUUUUCAACACCUAACUUUGUCUUUUGAAAUUGCUUAGCCGACCAUCUUUGCUUUUUUGAAUUUGGCAAGCAAUUCUUUGACUUUUCAACAAUUCUCCACCUCGGCGAAGAUUUAGUAAAUCUGAGCCGAUUAUCAAUAAAUUAUCCUCCAGCCUUUGCCUUCUCCGACUGCUUUUAAACUUGCAGGAUAUUAAUCAAGUUUAGACAAUGCUCAAACUUGAUCGCUGUCACCACCUUGGUCAACAUAUCUGCGGGAUUAUCUAUAGUUUUAAUUUUCUGAAGAAGAAUCUUCCCCUCAUCAAUAAUUUCCCGCACAAAGUGAAAGCGUACAUCGAUGUGCUUCGUACGCACAUGAUAAACUUGGUUCUUCGUUAAAUGAAUAGCACUCUGACUAUCGCAAUACACAUUAAUGUGCUCCUGCGCCAAUCCCAAGUUUUCAAGCAAACCUUAUAACCAAAUAGCCUCUUUAAUAGCCUCUGUAAUUGCCAUGUACUCGGCCUCUGUGGUCGAUAGUGCAACUGUAGACUGUAGUGUAGACUUCCAACUAAUUGGCCCUCCAGCAAAAGUAAAUACAUAUCUGGUGGUUGACCGUCGUUUGUCCAAAUCACCAGCAUAAUCAGAAUCAAUGUACUCGAUCACACUUUGACCAAGUGUAUCGUCUCUUUCAAACAGUAAACCAACAUCCACGGUCUUCUAAAUGUACCGUAGAAUCCAUUUCACAGCUUGCCAAUGUCCUUUACCAGGAUUAUGCAUAUACCUGCUCACUAUACCAACUGCAUGUGAAAUGUCAGGCCUUGUACACACCAUUGCAUACAUCAAGCUACCCACUGCAUUUGAAUACGAAACUUGUAACAUGUAUUCUCGUUCUGCAUAUGUUGAAGGAGAUAAUUGUGCAGAAAGCUUGAAAUGAGAAGCCAACGGGGUACUCACAGGUUUUGUCUGCUCAGUCAUGCCAAACUGCUGUAGUACCUUCUUCAAAUAUUGCUUUUGAGACAAGCUUACUUUGCCACGAGCUCUAUCUCUGCAUAUCUCCAUGCCAAGAAUCUUCUUAGCUUCACCUAAAUCUUUCAUUUCAAAUUCUUGAUUGAGUUGAGUCUUCAACUUCUCAAUCUCAUUUUUGCUCUUCGAUGCUAUUAGCAUAUCAUCGACAUACAAUAGCAAAUAAAUGAAAGAGCCUUCUUGUAGCUUGCGAAAAUACACACAAUAAUCAAAUUUAUUUCUUGUGUACCUUUGUCUUUUCAUAAAUCGAUCAAAUCGCUUGUACCACUGCCUCGGAGAUUGUUUCAACCCAUAAAGCGACUUUGUCAAUUUGCAAACCCAAUUUUCUUUUCCAGCAACCUUAAAUCCAUCUGGCUGAGUCAUGUAGAUUUCCUCUUCCAAAUCACCAUGUAAGAAUGCAGUUUUUACAUCAAGUUGAACUAGUUCAAUAUCAAAUUGCGCAACCAUGGCUAGCAAAAUUCGAAUAGAUGAAUGUUUCACAACUGGAGAAAAUACCUCAUUGUAGUCUAUUCCUUCCUUCUGAGCGUAACCCUUCGCUACCAAUCUAGCCUUGUAUCGAAUUUCAUUUUUACAAGGAAAUCCUUCCUUUUUUGCAUAUACCCAUUUGCACCCAAUUGCCUUCUUUUCCUUGGGCAGUGUAACUAACUCCCAAGUUUCAUUUUUGUGAAGAGACUGCAUUUCUUCGUUCAUUGCUUUCUUCCACUGUAUACUUUCUGGAUUACUUACUGCUUCUCUGUAAGUGGAAGGAACAUCAUCAUCUACAAUUGGAAGUGCAUAGGCCACCAUAUCAACAAAGCGAGCAAGUCUGCGAAUCUCUCUAUGUGGCCUUCUAUAUGCAAUUGAAUCAUGUUGCUGUGAAGGUUCCUAGGUCAGAACCUCUUCAUCAUUUUCGGUCGAUGGAGAAUCAUUAUCCAUCUCAUCGACACCAGCUGGAUCAGCUUUAACUUUUUCAAACUCCACAUGCUGCAAACUGCUACUGGUCUUGUCAUUCUCUUGAGAAUCUUUUUGUUUCAACAUGGUUGAUUCAUCAAAAGUUACAUCUCUGCUGAAAAUAAUCUUCUUCGUUACAGGACACCAGAGACGGUAUCCUUUUACUCCACCAGUUAUACCCAUGAACAAUGCUUUCUUUGCUCUUGGGUCUAACUUAGAUUCUUUUACAUGAUAAUAAGUAGUGGAACCAAAAACAUGUAAAGAAUUAUAAUCAGUAGUAGGUUUACCAGUCCACAUCUCCAUGGGUGUUCUGCCCUCAAUUGCAGUUGAUGGCAAACGGUUGAUCAAAUGGCACGCAUAUACAACUGCCUCAGCCCAAAACUCUUUGCCCAAUCCAGCAUUGGAUAACAUACACCGAACUUUCUCCAGUAUAGUCCGGUUCAUGCGUUCUGCCACCCCAUUCUGUUGUGGUGUAUCUCGAACAGUGAAAUGUCGCACAAUACCCUCAUCUUGGCAUAUUUGAAGAAAUGGAUCAUUCUUGUACUCACCACCAUUAUCUGAGCGAAGUCUUUUGAUCUUUCGACCAUUCUGAGUCUCGACCAUUUUCUUCCAUUUCAUAAAUAUGCCCAAAACUUCAUUUUUGUUCUUCAUCAAAUACACCCACACUUUUCUUGAAUAAUCAUCAACAAAAGUAACAAAAUAGUGCAUACCUCCCAAAGAAGCUGUUUUGGUAUGUCCCCACACAUCACUGUGAACAUAGUCCAUAAUUCCUUUUGUAUCGUGAAUUGCUGAACCAAACUUUACCCUUGUCUAUUUGCCCAGAACACAAUGUUCACAAAAUUCUAAUUUGCAAGAAUUUGUACCUUUCAAUAAGCCUUGCUUCGCUAAAGUUUGCAAAGCUUUUUCACCAGCAUGUCCCAAACGCAUAUGCCACAAUUUGGUUGCUUCUAAAUCUGCAUCUUUUCCAGAAACUGUUGAUGCUGAUCCAAUAACUGUACUUCCUUGGAAAUAGUACAAGUUAUUUCUUCUUGUGCCUUUCAUUACCGUCAGUGCCCCAGCUACUACCUUCAACAAUCCAUCUCUUAAAGUGAUUGUGAGUCCUUUAGAUUCUAGGACUCCUAAUGAGAUGAGAUUUUUCUUCAAGCUUGGUACAUAGCGAACAUCUGUCAAAACUUGGAUUGAGCCAUCAUGAUUCUUUAAUUGGAUUGUACCUAUUCCCAUGGUUUUACAAGCAUUGUCAUUGCCCAUAAAAACAACUCCACCGUCUAGCUCCUUGAAGUUAGAAAACCAGCCCUUGUUAGGACACAUAUGAUAAGUACAACCCGAAUCCAAAAUCCACUCAUCUGAGUGACAUAUCAAUGUCAUGCCAACCAGACUAAAGUCUGACUCCUCAUCAUGCUCUGCUACACAUGCAUCAGAAGUAGCCUUGCCCUUUUGUAACUUAGGACAAUUCUUUUUCCAAUGCCCUUUCUCGCGACAAAAAGCACAUUCAUCUUUGGCAGGUCUCCCUUUAGACUUGUUCCUUUUUCCAGGUUUGUGGCUUUGCGAACGACCUCUCGCUGUCAGUGCUUCUGCAACUGUAUAUCUGUGAUCCUUUCUAUCUUUCUUUCUGGUCUCAGAGUUGUACAAUGCACUGCAUACAGCAUCGAAUGUGACACUGUCCUUCCCAUGAAGCAAAGUAGUGGUAAGAUGAUCAUAUUCAUCAGGAAGGGAAUUCAACAACAAUAAUGCCUUAUCUUCAUCUUCAAAUCUCUCAUCUAGAUUUAGCAAAUCCGCCAAUAUCUUGUUGAAUGAGUUCACGUGGUCAUUCAUUGACAUGCCAUGUGUAUAUGUAAAUCGAUAGAGUUUCUUUUUCAUAUAAAGCCUAUUUUCAAGACUUUUCUUCAUAUGCUUUUCUUCCAGUGUCUCCCACAAUUUCUUUGCCGAUGUCUCCCUCAUGACAGAGUAUUUCUGAUCUUUAGCCAGACAUAGGCGAAUAGUACCACAUGCCUGUCUAUUGAUUUUUAUCCACUCCUUGUCAUCCAUCACGUCAGGCUUUUCUUCAAGAGCAACGUCCAACUCUUGUUGACAUAAGACAUCCAACACCUCACAUUGCCACAUACCAAAAUUAUUGGUACCAUCAAAUUUCUCCACUUCAAACUUUGCAUUAGUCACAGUAGUUCUCGCUGAUGAAGACGACGACGGUGCCUCUGCCAUCCUUUUUAUCUCAAAUGAUCAGUUUCUUCAACAACUAUUUACACUUAAAAAACAGCCUCUAUGAUGUUUAUUUCGCGUGAAUAAAUGCACCAGGAAAGUUCCCAAGAGACUGGACGGGAACUCGGUCCCAAUUAAAAACCAGAAUCCUUAGACUCUUAUCGCCUUUGUUGACAGAACUUUCCUAGACAUGCAAAAAUACACACUACUUACAAUAGACUGCCUCCCAAGUAUAAAUGACCGUCUCCACCGUAUUUGUGAACAGUACCGUUUAUAGGAAUAGUACCGUAUACGUGAACAAUACCGUAUCCCCCCAAGUACGAGCCGUCGGCUCUGAUACCACUUGUUGCGGAAACGUGGGUUGAGCAAUUACUAAUACUGCAACUUCUGGAGAAAUAUAAAUGUGGUGAUAAACAAAUGCAAAGAAAAUAGAACACAAUGUUUUACGUGGUUCGGCGUAAUGCCUACGUCCACGGGCAAAAACUGGAAGAUAAUUUUACUAACAAUGAAAUUUACAAAAGUGGGAAAAACUCACAAAACCCACAACCCCAAUACACCCAAAUGGAACCUCACUAGAACACUCAAGUGGAAGCUCUCUCAAAUUCUCUCAAAGAACUCACUUGCAAUUGCUCUCUACUUCUCUCAAAUUGGGAUGGUUACAAUAGCAAAAUGCUUCUCUAUUUAUAGAUUGCAUUCUGCUCCAAGUUAGGUUCAAUUUGUCAAAACGUUGAGCUGGAUCUUGUAUUGCAUGCACGAGCUUUUCAACACCUAACUUUGUCUUUUGAAAUUGCUUAGCCGACCAUCUUUGCUUUUUUGAAUUUGGCAAGCAAUUCUUUGACUUUUCAACACUCAUUCAAGUGGCUAUAACUAAGAUAAAACGUCGCAAAGGAAGAGUAAUUAAAAAAUGUAACUUCUUUAACAUGUCCAUAUAGCAUUUUUGUUUACAAGUGAAUUUGUGUGAUAGAGAGAGGAUGUAAGCAAGAUAGUAAACUCCUAAAUAUAUUAUUGUUUGUAAUGUCUAAAAUUUGAAGAGAAUCAAGCUAAUAAAACUCCAUUGAAAUUAGACCUUCAAGAGUACGGUUCUUGGGCAUUAUAAAAUGUUGUAAUGUUGAGAGAUUACCCAACCAUUAUGGAAUCCUACCAAGAUGAUUGUUACCACUAAGAUACAAUCCUUCUAGUGAACAACAAUUAGACAAAUUUUUUGGAGAUCUCUCUUACAAAGUCAUUACCAUCCAAUCGCAAUUUUGAAUGAAAAUAAAUUUUUUUUAUUGGGAGUUUGACCUUAACAUUAAAUUUAGACAAUGAAUUUUAACUUUCUUCAAUUAUUAAGCAGAUUACGGACAUUUGAGGAAUUUGAAAACAUUUCAUCCAUCGAAAGUUAAAAUUAGAGAUGGAAGCUAGGUGCUACAGCUAAUGGGAACAUUAAUUCCUGUCCCUCAUCACACUUUAUUUUGGGUCUAAUAAUUUUACGGCAGCAUUGACCACUGCUCAAGGUAAGUAAAACUUACAAAUGUGUGGCAAAAUAAAUAAUUAAGUGGAUAAACUGUUAACUAAUUUUCUUGAUAUAUACAGCUAAUGUAGUUGUUCCUCUGUUAAAAAAACAAAUGCUAAGCAAUUUCGGCUGAGCCUGCUUGUGGUGUUGAUAAAAACGAGGGCUGGCUUCAAAUAUUUGAAUAGACACCUCCACCGUACCUCAAACAAAUCUGUCAUUAUUUGUGCCAUGAAACAUGUUUCGGCCGUCAAAGUCAUGAGAGGGUUGAUGACGCUACUACGUAUGAUGACACACCAGCCGACAGUGUAGUAACAGCUCAAAAACAAAAUCUACCAAAAUCAACGGAAGUUAAUAAAAAAUUAUUUUAUUAAUAAAAAUAAAUAAAUAACUUAUUAUUUUUGGAGACGUGUGUAGUUGAGUCUGUGGACUGAAAUGGAAAAUAUGAAGAAGUUCAGAGUCGUUGUGCAGAUUGACUUCAGUUAAAUGGGACUAGUAGAUAUUUUAUGCUGACGUGGCACGAAUUAGUUAUAAUCUGUUACAACGUUUCCAGAAACAUCAGUAUAAAUAGAAGCUGAUGAGCAGUGCCUGUUGUACUUGUACGAUCCUUUUUCUUCUUCAGUUGUUCGUCAAUUUGCAUAGAAUCUGUUUCAUUGUGAUCUGUGCAAAGUCUUCUAUAAAUCCACUUAUGUUUGAUUAGUUAUUGAUCAAUAUCGAGAACAUUAUCCACCUGGAACGACUUCAAGUCCAAAGUAAAAGAGAGAGUGGCUCCCCGCAAUUUUCUUGUUUUCAGUAUAUUUUCUUUUUUUUUUCUUUUUUAAAAUCUUUUGACGCAUGCAUAAUCUACCCUUGUUUAUUAUCUCUACUUUGCUCUGCUCAAGUCCAUUUUUUCAAAUCUUAUUUUAAAUAAUAAAUUGAAUAAAAGUACAUUUGUGUAAUUAAUUAGUAUCUGAGGGGGGCAGCAUAUUUGGUGGAGUGUUAUGCUAUGUAAGACUCAGCUAUUAUCAAACAGUCCCUUAACCAUUUAAUUUAAACCAACUUCUAUUUGGUUUAUUUGCUAUCUUUGUGGAUCUCAUAGGCGUGGCAGAGUUUAAUAAUUUUAUCGUCUGAAGAAUAGGAUAUUGGCUUCAAUAAAUUUAAUUUAAACCAACUUCUAUUUACUCCAUCAAUUAAUUAAUGACAUUUUGUUUUGAAAAAUUCAAUAAUUAAAUUCUCACGUUUCAUGUGUUUGAAGUCAAAUUAUUCAUUAACUAGAACUCUGUUCAAAAUUGACUGUCUUGUGGUUCCCAAAUGUAGUUGUAAUAUUGAAUGAAAGUAAAAACUUUCUAUGGCGAGUUUAAAUCUAAAUCUGGACAAUGAAUUUUGAGUUUCUCAAUGCUAUUCUAAUAACAAAAAUUAUGUUGAUUGAUUUAUUGUUACAGUUACUAUCCUUUGAAAAUGGAUGGAUUCAUUGUUUCCGUGACCAAAUUAUGCCUGCCUAACGCUGCAACUAUUAAAAAAUUUAAUAUUUAAUGCACAUGUUAAAAGAUUUAAAAUUUUAUGCAUUUAUUAAUUGUUAUAAUCUUAAAAAAAAUUAAUUAAUUCAGGUCAAUCUGAGUUGGUGCAUCUGCAGGAGCCUUUUUUUAAUUUUUUUUUCCCCUUAUUGACCAUAAUGACAUCUCCUUCAACAUGACUAUUGACAAAGAGCAUGUAAAAACAUGGAAACAGAACUUCCACAGGUGGAAUUUAAGUUUUGGCCAUGUGGCCAUGAAAGAAAAAGGAAAAGACGCCUCUAAGAUUUGUUUCAGUGGUUUACAUUGACUCUUUAAUUUAAUUUAUAGUAACACAAUUUUUUUUGUACAAAUAUAUAUUAUUCAUGUUUUGUAUUAUAUUUUAACAUCAUAUUUUUAUUUAUUAUAAAUAUUUAAAGCUAAUUUUUAGGUUGAUAUUUAAUAAAAGGGUAUAAUCGUUCCAUCCAUUUCUCAUCUCGCGAUCUCUCUCAAUUAUCCUUUAUUGAUAGCUCAAAGCGCGUUGCUGUGGAAAAUUGUAGCAAAAUGAAAAAUUGGAAAGAAAGGGAAGAAAAUUAAUGCUUGGAGAAAGCAAUCCAAUAAGUCAACUGGUCUUUAGUGGGAACAUAUUACAAAAAGGCCUCGAUCAUCAUAUCGUAGACUCGGGGAUAAGGAUUUGGAUCGAGUUUUUGUUUUGAUAUUGAAGGACCUACUUCUCUGCCGCGAUGUAGAAUAUAUGCAAGGAGUUGUCUACUGCUCUUUAGGUCAUAAUAAUGUGAUUGGUGCAUUCAACGUUGCCCCGAAACACUGGAAAGUACUUCCAUAUCCUCCGAAUGAGAACUGAUUUAUAUAUGAUUUCCUAAUUGACUCAGGAUCAGAUGACAACAACAACUUAUUAAUAGUUAUAUCAAAACGGCAGAAGACGUGUUUUGUUUACAGGUUUGAUCCAUUUGGAAUGAAGUGGUCUCAAGUCGAAAGUAAUUUAUCGAAUAACUUUCGACUAAUUAAUAGUUAUAUCAAAGGGUGUGGGUGUUUUACCUCAUCAUGUCUUCAAGUGGAAGAUGAAGACUAGCAAGUGAAUUCAGGAAUAUUGCAUGCCAUUAAAUUUGUAGUUUUUACAUGUUGAUCAGCAGGAUACAACAUUAAAUUUUGUCAUUGACAAUACUGCAUGCCUGUCGUCUAAAGCAUUACCUCACAAGGUUUUAUGAGAAACGAAAGAUGUGUUUGCUUUGAACAAUUAAAGUUACUGCUACGAACCUCCCCAAAGGUCAAGAAGACAGAACAGGAAGCUAAUGCCAUCAAUGUCUUGUUCAUUAUAGCUGCUGGGUAGUUAGGUGUAGUUUCCUCAUUUGAAGCUGUCUAUACAUGGGCAUUUCCCCUGCUUAUGUACAAAUAAAUGAACAACCUUGAAGCUUUAUUAUUCGCAACAAAAAGGGAUUACUAAUUGGAGAAGACUAUACAGAGUUUCUCUCACACUUUCACUCUGUCAAUUUCAUCUAGAAGUCCCUCUAAAAGCAUCUCCCAAAACAGUUAGUCAUCUUUUAUGCUCUGUUUGUAAAAAAUGUGGGCUUUAUUCUUUCUAGAAGAGAUGGAAUUCUAGAAGAGAUGGAUUUGCACGGUCAAAAAGAAAAGAAAAGCCGUAAAAUAAACAGUAGCCGCAAAAUGAACAGUAGCCGCAAAAUGAACAGUAACCGCAAGAUGAACAGUAGUCACUGGUGGCUAUAAAUAGAGGAGUGCUCCUCCUUAUUGUUUGUAUCCAAAAUCCCAGAGAAGGAAUCCAAGUUUUGGUGAGAAAUUGAGAAAGAAAAAUAUUCUUAAGCAUGUAGUUAUAUUGAAGGAGCAUUUGUCUCCUCAAUAUGGGUAUUACGAGUUUGCUUUGUUAAGAGGUAUUUCUCAAGAUUAUGUAUUUGGGGUUUGGGUGAGAGAAAAUUUAUGAGAGUGCGGUUGUAAUAAUUUUCCACAUAGUGAAUAUUUUUUCUCUGGUUGUCUUUUUGACAACGGCCGUGGUUUUUUCUCCGGAUUUGGAGUUUUCCACGUAAAUCUUGUGUUGUGGGAUUGAUAUUAUUUUUCAUUUAAUUUUUCUUGUUAAUUUGUUAAUUGACAAAUUGCUUGGAGAGAUCUUGGGAGGAAGCUCAAUUUCCUAACAGUGGUAUCAGAGCCAUUGAUUGAAGUUUUGGUGUCGGGGUACUAUUCACGUAUACGGUACUGUUCACGUGAAGCAGUUUGAGCCAAUCCGAAUAAUCUGUGGUGAAGAGAAUAUGAAGCAAAUAUGUCAGCAGCUGGUGUUUUUCAAACUUGGUUGAAGUUUGAUGUUGUUGAAAAAUUAAUGGGAGAAUGAUUUUAUUGGCUUGUGGAGAAUUCAAGUCAAAGGUGUAUUCAAUCUGGGUUACACAAGGCAUUGAAGGGGAAGCCAUCCCCUGCGUCCAGUGGUGGCUCUGGAAAAGCUAGUAUAAGUGAUGAAGAUUGGGAAGAAUUAGAUGAUCGAGCUGCAAGUGCCAUACGACUAUGUCUAGCAAAGAAUGUUCUUGCAAAUGUAGGAAAAAUUCUUACAGCGAAAGAACUUUGGGAGAAGCUAGAAAAGUUGUAUCAGACAAAGAGCAUCUCAAAUCGAUUGUACCUGAAGGAGCGAUUUCACACACUGCGAAUGGCUGAAGGUAUAAAAAUUUCCGAUCACCUCAGUGUUCUCAAUGGUAUUGUGUCAGAACUAGAAGCCAUUGGAGUUAAAAUUGAAGAUGAGGACAAGGCGCUUAGGUUACUAUGGUCACUUCCAACUUCCUACAAACACUUGUUACCUACUUUGAUGUACGGGAAGGAUACAGUAGAUCUUGAAGAAGUUACUAGUACUUUACUCUCAGAAGAAAGAAGACUGAAUGGUGAAAGUACUAAAACUACAGAUGUCUCGGCUUUGGCAGUUGUAGGGAAUUGGCAGAAAGAUAAAUCUAAGAAGAAAGGAGUCUGCUGGGGGUGUGGACAAUCGGGGCACUUAAAAAGAGAUUGUCAUAGUAGAAAUGGAGUAGGAUCGGCAAGUGGCUCCAGAUUAGAUACUGAUAGUAUUGCUAGUGGUAAGUCUCUCAUCAUCAUGGGAGACGAUGAUCCCUUGUAAAAUGGAUGAUGAUGACAUCCUCAUGGUAUACCGCUAGUACCAUGAAAGGGGAUAUGUUACUACUAGCGGGUCCACAAGAUUUACACACAAGGCAUGGUUGGCAUUGAUGCAGGGUGUGUGGUGGAAUUUAUGUCGAUGAUUGACAAACUUCCAGGAAGGCCAACAUGGAAGUUGCACCAUAAAUUUCAGCAGGAUAUUUCGACAUGUGCCGAUGUAAAAUUCUUAGAAUUGGUAAUUAAUUCUAAGUGGUAUAUUCUUUAUGGUGGAGUAUGAUAAUUCUCUAUGACGAGGAUUAUGACUUAGGUGAAAACAGUAAGGACAGUGUGGAGAUUGAUUGGUUCUUAAUCAAAUCUCCAAGUGAGAGAAUGUAAAAAAUGUGGGCUUUAUUCUUUCUAGAAGAGAUGGAAUUCUAGAAGAGAUGGAUUUGCACGGUCAAAAAGAAAAGAAAAGCCGUAAAAUAAACAGUAGCCGCAAAAUGAACAGUAACCGCAAGAUGAACAGUAGUCACUGGUGGCUAUAAAUAGAGGAGUGCUCCUCCUUAUUGUUUGUAUCCAAAAUCCCAGAGAAGGAAUCCAAGUUUUGGUGAGAAAUUGAGAAAGAAAAAUAUUCUUAAGCAUGUAGUUAUAUUGAAGGAGCAUUUGGCUCCUCAAUAUGGGUAUUACGAGUUUGCUUUGUUAAGGGGUAUUUCUCAAGAUUAUGUAUUUGGGGUUUGGGUGAGAGAAAAUUUAUGAGAGUGUGGUUGUAAUAAUUUUCCACAUAGUGAAUAUUUUUUCUCUGGUUGUCUUUUUGACAACGGCCGUGGUUUUUUCUCCGGAUUUGGAGUUUUCCACGUAAAUCUUGUGUUGUGGGAUUGAUAUUAUUUUUCAUUUAAUUUUUCUUGUUAAUUUGUUAAUUGACAAAUUGCUUGGAGAGAUCUUGGGAGGAAACUCAAUUUCCUAACACUGUUUUCUAGAAACAGAGUCCUAACUAAAUUGAUUGACUGAACAGUGCAUUUCAACAUAGCAUAUUUAACUGUUUAAACAGUUAUUUGAACCGUCUUCAGAGUUAUCAUCAACAAACUCAUUCAUACUGGUCCAAUCUUACGGACGAUAUCAUAUGCUUAAUAAUGAACGAAUAGUCUUGGAUCAGUGUUUUGCGGCAAGAGCAACUCGACACAAUCUGGAUUCAACCUCCUCCUAUCUAACAAGGGAUUUCGAUUUGAGUUACUUGGUGCUCAAGCAAAUUCACAUCAUAGUUUUGAUUCUUUAGAUAUGAAUUCAUCACAUUACAUAUAUCAGAUUAAGUGUAACAAAAUUCUUUAUCUACUGCGAAAAUAAUAUGCGCUAAAAAAUGAUUUCAAGACUAUUUGACUACAAAAAGCAGCUGCAUGGCUCAGCCUCAGGUAAGAAAGCCACAGAAAAGGAAAAUCUCACUGUCACGACUCACGUCACGCAUCAUUCAAGUGAUGGAUUUAACAAGACUGCUUAUGUUCUAUCAAAUUCCUCUGCCUCUCAGAAGAUAACUUUUCUGGGCCAAAUUUCUCAUCUAAAGCAUAUUAUGCCCCAAAGUCAGAGAUAACAAAAUGGGGCACUACCGAUUAUGAAAGAGAGCUAGUAGUUGUCAGAAGCCUAAGUCAAAUUCCGGUAGUAAGAAGAGGCCUUUCUUGAGUUUAGAUUAUGUGUUCGAGUUUUAAUAAAUGCCUAAGUUAAUAAUAAUAACAACAGUAAUAAUAAACUAAAAAGCAUAAUUACUAUUGAAUGGUAAAAAAAAAAAAUGAAAAUGUGUGAACUCCAAUAACCACCCCAGUGGCGAAUUUUGGAGAGGGCUAGGCCGGGCUUCUUAGAAAUUAUUUUUAUUUAAUUACAAAAUCACCUUUACUGAAACCUAUAUAAAAUUUUUUAUAUUAAUUAAUUAUGUUGCCUCUUCAAUUAUCAUUGAAUUCUUGUCCGUUCAUCAUUUGAUGGAUAAAUGUGUAUUUCAAUAAUUUCAAAUAAUGUCUAGAACAAAUAUUUUGAAUGAUAAAACUCAUUAUGUCCUGCAUUACUAGAUGUAUCUAUAAUUUAUUAUUUACAAAUUAUAUUGUAUGAUAAAAAUGUAUUGAAUUUUUUAAAAAAAAAAAAGUUCGGCUCACUCAGAAAAAAAUGUUAUUAGCUUCGCCACUGCACAAAUCUAGAAUAAUAAUUAUUCCUUAUUAUAUUGACUGCACCAAGCAAUAAACUAAUAAGUUCUCAUUAGUGGUUUUUAAUCUUUUUAAUUCUUUUUACCGCACACCUGAUCAAUAAUUCUAUUUUGUUAACUAAUCAAUUGCAAAUCAUAUAUUAGUGUUGAACGGUGAACAAAAUUGAAAAAAAAAAUUCUUAAAAAACGUGUGGACUCGGAUAGCCAGACCAGAAAUCUAUGACAAUAAUUAGCUUUGAUGCUGGGAAUCUUUUAGUUUCUGGCCGUAUUGACUCCACCAGUGAUGCUGGGAAUCUAAUGGAGCUCAUUCUUUGGUUUUACUUGCAGGUCUAGAAGCAGGUGUCAUCUUGUAAAGAAGGAAAAUAAUAUUUGCCUUUUUGAAUAAUUUUAUUGAACCAGGAGACGCAGCUAUAUACAAGAGAUUUCCUACAAUCAUGCUAAUCUAUUCUAGGUAGUCUAAGGGCCAGUUUGGUAAUGCUGCAGCUUUUAAAAUAAUUACUGUUAGCUGUGCUGUAGAAAUAAUCAGCUGUGAAGAGAAUCAGUUAAGUGUUUGGUAAAUUUUAUUUUUAAAAGUACUGUGAAUUUUGAAAGCAGUUAUGGGUGUUUGGUAAAUCUUAUUGUUAAACUGCUGUAAGAAAAUAAAUGACUAAAAUGUACAUAAUGUAGGAUGAAAUUUACUUAUACAUAUAAAAAUAUACACGUACAAUAUUAUAAUAAAAAUUGCAUAGGCAUAGAAUUGUUUAUAUAUAAACAAACCCAAAUAAGACAAACAACAAAUAUUAUAAUAAAAAAUACAUUGAAUAUGCAUGAAAAGGGUGAUGAAUCACUUACUGUUAUUGAAUAUGGUUAUGGAACACAUACUGGAUCUUGCUUUGUUGCACUAGAGAAGUUUUGAUAGAACACAAAAUAUGAAGAAAUAGGGUAAACGAAAGGUGUGUGUUAAUUAUAAUAAAAAAUUAUUAAAAUAUUGAUUUUAUUUCCAAUUUAAAUAAGGAUAAUUUCGGGUUUAAGUAAUAAUUGUAAGGAUAUUUAUGGAAUUAUAUUAAAGGAUAAAAUUGAUUCUCAAAAUCAAAAUCUAAAAGUUACUCCUUCCCUGCUUUUCAAAAUCAGCUGUAGGAGGAGCUGAUUCUGGCAAAAGUAAUUUUGAUUUUUUUUUUACCAAACACCAAAAUUAGCUUUUAGAUUUUUAAAAUCACUUUUAACCCUCUCAAAAGCAAUCCCAAACGGGGCCUAAAUAUAAAAGGCAACUAAACAAAUAUACAACUAAUACAAUAUAUUCGUCAAUGAAUGGUCAGAUAUCAUUGACCUUUCCUUCUCAACACUCCCCCUCAAGUUGGAGAGUGGAUGUCAAGAACUCCCAACUUGCGUAUCAUAGUUGAGAAAGCUUCCUUUCCCAAUGGCUUGGUGAACACAUCUGCAAGUUGAUCUGUUGAGGCAACAUGUUUGGUUACAACUGAACCAUCUUGUAUUUUGUCACGAAUAAAAUGGCAAUCCAUCUCUAUAUGUCUGGUUCUUUCGUGGAAAACGGGAUUGGCAGCUAUAUGUAAGGCUGCUCUGUGUUAUCACAAUAUAAUAAUGCUGGCUUCGGAUGCAAUAUUCUCAAAUCCUUCAAUAAUGAGCGUAGCCAGGAUAAUUCACAACAUGUACCUGUCAUGGCUCUAUAUUCAGCUUCUGCUGAGGAGAGAGAUACGGUUUUCUGCCUCUUUGUCCGCCAAGAAAUAAGAGAAGAUCCCAGAAAAACACAAUAACCCGUAGUGGAUCUACGAGAUAUUGGACAACCAGCCCAAUCCGAAUCAGAAAAAGCUCGCAAAGAUAAAUCAUUCUGAGAAAGGAAAAACAAACCUUGCCCUGGACUAUUUUUCAAAUAACGCUAUACACGCAAGACAGCUUCCAUGUGUGGUCUACGUGGUGCAUGCAUGAAUCUGCUUAACACAUGGACCGAAUAGGUGAUAUCCGGUCGGGUAAUAGUUAAAUAAAUUAGGCGUCCAACAAGUCGUCUAUACUGAGACGGAUCUUUAAGCAAUUCACCUAAAUCCGAGAGCUUUAUGUUUUGUUCCAUGGGAAAGUUCACAGGUUUAGCACCCAAAAAUCCACCAUCUUUUAAAAUUUCCAAAGUAUAUUUUCGUUGCGAGAUGGAAAUACCUUUCUUCGACCGAGAAACUUCGAUGCCCAGAAAAUACUUCAAAUCACCCAAAUCUUUAAUUCGAAAAUGACUAUGUAGAAACUGCUUGAGGGAUACUAUGGCAUUGACGUCAUUACCCGUAAUAAGAAUGUCAUCGACAUAUAUCAACAAAGCUGUAAACGAUUUGCCUUUCCGACAUGUGAAUAACGAGUAAUCAGCUUUGGAUUGAACAAAGCCAGCAGCUUGGAUAGCUGUAGAGAACUUGGCAAACCAUUGUCGGGAAGCUUGCUUUAAGCCAUAUAACGACUUGUGAAGGCGACACACUAGAUUCUCCCCCUGUCGCCGAAGACCAGGAGGUGGAGACAUAUAAAUUUCUUCAUGGAGAUCGCCAUGAAGAAAGGCAUUGUUGACAUCAAGUUGGUGAAGAGACCAAUUCUGGGCAGCUGCUAAAGCCAAUAAACAACGAACAGUAAUCAUUUUAGCAGUGGGAGAAAAAGUGUCAUGGUAAUCUAUACCUUCUAGCUGUGUGUAACCUUUUGCAACCAAACGAGCUUUGAAACGCUCAAUACUACCAUCCGAGUGUCGUUUGAUUUUAUAAACCCAACGACAACCAAUAGGCUUCUUACCAGGAGGAAGAGAAGUGAGGGACCAAGUGUGGUUGGCUUCUAAAGCAGCCAAUUCAGAUUGCAUUGCUUCUUGCCAAUGGGAAUGGGAAGCUGCUUUGGCAUAAGAUGUAGGCUCAAUAUCUUGACUGACAGCAGCAGUAAAAGAGCGAUGUUGUGGUGAGUAACGAUGAUAAGAGACAAAAUUGCAAAGGGGAUAUCGUGUACCUUUUUGUAGACUUGAUGACAAAGGCGGCAAAUGGUUGGGAGACGUUACUUGGUUACAGACAUAAUCACGUAAAGCCAUGGGAGGGUGAUGAGGUCUUUGGGAACGACGUAAAAUGGGUUCGGGAGGAGGACUAGCAGGUGAUAGCUGAGUAGAAACUAAAUUCGGUGGUAAUGGUUGUUGGAUGGGAGAAAUUGGUUCCGGUGGUAAGGGUUGUGGAACUGGUGGGGAAGGAGCGGAUAUAGAAAGAGGAAUCACAUGGUCUGAAUUUAAGGAAGGGGAUGGAAUAGACUCAUAAGGGAAAAUAGUUUCAUGAAAAACAACAUCACGGCUAGUGAACAUUUGGUGGGUGUCAAGGUCAUAGAGCUUGUAAGCUUUUUGACCAACUAGAUAGCCAAGAAAAAGACAUCGUUUAGCUCGAGGAGCAAAUUUAUGGGGGACGUGCACAUUAGUAGCAUAGGCAAGACACCCAAAAACUCGGAUAUGAGAAUAAGAAGGAAGCUUUCCAUAAAGUCGUUCAAAAGGAGUUUGGCGAGAAAGGAGUGGUGUGGGCAAACGAUUAAUUAUAUGAACAGCAGUAGAAACACAUUCUGCCCAAAAAUGUAAAUGAAGGUGGGUUUGAAAACGAAAAGCUCGAGCGGAAGCAAGAAUAUGGCGGUGCUUGCGCUCUACAACCCCAUUUUGUUGAGGGGUAUAGACACAAGAAUGUUGGUAAGUGGUCCCUUUUUGUUUAAAAAAUUCCCGCAUAGAGAAGAAUUCUCCACCAUUAUCAACCCAAAUGUUGGCUAUAGAUACAUGGAAUUGGGUUUGGACAAAUGAAAAAAAAUUGACAAGUAAAUGUUGUGUUUCACUUUUGUGAUGCAUAAAAAACACCCAUGUGAAUCUAGAAUAAUCAUCCACAAUAGUCAAAAAAUAUUUCGCACCAGAAAGAGAGGCAAUUUUAUAGGGACCCCAAAUGUCACAAUGAAUUAAUUCAAAAGGUCUAAUAGAUGAAAUUGAACUAAUAGAAAAUGGAAGUCGACUUUGUUUUGCAAGUGCACAAACAUCACAAGCAUUAUUAGACUGGGAAGGGAAAUUUAACAAAUGUUUUGCCAUAAAAUCUAAUCUAGAGGAAGACAAAUGCCCCAAACGGCGAUGCCACAAAAUGGUGGAGGAGGUGACCUGAGAACUGGGUGAACAGCAAGAAGUGGCUGCUGCGGAUGGAGUUUGAGGUUUUGGUUUUUCUGAUGCUAACGCAACCAAGUAAUAAAGUCCGUCUCGUUGUUCACCCAAACCAAUUGUCGUCCUCGUCGUCAAGUCCUGCAAAAUACACCAAUGAGGGAAAAAAGUUACUGAACAAUUGAGAUCUCUGGUAACUCGACUCACAGACAUUAAAUCCACCUUAAAAGAUGGCACACCAAGCACAUUUUGUAAAGUAAUAGCAGAAUUCAAAGGUAAAUUCCCAAUGGAUGUAAUCGAAGCCUGUUCUCCACUUGGCAUAGCAACUGGUGGCAAAAAAGUGUUCUUAUUGCUGUUGACAAGCAAAGUUGGUGAUGAAGUAAUGUGGUCUGUUGCACCACUGUCGAUAAUUAAUCGAUGGAGGCGCAACAAUCUUUGUAACAAACCUGAGGCAGCAGCAUUAGCUUUAGGAUUGGUGGAUUGUGUUGUCCCUUUACCCUGCAUGAUAGAUAAGAUUUGUUGGAUUUGCAAGUCAGAGAGCCCAUUUGUCACUGAUGGCACUUCCUGCAUUACUGGACUUUCCUUGACAUUGUUGGCUGAAGAUUGAUGGUUAUUGUUGCGCUUGAAAUGAGUGCUUCCUUGAUUAGAUUUGUUUGAUGCAUGUUUAGGGUGUUCUGGUGGGUACCCAUUCAGCUUCCAGCAUUUUUCUCGUACAUGAUGGUCACGAUCACAAUAAGAGCAAUGCAAAGGUUUUCGAUUAGAUGGGUUGGAACGAGAAGAAGAACCUUGUUCAUGUCGAACAGCUAGAGCUACCGGUUCAGCCCUUCGAACAAUCAUGGCUGAGUUCUCCAUCAUCUCACGUGCAACCCCCAGGCUGCGCUGCUUCUCCUCUUGUACAAUGGAAGAGUAAGCCUUAGCAACAUCAGGUAGCGGAUUCAUCAACAAAAUCUGCCCUCGGAUUGCACUGUAGGACUCAUUGAGUCCCAUGAGAAAUUGCAUCAAUCUGCGUCUCUUAUGGUCUGCCCCACAAGAGCAAACGGUGUCAUUAUAGGAUCCUAGUUCAUCCCAUAAUUUUUUUAGCCUUGUGUAAUAAGCUGCAACAGUCAUCUGAUCUUGAGCAAGACAAGCAAUGUCCCUCUCAAUCUGAAAAAUACGAGGGGCAUUGCUUUGAGAAAAACGAUCCCGAAGGUCUUCCCAUACCUCCUGGGCGGUGGUCGAAAAUAUGACACUGUCUGCAAGGUCUUGUGUGAGUGAAUUGAGAAUCCAAGACAGGAUCAUAUCGUUGCAUUUUUUCCACGAAGCACAUUCGUCUGGUUUGGCUGUGGCAGACGGCAUUGUGGUGGUCCCGUCUAUGAAACCUAACUUGGAUUUGGCAUUCAAAGAAAUCGUCAUGGCUCUACACCAUGUCGAAUAAUUAUCCCCAUUAAGGGGCUUGGAAACAAGCACCAUUCCUGGAUGAUCAGAAUGAUGAAGAAAAUAUGGAUUGGCAGCAUCAAGCUUGCCUCCAUUCGAAGGUUGCUGUUCCGUCAUGAUAAUGAGUAACAACGAAAAAAGAAAGAGGGCAGAGAGCUAGGGUAUCGUUCCCUGCUCUGAUACCAUGUAAAGAAGGAAAAUAAUAUUUGCCUUUUUGAAUAAUUUUAUUGAACCAGGAGACGCAGCUAUAUACAAGAGAUUUCCUACAAUCAUGCUAAUCUAUUCUAGGUAGUCUAAAUAUAAAAGGCAACUAAACAAAUAUACAACUAAUACAAUAUAUUCGUCAAUGAAUGGUCAGAUAUCAUUGACCUUUCCUUCUCAACACAUCUAACAGCUGCUUUGAUAAUUUCCCACACCUUCAUCUUUGAUGGAAAUAUGAAAUAAAAACAAAUUGGUGAAAAUGGUUUUGGUACCCGCGGCUCUGUAAUCUAUUUCAAAAACUACACCAUCAAAACGACUGCAUAAGAAUCUAACUUCUCCUCUUGAUUUUUAUGGGCAUGUUGUGUAGUCCAUGCAGACAAAAAUCAUAUUUUAGUUUACUCUUACUCAAUGCUUGGAUUAAAGGUUUUUUUUUUGGGGGGGGGGGGGGGGGGGGGGGAUUGAAGCAGACUAAAAUGACACAAAAAAUAGUUGAACGAGUGUGGGUUUUGUCUUCAUUUUAGGAGAUCUUUAUAAAUUUUAGGAUUUUUUUUCCCGAGAAAAUUUAUGCCAACUCAUUCUUUGCUUCUUUUAUGAAGGGACAGAUGCAACUGAAAGUAUAUUCUUGAAUUCUAUAAGAGACAGCAGUUUAGAUUCUCGAGCCUUCAAAAAAAUAUCAAAUUCUAGAUUGCUGAAAUUUUAUAUAUCCAAGUAUGAUGGUGCACCAAUUAUUAACUCCAGGGUGCAACUUCACCGCGGAUUAGAAUGUCUUCCUGCAGAAUUGAGAAAUCUCCAUUGGCAUAAAUAUUUUUUUGAAAAUACUGUCAUUAGAUAUUUUUAUUAUUCAUACUUCAUUGCACAAGGCACCACCUGGCUUCUAUUUCAAGCCCUAAUAAUGAUCCGCUGCUGGAAAAGAAUUUGUGCAGCAUGUACGCUCCUUGACCACAACAGCAAAGUUUAUUGAUGUUAUUUCAUAUUCUGCUGUGAGUCAAAUAAAAAUUUACUAUGCCCUUUCGGCAUGGCUUGCCUUUCAGCAAAAAAAGAAAAAAAAUCUUUCAAAUUGUGGAAGCAUGCUUACAUUAAUCAGCUCAGUAUGUUAUGUUUCAAGGGAUGCAAAAUUCGUUUUGUUUCUCAUGGAAGAAUUGACUUGUCUGGAUGUAUUAAUCUCAUAGAUUUUCCACAGAUUCGUGGGAAUAUAACAAAGCUAGACUUAAGUGAGAUCCCAAUAGAAGAAGUUCCGUCAUCAAUAAAAUGCCUAGCUGAUCUUAAAACGUUGCGUUUGAGUAAGUGCACGAGGCUGAAGAGGCUUUCCAUCAAGCAUUUGUAAAUUGAAAUCUCUUCUUGAGCUUUAUCUCUAUAACUGCUCAAACCUUGAAAGUUUUCCAGAAAUCAUGGAGAAAAUGGAACGUUUAAAGAUAUAAAUUUAGCAAGGACGGCCAAUUACAGAGCUGCAAUCUUGAUAGCCUUCGGGAUAACAUUAGCAAUUUAAAAUCUUUGAGGUACAUCUCUACUAAUGGAUCAGCCAUUAGUCCUCUGUCGCAGGUUCGGUUGUACUUAAAUAUCUAUCAUUUUCUCAAUACAGAGGUUUGGUAUCAUUGCCUCCAAUAUUAUUGUCAGGUUUAGGUUUAUCGAAUUUGUUACAGCUAAAUUUAAGAGACUCUGCUAUAAUGGAAAUUCCCCAAAAUAUUGUUCGUCAAUCCUCAUUGAAAAUUUUAAAUCUAAAGGCUUGUUUGUUAACUACUUGAAGUAUGUAGUUAAUGCUUUUUUUUUUUUUUUUGUAAUUUAUGUUUGAUUUGAGAUAUUUACAUUUGAAUAAAAAAAUUAAACUUUUGUUACAUUUAUCUAAAAAAAAAAAAGGCUGAAUGGGAAGUAAAUAAUUCCCUUUUUCGUUUUAACUUACAAAAACAUAAAUGUUAACUAUGUUUAAGAAAUUUUUUAUUUAUAAAAAGAAACCAAAUACUACUUAUAUUCGUAUAUCAAAAAAUGAAAAACAAACAUGUUAUUCAUACGUUCACAUACAAACUCAUUCAGACCUCAGCUAAAUACAAAUCCAUUUACAUUUCAAAAAAAUAAAUAAAUACUUCCUAAGCGGGAAUAACUUUGAGAGUUGACUUGCAAGGCUAGAAUAUCUUGACUUGAAGGGUUGCAAUGAUUUCUCAUCAUUGAGAGUUUAUCAUUGUGCUUCAUCAUCAUCAUCAUUAUUAAUAAAAAGGUAAGCAAUUAAGAGUCAAAUUAAACCAGAAAAUCACUCAUCCACGCUUUUGGGACAUCAUUCUGCUCAUUAUUUUUAUUCCGUAUCUUCAUUGUUUUAUUUGGUAAUUAUUACCAUUAGUAAAUAAAGGGAUUAGUUGAUUAUUAUGAACUAACUAAAUGGAGCUCACCCUUAAAUGUCGGCUUGUAUCAGGGAGGUGCCUUAGGGUUAAUAAAUCAACUAAUCCCAUAAUUUGUCGAUGUAGGUGAUGGUUGUUAAAGCCAACAAAAACAAAUACCUACUCUAAAUAAAUUGUGUAUAGUGAUUGAGCAGGGUCGUGUUUACAGAGAUCGGUAAUUAUUUAAAUCCUUUUAAAACGUAAAACAUAAAAUGGGGGUUUUGUUGACAAUAAUAAAAAUCAAAUUAAAAUAACAAGAAUGCAAAUUAAAGUUGUAAUUCAAAUUUGGAGAAAGCUCUGGUUGAAGGAAUUAACUCAGCUUAAUUCGACUACUGAUCAUUUAUUCAAAUAUAAAUUAUUACUACUUAUGAAUAGACCGGUUAUGGCUACUGAGAACCUCUAAUAGCCAAUAUCUCCUUAACUAGUCGAUAACCAAGGUACGACCAUUGAUUAUUUCCCUAAUCAAUAGACAACCCUAGAUACGAUCAUAUGAUUUAAUCAAUUGACAGCCUAAAAAACCAGAGAGACCCAAAUCCUAAUCAACAAACACAUACGAUGGUUCAUUUAAAUUAGAUUGUUUAUUCUCAUAACACAACUCUCUGCUAUGUUAUUUGUCACAAACAUUAAAAUCUUCAUACAAUGAAUCCUUUAAUUGACAAUAGAUUAAGUUGAUAAUUAAAUAGUGGCCAAUUACCUAAUUAACAAACAUAAUCAUGAAAAUAAUUCAGAGAAUAAACAAAUACCCAAAAAGCAAUAAAACAAUUAAAACAUAAGAAAGAUCUCACAGUAGUGAUGAAUCAAAGCUUCAUUAACCUUCAACUAGAAAAAUAGGUUUAGUUCUUCAUAGAGAGAAGAGAAAAGUUUAGAUCUAGCGUUUCUUUCUUUUUCUCCAAUCCCCCCUUUUUCACUAUAGAUUCCUCCCUUAAAUACUCUCUCUCUCUUCUCCUCUAGAGUUCUAUUUAAAAUAAAAUACUAAUAUAUGAAAUAUUAAAUUCGUAAUUACAAAAAUAGCCAAAAAUACAAAACAUGUUAAACUAAAAACUGCAGGUCCGUAGUUGACAGCACGCGCCCACGCCUUAUCAAUAAAGUUCUUCUGACGCUCUAAAUUUCUCCAAGAGAACAAUCAUCUUUAAACAUCAUCUUAUAGCUCAAUUUUAUCACAAAUCAAUAAAAUUGCACCUACAAAAGUAAAACACAAGUAAAUCAUUAUUAUUAAGUGCAAAACAUCGAUAUUAAGGGAAGUAAACAAUGCAAAACUAGUGCAUAAAUUGCACUCUAACAGUAGGGUAGCAAAUUAUUGCCAUAGAUCAGCACACAUCUCGAAAACAUAUUUGAUCCACACAGUGAAGAUGAUUCAAUAUUAAGCAUGUCAUAUAAUCUGGAGUUGGAUAUUGGAUCAAUUUGAUGAUAAUGAGUUUCUUUCAAUCUCAAUAUGUAUCUUCUUCGCAACAUGACUAGCCAUUGCAAACUCAAACUCUGACAAUGAUUUCUCAAUCGCUUUCUAAGACGAUGAGCAUGUAUGUAUAUAUAUGUGUGUGCACGUGCGCGUGUGUGUUUGUGUACGUAUAUAGAGAGAGAGAUAUAUAUAUAUCACACAUGUGCGCUUUCCUUUUGUCAAUAAGAUAUGCAGAGAGCUUAAUAAUCAUAGAUUAGCUUAUAUCCUUCAAACCAUGUGCUAUGAAGUAAUUUCACAAACACUUGUUGAACGUUAUUGAAUCAGUAGUUCACAGUUCAAUACAAUGUAGGUUUCCUAUUUGAAGUAAAUGAUUAUGGUGUGUGCAUUUUUCAUAAAGCUAACUACUGAAUUUACCAUUGAAACUUGCAAAAUGUAACAGAGAGAUGCAGAUAGCAGCCACGAAACACUAAGAUUGAAAAUCAGGACUACUGAAUUCUAUUACAAGCCCUUAAAAUAGACAACAAUCAUCCUCAAAUGUAUAUACUGAAAGUAAAAAAUAUUAAUCGUAAAGUUAUGCAUUAACAAAACUAUUGAAUACUUAUCUUUAGCUAUAUAUUUUUAAUUGUAGCUCCCUACUUUGUUCUAAGAACUAGGCAAAAGUAGCAUAUCUUCAAUCCAAUCAGCAUAUAUACCGCUCAUCUUCUCCAGUUCUUUCCACUUUGAUUUGCAUUUCAUACCCUGCACUUGCUGCUUAGAAAUAGUCAUAGUUUGCACAUUGACAGUAGAAAAAGUACUUGAAACAAUCAUUGGCAUAGCAUGGGAUUCCAUUGAGUCGCGGUCUCCAAGCUUUCAUGGUUCUGUAAAGAAAAUGACAAAAACAUCAUGCUAUUGGCAUUCUACUUUUAGCAAUUUUCCACAAGCUGAGCUUUUUCAUAUCUCUCUAUAAAUUAUGCUGGUUCAACCUUCAGAUAAGUUUGUGAUAAAGGCAUCUAUGAUUACAAUGGGAAAAUUACAUGAACUUAUGUUAUCAAUCAUUGUUUUGCCUUCUCGUGAUAGAAUUCUGCGCAAUAUAAAACAUGACAUAUCUGUUACUUACCAUGCCAUGUCGUGAACCUAGAAGCAAUGCAAAUUGCAAGGAACAUAUUAAGCUAUCUACUGUAUAUAACAAAUUCUUAUUAGCCCACAAUCUUGUGCCCCAACAUUGAUCAAGUAACACUAUUAUUUCAUUUCCAAAAUGGCAUAUAUAAUCUGAUGUUGAACAAACCAAAUUGGGAAUCAUCAUUCCUUACAUUGAGCUGACAUUCGUACCUGCUAGUCCAUGAGCAAAGUUGCUUAUAUUUCCACACAGGCAGCUCCCCUUAUCUCUCGGUUCCGACAGAGCUUUGUUUUCCCAUCACCAGCUUUGGAUUCAUUCGAUCACUGAUGCUCCGAGUUAGCAAGCCCCUUGUUGUGUUCCCAUUUAACAGACCCACUUCUGUUAUCCACAGAAGAUCCACCACUCAAAAUGCUUAUCACCGAACUAUUCCUAAACUGAGUAGAAACUUCCGCACAUCUCUCGGCAUUUACAUGAAGAAAUCGACACCCACCCUCAUAUUUGUAAGUUUUCUGAUAAUAGAAAUGUCUACAAAGCUGCAUUUCGUUAGGCAAUCUAGUCUCUCCAUUCCUAGCAAAGUGACAUUGAUUCCCGUAUUUGUAAUUGCCUAAUUGGGGUUUUGGCAAUAGCCUGGUCUUAAAAUUACCACCCAUUACUUUGUUCAAUGCCACUGGCAUCCUCUGAUUAGGAACAUUUUCACAAUUUUUAGCCCUGUUAGUCGAAUCACAUUCAAGGGGAUAGUGAGACAGUAUUUCACUAAAAGAUUCAAUUUGACUACACAUAUAAGAAUUUGAAAUCACUUUUUCUUGGAAUAUUUAAUGACCCACCCAGGGUGAAAGUUUUUGAAUGGAAAUUAUUUAAUUUGAUUUGUUUUCCAACAAAUUCAAGAAACCCCAGAUAGUAACAUAAAAAAAAAAAAUCAACCAAUAAUACGCAAUGGGUUUCUUUCUUUUUGCUUUUGGAGGGCCAUGAAGAUCUGGAGUGGGCUGUAAGUAAUAGCCUUUAUCACUGGAGUGACAAAUUUGCAGAAGAUGAUGCAUGGGGAAGGAUUGGGCGAGCAUAAAAAUGGCUUUACACUCUUUGGAUUAGCGCCUCAUUUAGGUUGUAGCGAGAUAAAGAUAUCAUUUAAAGUUUUAUAAUCCUUGUUAUGCUUAAGGCUUCACUUAGUAUAGCAUAGAGCUUUUCUAGUUUAGCAUUUUACAAGUAGAAUUUUUUUAAAUUAUUAUUUAUUUGGUUGUUUUGUUCAGAAGAGCUUUUAAAGCUCCAAAAUCUUUGAUAGUCAGGUUUUUUUUUGGUAAGUAAAACUUUUAACAAAAAUUUAUUAUUCACUUGAUCGUUUACAAGAGUUUUCAUUAGAAGUUAUGUAAAGUUCUUUAAUUUUUUUUAUCAGUGCAUCUUUUUACAAGUAUAAUUUUUAUUUUUUAACAAAAAUUAAUUCAAUAAUAUUAAUAAUCUCAAUAUUUGAGUUUUAAUAUCAUAUGUCACUCAUUUAUUGGAUGACAGAUUUCAUAACUUAUAAAAUUAUUUAACUAACAUCCACUAAGCUAAUGUCACUAUAGUGAAGAUUGAAGUUGAAAUUUAGAUGUUACGUUGGGUAAUAUUGCGCUUAUUUGGUUGUUUAUGAGAGUUUUUUUGUACAAAUUUAUUUUUAUACAAAUUGAUAUAGUCUAAAUUCAUUAAUUAGAUGAAAAUAGAAAAUAAUAAAAAUAAAUCUUGUGUACUAAAAGUUAUUUAAUCUAUUUAAUUGAAUUAUCCUACGUUUGUUUGUACUAAAUAAAUUUAUAUAAAAAUUAAUUCUAUUUUUUGAUGUGCAACUAAACUUUUAGUCUCUUAUUAUUCGUAAAAUUCAAAUUCAGUGGCUUAUCAAAUAAAAUUAAAACUAUUGGUUAAUCAAAUAAAAUUAUUUGAAAUCAUUGGGUGUGGUAGCUGGAGCUCUUGAAAGUUGAAACUAUGGAAGCCAUGAAAUAUACCAGCGAAAAGAGUUCUAAUUUUUAAAUGUCUAUUUUAUAAAAAUUUUAAUAAUAAAAGUGUCGCAUCGACAUUGAACAGUAUAAAAAUUUUUAAUAAUAAUUUUUUUACGUUUGGGGUAUUUUUGUAAUUAUACGAAGGUAAACUAAUCGCAAAAUUCAUUUGGCUUACACUUGCUCUGUGUAUGGUUAUGGCGGUAUCAUUAUCAUCUUCUCCAUUCGUACUGACACCAAACCUUAACCGUUCAGAUUCCCUUUCUCGACUGUCAUACCCUACGCCCCGUCUCCGUGUCUCCGAUAAACAGUGCUCAAUUAAGGCCAUCAGAUUAUCCCGGACCCACAUUGAUCCAACGGCUCACAAUGACCGACGACCUCUCCAUCUCCAUUACAAGCUUCCUCUUCAACUGGCUUCUGCCUCUAUCGUACUCUUUCUCGGAUUCGGAGCCCGUAUAUGCUCGGCUGGUCCUACGGAGCUACCUCUCACUCCAGCUGUCAACCAACAAGACCAAUUGCUUAAUCCAGACACAGAACAACAAGAGGGUGAGAAAUUGAAUCAAGAAUUUGAGAAUUGGAAAUCGAAAACGUACGCAUUGACCGUGCCUUUAAGGGUCGUUUCUCUUCAGAAUUCAGUGCCUCAAUCUUGGGUUAAGGAUUUUAUGCGAAGUCAAGGAAAGAGAUUGAAGUUUCAGAUGAAUUUUUGUGCUAGCACUGAUGGGAUCGUUA